CACACUAAAGCACCAGACACCAUAGCUUUAUCCAUUAUUGUCGCUUCCACUAUUACUUCAAAAGACAGCUUUUGUCCCACCGACGUGAACGACAGAACAUCGGGGUUAACCAUGAUUUUCAACGUACCUGUCGGAAAACUCAGGUUAGCUCUGUAAACCGCCGUCGGAGAUCCCACGUUUGUGACGGUCCUUUUGAAGGUACGGCUGAAUGAUUUCAAUGGCGAAGUGGAAAGGCCAAAGGAAGGGUAGUUUAGUUCCGAAACUGUCCCAUUAGUGUCUUCAGGACAAGUGGAGUUGUCUUUGGAUAAUAAUUGUAUUAACCGAGUGGAGUAUCCUUGUCCGCAUAAGAAGUUUAUGUAAUCGGUUUCAUUGGCAUCGUAUACUAGACCUGGAUUUGCAGCUUUUAAAGGAUUCAAAUGGCCUGAACCGUAUGCAAAUUCAGCUUCCAUGUUGAUGCCAGAGCUCAUGGGGGCGGCUGCAAUUAACAUUGCAAUUGGAAAUUUAAGUAAAAGUUGUACCUAAUCGAACUAUAAAACAUAUUUGUUAUGAGGUUUAUAAUUAAUUACCUGUGGUCAUAAGGGCAGAUUGAAUAGCAGCAGGAGACCAUGUGGGAUGAAAUGAUUUAACGUAGGCAGCUGCACCAGAAACAUGAGGACAAGACAUUGAUGUUCCUGAGAUUAUGUUGAAUGUCACGAACCUGUUGUCGCCUGGAAUUUCAGAAACAGGAGAAAUUGAAGACCACGCUGCUAGAAUGUGAACCCCUGGUGCUGAUAUAUCUGGCUGCAAACAACAAUUUAAUGAAAAAAAAAAAAACCAUCAAUCCUACACAAGUUUCUGCAAAAUCAUAUACUAUCAUAUAUUUGGAAAGAUUUGGAUAAAAAUAUCACCUAACCAUUUUUUCUAGAUCUAUAAUAUAAUAUUUUAUUUUCUUAUAUUAAAUUGUAAUUUAUAUCGCAUCAAAAAAAUAUUUUAAGUUAUCUAUUUUUAAAAUUUUAAUAAAAGAAAAAUAUUAGAAUACUAUAAUUUUAAAAAUUAUAUUGUUUAGAAUUGAGUAAGAAAAUAAAAAAAAAUCAAAGAUUGAUCCAAAUCAAGGUGUUUAGAUGAUGAAAUACAAGUUAAAAUAUUAUGGUUAUCCGGACCGAGUCGAAUGCUACUUUUUUUGUUUAAUUUAUAAUCAAUUUUAAUUUUUAUGAUUUAAAAAAUAAAUAUUUUAUAUUUAAAAUAGUAAAAAAAACUUAAAAGUUCUAUAUAGAAAUAUUUUUUAAAUUUACCAUAUAAAAGUUAUUGGUUAUUUUUUAUGUACUUGAAAAAAUAAUUUUUUUAGAAAUAUUUAUAAAAAAAAGUUGAAAUUUUAUCAAAUGAUAUUCAAAAGAUAUAAAAUAAAAUUUAUUUUUUCAAAAUAAACUUUAAAUUCUAAAUAAGGAUAAAUCUAGAAUCGAAUUGAAUUAUGACAAACGAGUUAAAAAAAAAACCAAACUAAACUAAACUCAUCCCUAAUAUUGACAAGCUUAAACAAAUUUGGAUUAAAUAUUUACUAAUACGAAUAUGCUUGAAUUAAAUCCUUCGACCACGAAUACUUCUAUAUUUACGUUAAAAAAAUGUUUAUGUUUUAUAUAUUGGACACAAUAAUUAUUGAAAGAAAAAAAAAGUCAAACCAUUAAAUUUUCCAUCAAUUUACCUUAAUAAUCUCGGGUGUAAUCGGGUUCGGACCUCUCGACGAGAAAGAGAUGAUAUAAGGAGCCAACGAGUCAUUAACCUCACUACUCCUGAAUAUAGUUGCUGUUGGAGCACUACAAAAACAUAUAGGCAAAAUCUUACAUGAUAUUCAUUUGUGUAUUCAUAUUAUAUUCGCAUCGAGUAAUCGUACCUGGUGGAGUUUACGUACUCAAAAAUGUUGCGACCGUCAACCAAGUUAAAACAAGAUGCAGGCAAAGGAAAAAGGCUAGAAUAGUCAAUAUAGCUGUCCUGGUCUCGAGCCACGGUCCCAGCUGCACCAGCCAAAAGGGCUCCUAUCCCGUUAGCAAGUAUCGUAUCACAAAGAACAAUCUUACCCUUCACCAAAUUUUUAUCCAAUGAAUUCGGAAAACAGAAUCUGCACUUCAACGAUUGGAUCAUUAAAAUAUUAAUAGUAUAAAGAGAUACGAAAAGAUAAAAUACUUUAGUUUUAUACAUGUGUAACUGGAUCAAUUAAAAAAGAAAAAAAGAGGCUAAGUUUAUGUUACCUCGAUGAUAUAGUAGAUGUUGAAGUAGUGUUUGCUGCGUCUCCGCCAUAAAUCAUAGGGUACGUUUUAUUCUUGAGAUCAAAUGUAUUUAUUGAUACUCCCUACAUACAAUCAUACGUGUAUAUAUGUAUAUGAUAGCUAUCAUUAUAAAUCAUAAAAUUGAUAUAUGAUUAUAAAUCAUGUAUGUAUUUAUAUUACCUCAUAAAUCUUGUUGUUGCCAAGUUGAACCUUGGUGGAAAACUUACGAUCAAUGGUGCUAGCUGCCACGGAAAGCGACCACGGUGAGAAAUUAGAGAUCGUUGAACGUCCAGGGCCAUCGUUACCCGCCGAAAUUACGGUCAGUAUACCGUUUUUCAUGGCGUGAAAAGAUGCGACAUCGAUCGCAUGUUCUAAAUAGUCUCUGGUCCGUCCUCCUUCGACUGAAAUUGAUAUAAUAUCGACUCCAUCAGAGAUCGCAUCAUCGAAUCCUGCGAGAAUGUCGGCAUCCUGACAACCAUCGGACCAACAUAUUUUGUACACCGCGAUGCGUGCUGAUGGAACCCCUCCUCGAGCUGUUCCUGAACCAAAGCCGUAGAGACUUGCACCAUCAACUAAAUUCCCGGCUGCCGUGGAAGCAGUAUGAGUCCCAUGACCGUCGCUGUCUCUCGGAGAUUCAAAUUCAUCCGGUAAAAACAGUCCAUCGCUGCGGUAAUAUUUUGCACCUAUGAUCUUGCUGCAUUUGAACAUAUAGCAAUAUUAGUUAGACAUUUGAAGCACUAAGAUUUCUCCCAUAACGAACAUAUACUUGUAUCCGAAGCGCACCCCUAAACCCAGUAACAUAACCCAAAAAAAGAAACAAAAGUUACUUGUUGCAAGUGAAAUUGUCUUGUGGUUGAAAUUGGCAACUGCCUUUCCAUUUGGAAGGAGGUGGACCAAGUCCUUUGUCAUCAAAGCUUAGAGAUUCAGGCCAAAUUCCAGUGUCUAAAACACCAAUGAUAACAUCACUUUCCAUGGUUGCUCUUUCAACUUGUUGAGGGAAUCCCAUAAAAUCCCAUGACCUUGUUGUAUGUAGUUUUCUCUUUUCAUUUGGAAACACUGAUACUACACCCUUCAUUCCUGAACAUAUCCAAACAACCAAAAUUCAAAUUAAGCUCGAAGAUCUGCGUCUUAAUCCACAGAGUAUUUCCGCUUUGACUUUUAAAGUAGACCUAUUAUUAUAACUCGAACUUGAAAUUUUGAUUUGUUUAACUCGAAUAUGAACUUGAUCUAACUUGAUUUGAUAUAAAAAGUAACAAUAUGAAACCAGAGGGGCAUGGUAAGGUCUUGACCCUCACCUUGGUUGAAUGAGAACUCUUUAAUCCUUCCCAAAAAAUUGUAUAUUUUUAGCAUUUUCAAAAGAUUAAUAAUAUAAUUUAAGCUUUUGAAUAUAAAAAUUUUAACCUUGAUCCCUUCAAAGUUUUAUAAUUUUAUUUUGGAUCUCUAAAAACUUCAUUGCUUCACCCUUGAAACUGGUUCAACUUGAACUAAAAAAUGAACCAAACUUAAGUGCCAAAUCCGAAUGAAAAAAACUCAAAAAGCUCAAUUGAAAAAUCUGAAUGAUUCAAUUUUGAAAUUGACCUGAACUCAAAAAUAAUUCAAACUCGAAGUAAUAUAAAAAUUUUAAAACUUGAAUUGACUCAAUCUAGAAUAAUCAAAUUUGGAAUCAAUUGAACAUGUCUGGUUACAAGUCUAGUUGAAAAUAUAGCGCUCUCUUUUUUACUUGAAAUUCUUAUAAUUUUGUCUAAAGUUUACCAAUCUAACCCUUGAUUAAAUCAUUCAAAUCAUCUGUUAAGUCAAAUUGGUUCGCUCAAUAUAAAUGUUGACCUAAUAAUAAUUAAAUAAUUAAUUCAAAAUUCAUAAAUAUUAUAAAAUAUUGUAAAAUCGAUUCAAGCGCUAAUUUUUUAUUUUGAUUUCUAGUUUUUUUAAUUGAACCCAAGUGAUUCACUCAAAAAUUAAUUCAACUCUUGUUUUCAUAUCGAUAUAUUGAUCGGUCUUGUUCAACCAAUCCGACCUAUCAAUCUGAUUUGAUACAAAUAACACUGCUUUUAUCAAAAAAAAUGGAUAAAUACAAACUUAAACGUUAAUUUGUAUAUAUAUUAUAAUGGAUUUGAAGAAAUUUUAAAUGUGAGGUUGGAGUGUUACACUUACCGGCCAUUUUUUGUGCUUCUUCCUCAGUCAAAUCCACCACGAACCCAUUAAAACUCUUUUUGUAGCUGUACAGCACUGUCUUCGACUCACUGCAUUCAUUCCAAUUGCAUGCUCAAUCUCAAUAACCAGUAGUAGGUCUUAUUUUGUUUUGGGAUAAAUAUAAUUAAAUAUUACAAUUAAUAAUUAAUUAAACACUUGUAAAAUAGAAUUUAAAAUUCCAUAUUUACUAUCUAAAAAAAUGUACUCGUCCGGCUCUUUAUUCACUUAAAAAAAACUGCUCCAUUCGGAACAAUUUAAUUUAAAAUCCGUUGUAUGAUUUGAAUUUUGUCAUCUCUACUUUGCUUUCAAGAUUCUUUUUUAAAGAAAUUAAAACGUUAGAAUAUAAGAACAUAUAUUUUCUUAUCUAUAUUUGAAUAUAAGGAUAAAGUCAGAAAAUUAUUUUAGAGAAGUUAGAGAUAAAUCAUAAAUUAUUGAUUAACGGUAUAAUUUUAUCAUUAUAUUAAUAUAUAAUUUUAUAAAAAUUUAAGAAAUUAAAUAAUAAAUCUAUUAUUAGGAGGGGCUAAGGCUAUUGACUGCCCUUUUACCUUGGUCCCUGUUUAUAUAUAUAUAUAUAAAAUAUAAAUAUCAGAUACGGAUAUUUAAAGAAAAAAUCAGAGGCAACAUAUGUUUACACACCUGCCAAAAACAUCUUGUACCAUGCUGCUAUGAAGCAAAGCUGUGGAAGCUCCAUCUUUAAGUCGGUCACCCAUAUACACAAUAUAGCUCUGAAUAUUCACCGAUUACAAUUUUUAUUUUUCUUAAAAUGAAGUUCAUCACCAAUGGAAAUUUUAGAAAAAAAAAAAAGACAAGAAAUUAAAUCCAGUAUUAACCUUUCGAUUGGCAUUGGCGUUGGAUUGAAAAAGAUGAGAGGCUGCUUUGGUAGUAAGAAGAGCUAAAAGAAAGCAAUGAAGUAGAUAUUUUCCUCCCUCCAUUGAAACAAUGCUCACACAAAAAUAAAUAACAAACUUUUCCAAGUAGUAUAUUUAUGGAGAAAAAUAGAUGCUAAAGUCUUAGUCUUUGUGGAAAUAAAUUAUAUUAGAAAUUUAAACUUUUCAUACUUUUCUUUUGUUUUAAUUUAUAUUUGGGAUAAUAUUUAAAAUUGUAUAUGAAUUUGUUGGAUAAUUACUACAAAAUUUUCUUUACCGUAAUUUUAGUAAAAUGUCAAAAUUUUAGAGAAAAGAGAUAUGAGAAAAUCAAGAAGAAUGAAUGAAGCUCUCUUGUUGCUUAUAAAAAAUAAUGACCUCCAAUUUAUAGGAUUCGGGUAAAGUAGUUCAGGAAAUUCAAAGGCCAUAUUGCAAUGAUUAGAUUCUAACGGUCAUAUUAUUGCAUUACCUUCGUUAUAAAUUAUAUUUGGGAUAAUAUUUAAAAUUGGACAUGAAUUUUGGUCAAAUAUGUAAUGUUAUAAUUAUUUCUUUAAAUAUAAUUAUAUUUAAAAAGAAAUUGGAUAAACCAUUUAUUUUAUUUAUGUUUGGAUUAAAUUUUUAAUUUUUAAAAAUAAUCGUGUAUUAUGUCUAUUUCCUACCAUGGUAGCUUAUUAAAUAAGUGUUCCUAAAUUUUUAUAUUUUUGUGGAUAUGAAAAUAUGACCUACACAUUUUGAUUUUUCUUUAGUAUCAAUAAAUUUGGGGUCACCAAUUGCUACAACUAGUGAACUACUUUUCAAUAUUAUUAUUAUUUCAUUAAAGAUGGAGAAAAGUAUUUUGAGAUUGAGAAAUUAUUAGGUAAAUUGUUCCUAUUAAAUAAAUUAUUAUUUUAUUUGAUAAUUUAUUGUAUAAUAAUGUUUUAAAUUUUUUUUUCUUAAGUAUUACUUAAGGGUGAAUUCAGUUUGAUUCGAUAAUAUUUUUUAAAAAUUAUUUAUGAUAAUUUUGAGUUUUAAGUUUUCGGAUUUUAUUUUAACAAAAAGAAUAUAUACAUAUAUUGAGAAAUAAGUUUGAUAUAGAAUUUUAGGUAUUUCUAAAGGGAUUUGAAUAAGUAACAAACUUAACCACGAAGUUAGAAUAGGAGAAAAUAGGUCAAAUUCUGUUAUUAGACACUAUAUUUUGAAUAAGUUGUGGAUUUAGUACCAUAUAUUAAUUUAGUCAUUUUCAAUCUCUAUACUUUUAAAGUUUUAAUCUUGACCAAAUGAAAACUAUCACAUUAAUUCAGUUCUGUUAUUUUUAAAAUUUGACACGUCAAACAUAUUAUCGCAUAUGUAAUGUCAUGUCAACUUGCCAUCUCCAUAUAUUACUCGCAGAAAACCAAUUAAUAGAUUUAACAGUUGUCGUUUACAUUAAGAUUAAAAUUUCGGAAUUCAGAAAAUAUAAGACUAAGAACGAUCCAAUUCGAGAACAUGAUCUACAUCUCUAACUUUACACAUAAUGCAAGACUAAUAAUAGAAUUUAACCAAAUAGAUUUAAUUGCUAUUAUUUGGUCAGGAUUAAUUUUUUUAAAAUUUGAAAAAUAAAUAGACUAAAAUUGAUCAAAUACAAAUACAUGUAUUAAAUAUACAAUUGAUGUAAAAUACAUGUUCCAAUGGCAGAAUUUGACCGGAGAAAAUAUGAUAAAUCAGUUUGAUUUUAGCUUGUAUGUGGUAGAAUGACAUUAUUUGGUUUUAUUUGGUGGCGUGUAUGGGAAGCAACCAAAAAAAGGGUAAACCUCAUUCAUUGACCGCUGAUUCAAUUAUUAAUAUAUUUUUACUUAGUCGCUGAAAUUACGUAUUUUGAGAAUUAAAUCGAUAGAAUUUAUAUAUGUAGAGAUUGAAUUGAUUGAUUUAAUUUAAAAUUAGAAUUAAAUUAAUAAAAUAUAUAAAUUUAAAAGCUAAAUAUAUUAUUAUACCAAUUAGAUAAAAGUCAUAUUUUCUAUUAACAAUUUAAUAAUAAUGUUAGUGAUAAAUUUGUAAAUUUUUAUAUUUUGGGUGUCUACUUGCUAUAUAAAAAUUUUUAGUUUUCAUAAUCAUUUUUCCAAAAAUUAUUUUUCAAAUAAAAAAAUGAUUUUUAUAUAACAUUUUAGCUAAAAUUCUAAAGUGUGGAAAUAAAUAAGAAGCUUGACUACGAACUAAUUUGUCUCCUAACAUGUCCUGAGAGAGACAUAGUGUUAGAAUAGGAGAAAAUAUUACAAAUCAGUUUGAUUUUAGUUUAAAGAGGUGAAAUGACCUCUUGGCAUUAUUUGUCGGUUUGUAUGGGGACGCAAGAAAAAUAUUACAAAAAGGCAUAAUGUCAAUUUUAGAUUUUCUCUUUUUAACUUUUAUUAAUUUAGUCCUUUUUUAAUUAAAUUUGAACAUUUAUUUUUCCAAAAAGAAUUAAAUUGUUUUUCUUAAAUAAAAAUACUGAUUAUAAUAUUAUUUCUAACAAUUUUAGCGUGUGAACUCGCUUAAUAGUCUAUUUGUGCUUUAGUCGACAUGAUAUCAUGCCAACAAAUAAUUUAAAAUUUAUAAAAAUAUUUAAAACUAAAAAUAUAAAAAGACGGUUAUUCUUUCAUUUUCGCACUUUUUAUUUUUUAUGAAGAAAUUAAACCCUUAAUUUUCUUUUCUUUUUUUCCCAAUUAAAAUGUUAAAUCACCGUUAAAAAUAAUUUAUAAAUAAUUAAAAAUAAAAAAUAUAUAUUUUAAAAGAACUAUAAAAUUUUCAAAUAUAUAUUAAAAGAAACCCAUCGUGGGUUCUUGGCAGUUGGCAUCGUAGGUGUGGAAUCUUUCCUCACAAGGUCUUGGAUUUGGAAAGAAGCCGAUAAGCAGUUCAAAUAAGGGCUAAGGCCACUCCAAAGUCCAAACGAAUAGACAUCCCGUUUUUGGGUGGGUGGGUCCGCCCUCGGUGACUCCUCCCUUUCAAACCCCCCCCCCCCCCCCCGCCCGGGCCAAAAAAAAAACAACUUUUUGGCUUUCUCAAGUAACCCACAUUUCUUCACCACUUCCCUAACAUGUUUUUAAUGAUUAUUUAACAUUUUUCAUCCAAAUCAAGCAAUUUUACAAACAAAAAAAACUUUAAAAUUAAAAGAUGAACUUUUUUUUAAACAAGAGUCAAAAUGAAAAACAGAAAAACAUUAAGGGUUAAAGUUGACAUUAAAACGCCUUUUGAGUACUAAUUCUUAAUUAAUAAGCAAUAAAUAAAAUUAAAAUCUACAUUUUCAAAGGUUAAUAUGUUAUUGGUAGACUAUAUCAUUAGUCACUAAAUUAUAGAUAAGUUUUCGUUUUGGUUACUGAACUAUUCAAAAGUUUUCAUUUAAGUCGUUGGACUCUUAAAAUCGGUGCUAUAUGGUUUUCUCUAUUUGCACUGCCUACACCAAUCAAAAGUUCUCUUUCAAUUCUCUUUUGCAGUUUGUUUUUUUCAUAAAACAAUUUUAGACAUCAUGAAUCUGCGAACCAAUUUUCAAAUAGCUUUUUUUCUGAUCUUUGAUACUGACCGUCAGAUCAACUUGGACUUGAAGUAUAUUAUUCUACUCAUAGAUGGGUACUAAUCCAUCAUAUUGAUCAUCAUUUGGAGCUUGUUGGUGGAACUUAAAAAAAAAAAAACCCUAAUAGCUUAGUAACUUGAAUAAAAAAUUUUGAACAGUUCAAUUGUUGACACCAUUUUUUAAAUAAAGCGGAGUCGACUUGGAUUUUAAAAACGAAAAUAGAAACAGGAGUCGCCACCAAUCCUUUUUGAUAAGAUGUGAUCGGAUCACCUUGAAAAGUGGUUGUUUUUAAUAAACGAUUUAAUUUUAUUAAAACAACAAUUUUGGUCCACGAAAUUCAAAAAACGGGUUCGGGAGUCGGUUACGUACGAGGAAGGAUUAGCACCCUCGUAACGCCCAAAAAUUGGUACCUAGUUGAUUAGUUAAUGUCUUAAUGUCAAAAAUUGAAAACUUCGAAGAAUUUUAAAAAUUCGAUCCUAAAAGCUUUUGAACAAUAUGGGUUGGAAUUUAAGAUUCUCUUGUUCCGAAAGUAUAUCACAUCUAGCACAUUAGGAUAUGAUAUUUUAAACUCUCGAAACCAAGAUCACCUUAUGGUUUCCAAAACCCAUACUUUGAAACUUUAAGAGGGUAUUUGGCUAUUUGGCUAAACGACAAAUCGAAACUCAGCACAUUAGGGCACGUUUUCUCGAAUUUCCAAACGCAAAAUAUUGCCUUACUUGGAAAUUUUAAAAGGAUAUUUGGCUAUUUGGUCGAACAAAGAAAUCGAAACCCAGCACAUUAGGGCACGUUUUCUCGAAUUUCCAAACGCAAAAUAUUGCCUUUAUUAUUUUUUAGAAAAUUCCUCAUUGUACAGCCCAAUAUUUGCCCAGCCCAAAACCCAAUAAACCCAGACCUGGAUCCCAAAUUGACCCAACAAAUAUAAGCCCAAAAACUAGCCCAAAGAGCCUAAAUCUAACCCUAACAACAAAACAAAAUUUUCAAACCCUAGGUGCGGCCGCACGUCCCAUCGCCGUGCCUACUCUCUGCUCCACCGCCCGCCCACUUGCCUUGCCUCGUCAAGGUACCUGCAAACAAUAAAAGAAUAGCAGUACCAACAGCAGAAGAGGGAGAGAAACAAACAAAAAAAGAGAGUGGAAAAAUGGCUAUAAAAGGCCAUUCAAAACAAAUUGUAAGGGGUUCGGCCUCUAUUUGAUAAAGAACAGAAAUAAAAAAAGGUUCAACAUUUUGUUCAGUUUUCUUUUUUCUUUUGCUUACUUUUUUUAUUUUUUUUAAAGUUUAUUUUUUUUCUUUUUUAACCCGAAAACAUAAAGAGGAAAACACCUUACCUGUGCCGCGUCGGAGGAGGAGGAGACGAGCGGUUUCUCCUCGUUUUCGGGCCUUGGGCUCAUCUUUCUCGAAGUUCCGCCUUGGAUCCGUGUCCUAAAGGCAUUUAGCUUCAAAAAGGAACCGAAAAGGUCCAGUUUUGCACUUCUGGCCGCCGCCCACGACGUUGCUAUGGCGGAGGUGCGCCGGAGCCUUCGUCGAACCAUGGCCGGAGGAGGGACCGAGAGAGUGAGAGAGAGAGAAAGAGAGCUUUUCUCUCUGUUUUUUAGAAAAAAAUGAGGAAACUGAUUUUUUUUAGUUUUUUUUAUAUAUUUAUACUAAUUAAAAAACGGCAUCGUUUAGCUAUAAGGGUCAGGCGCCAAAACGACGCCGUUUUGGCCCUGACCCGCGCGGUGACCCUACCCUGGGGGGAGGAUCCGUGUGUUUUCGCUAGAGGGGAUAUUUGCGCCAUAGGCCCCUCCUUUGUGGCGUGUUCGAUGCGAUCCUUUUUUUUAUUUUUGAUUUUGGCCACAUAGUUUUUCUUUUGUUUUAAUUUGGUCCCGACCAUGCACACGCGCCUCACUGGAACGACGCCGUUUGAUCGGUGAGGGAAUAUUUCCCUUUUCGGUCCCUUCCCUUUCACGCGUGUUGUGAUUAGGUCCUUUUAGUGUUUUUCUCUUUUAAUUUGACCCUAAACUUUAUUUAUUUUUAAUUUAAUCCCUAAUCUGUUUUUGUAGUUAUUUUUCUACUAAAUUAAUUGUUUAAAUAUUAUUAAUGCUAUCAUUAUUAAUUUUGUAUUAGCAUUUAUUAUUAUUAUUAUUGCUAACAUUGUUAUAUUCCUAUUUAUACUCAUUUAUGUAAAUUUCAAAUAUAUUUAUCUUAGUAUAUUAUUAUAAUUAUUAUUAUUAUUAUUAUUAUUAUUAUUUUAAUUACUUAUAUAUAUACGCAUAUAUAUAUUUAAACUCUAGAUUAUUUCGUUAUUCUAUUAGUAAUAUUAUUAUUAUCCUUAUUUCAUUUAUGUUUUCUUUCAUUUUUAUUUUUAUUAUUUAUUUAUUUAUUUUUUCUUUCUUUUCUAAAAGAUUGUUAUAUAUAUUACAUACACGCACAUAUUUUUGUAACAUAUAUAUGUAUACCUUUAAAGGUUAUUAAAUUUAUCUUUAUAUUUUGUUUUUUUAUAUAUUACAUACGCAAUUAUAUAUAUCUAUAUGUAUAUUUUUUAAUCUUCAUAAGUACGUGUAUAAAUAUGUAUAUGCUUAUACGUUUAUAGUAUGUAAUUUGUAUACAUACCCAUGUACAUACCUUUUAAUUUUCAUAAAUAUAUGCAUGCAUGCUUAUUUACAUUACUUAUUAUGUCUUAUAAUAUAUAUACAUACACAUGUACAUCCAUACAUUUCUUGCAUUUUUAUAAAUUUAUUUGCUUGAUUCAUUUAUUCAUUCAUUUAUUUACUUAUUUAUUUAUCCAAUAUGUUCAUUUUUACUCAGAUUCUUGAAAAGGAAAAUUUUAAAAAUAAAAGUAAUACUCGAUAUUUUGGAUCUUUGAGAGAAUCGAGCCCUAAUGUGUUGGGUUCCGAUUUUCUUCGUUGAAUCUAAAUAAUCGAGAUUACUCUUUUAAAAAUAAUAAAAAGUUCAUUAUCGGGAAUUCGAUACGUUGUGUCCUAACGCAUUGGAUAUGACAUGUAGUUUUCUCGAGACGAGAAUUUUUCUAAAAAAUAAUAAAGGCAAUAUUUAGCUUUUUGGAAAUUCGAGAAAAUGUGCCCUAAUGUGCUGGGUUUCGAUUAUUUUCUCGUUCAACCAAAUAGCUAAAUAUCCUUUUAAAAAUUUCAAAAUAAGACAAUGUUUUGCGUUUGGAAAUUCGAGAAAACGUGUCCUAAUGUGCUGGGUUUCGAUUUUUCUCGUUCAACCAAAUAGCCAAAUAUCCUUCCAAAAAUUUCAAAUAAGGCAAUGUUUUGCGUUUGGAAAUUCAAGGAACGUGCCCUAAUGUGCUGGGUUUCGAUUUCUCAUUUAACCAAAUAGCCAAAUAUCUUCUUGAAUUGCAAUCCAUGUCAUCCGAGUUUUUUUUAAGGAUCGUAUUUUAAAUCUCUCUAAAGUUUUCAGUUUUUCGACACUAAGACAUUAAGUAAUCAACUAGGUACCAAUUUUGGGCGUAUCGAGGGUGCUAAUCCUUCCUCAUGCGUAACCGACUCCCGAACCCGUUUUUUUGAAUUUCGUGGACCAAAAUCGUUGUUUUAAUAAAAUUAAAUCGUUUAUUAAAAACAACCACUUUUCAAGGUGAUCCGAUCACACCUUAUCAAAAAAAGGAUUGGUGGCGACUCUCGUUUUUGUUUUCAUUUUUCAAAACCCAAGUUGACCUCAUUUUCAUCAAAAAAAUGGUGUCAACACUCAUCUCGAGAAAACGUGUCAUAUCCAAUGCAUUAGGACACAACGUAUUGUAUUCCCGAUAAUGAGCUUUUUAUUUAUAUUUUUUGAUUAAAGAGCAUUCUCGAUUAUUUAGAUUCAACGAAGAAAAUUAGAACCCAAUACGUUAGGGCUCAAUCCUCUCGAAGAUCCCAAAUACCGAGUAUUGCCUUUAUUUUCAAAAUUUUCUCUUUUUUCACGAAUUUGGGUAAAAAAAUCAUAUAUGACAGAAUAACAAUUACGAUGAUGUAAGUAAAAAUAAUACGAUUGAUAGCAAUAAAGAUGAAUGAAUAAAAUGACAAAUUAAUAACAUGCAGAAUAAUAAAUAUGUGAACAAAUUAGACUGAAAUAUUCUCUUUUUUUUUUAAAUAAUAAAGACGUGAAUAGAUAAUUAAAAUGAAAAUGAACAAAAUUAUAGGAGUAUAAAAGUAUAAAUAUGCAUAUAGAUAUGUACGUGGAAAUUAUAAAAUCUAAAAACAAAACAACAAAGAUAUACGUAAAUAUACCAAUAAACAUCAAGUAAAAAAAUAUAAAAAUAUGUGUGUAUAUAUAUACAUUGUAAAAUUAUAAAAUAUGACAAAAACAUAUGUAUAUAUAUAAAUUAUAAAAUAUAAGUACAUAUAUAUAUUAUCAAAAUGUAUGUAUGUAUGUAUACAUAGAUAUAUAUAAAAAGAAUAUAUGUAUAUAUAUAGGGGUUAUAAAAUAUACGUAUGUAUGCAUGUAUAUAUAUAUUAUAGAAAUGUAUAUAUACACAUUGUUGAAAUCAUUUUUAAAUUUGAAAAAACGGGGAUCGAAUUUGAAAAUAAAAAGGGAGUCGCCACCGAUCUUUUAUUGUGGUGUGAUCGGAUCACCUUGAAAAUAAUUUUAGGUCUGCGAAUUUUGAGAAAACAGGUUCGGGAGUCGAUUAAGCACGAGGAAGGGUUAGUAUCCUUUUUGUAAUCACUGAAUUUUGUUCGGCUCGAUUUUGAGUUUUUAAAAAAAAUCAAAAAAAUAAAAAUAAAAAGUUCAUUUUGACCCCUAAAAUUUUUGAAAUUAUCUUUUAACCCCUAAAAUUUUUCAAAAUUACAUUUUUACCCCUAAACUUUUUGAAAUUACAUUUUGACCCCUAAACUUUCUUAAAAUUAUGUUUUAACCCCUAAACUUUCUACACAUUAUGUUUUGGCCCCAAAACUUUUCCUACAUUUGCAGUUUAGUCCUUCUAGCAGCAACUUGCACACCUACUCCCGUGAUUUCCGGCCACCGGCCUAGGGCAUGGCCUCCCUCUCCCCUAGCCACCUACCACCUGCAAAAUGAAGCAAAAAUCAUCUAUAAAAGGGGCUUUUAACCCCAAAAUCAACACCCACGAAUCUCCAAAAAAAAGUUUCAAAGAGAAAAAAGCUUCAAAAAUAAGAAAAAAGGGGAGAGAAAGGAAAGGAAAGAGAAAGGUCCGGUGGAGUCGACGGUGGCAGCUCGAACGGCGGCGUGAAAGAAGCGACGGUGUGGGGGCUCGGUUUUGAAGAAGAAGAAGAAGAAAGAAAAAGAAAAAAGAAAAAGAAAAAAAAUAAAAAAUAAUAUAACAGUCGGGUCAACCCAACCCGACCCGACCCACCGACGAUCCGACCCGAACAGCAACCCCAGCACCCCAAGCCCAACAAAAAAAAAGAAAGGAGAAAAGAAAAACAGGCCAGUCCAACAGGCCCAACAGCCUGGCAGCCCAGCAGGCCAGCAGCCCAGCCCCUAGCAGGCCAGCAGGCCUCCAAGCCCAACGCAAGCACCAGCAGGCCAGAAAAAGAAAAGAAAAAAGAAGAGGAAAAAAGAGAAAAAAAAAAAAGAAAAAAGAAAAAGGGGCCCAAGUUGUGCGACCCGUUCGAUUAAGCUCGUAUUUUCGAGCUUUUCGGUAAUUUUCUUUUUUUUUUUUUUUUUAAUUUAAUUUGUACACUUUUAUAAUAUCUCGUAUUUUAUAUUAUGCGUUUAAUAUUUUCUUUAUUUUUAUUUUAAUUUUACAAAACAUUAGUAUAUUUAUUUUAUUUAUUUUAAUUUUAAAUAAUUUAAAUAAAUGAGGCAACGAAUCGAUCUAACAUUAAAUCGUCUGUCGAAACCGUUUUUUUGAAAACAAAAUUUAGUUGUCGACUUUAAAAAUUAAACUGGAGUCGCCACCGAUCCUUUAUUAAGGUGUGAUCGGCUCACCCUAUUUUGGUCUACGAAUUUUGAGAAAAUGAGUCCGGGAGUCAGUUACGCACGAGGAAGGGUUAGCACCCUCGUAAUGCCCAAAAUCGGUACCAAAUUGAUCAUUUAAUGUCUUAGUGUCGAAGUUUAAAAAUAUUUUAAAAUAAACUCGAAUGAUGAAAUUUGAAAAAGGAUAAUCAAUUGUUCAAGUCAUAUAAAGAAAUCGAGUCCCAAUACAUUAGGGUACAAUUCCUCAUAAUCCCCGAACUUUGAAUAUCACUUUUAUUUUAUACGAAAAUCUUCAUUUCGAGAAAGUAACAUGCCACACCCAAUACGUUAGGGCACGGCAAGUUAAGUUCUCAAAAAUUAUUUUUAUACUCAUGCAUUUUGAAUAAAGAAUAUCCUCGGUUAUUUAAGAUUAACAAAAAAAAUCAGAACCCAAUACGUUAGGGCUCAAUUUUCCUUGAAAAUCCCAAACUUCGAAUAUUACUUUUAUUCAAAAAAAAAAACCUUUGAAUCAAGAGAAAAUGAUUUUGAUGUAUGGUUAAAACCAAAAUAUAUUUUCAAAAGGGUAUGUUGAAAAGUUAAUGUACAAUAUGAUACAAAUACUUUAAUUUAAAAUAUAUGUAUAUAUGUAUUUUCAAAAUAUAAGUAUGAGACAUAAAUAAAUUUUGAAAACGUAUAUAAGCAUAUAUUAAAACAGGUAUAUAUAAGUAUACAUAUAUAAAAUAAAGAAAAUAAAUGAAAUAUAUAAAACAAAACAAAAACCUAUUAUAAUUCCUAAGAAAAUAUGCAUGUAUAUAUAUGUAUGCGAGAUUUAUGAAAAUAGGAUAAAAAUAUAAAAAUAUGUACAUGUGAAAAUCAACAAAAUAAAAAUACAAAUUUAUGUAUAUAUAUAAAAUAAAAAUUGGGUAAGUAUGUAUAAAAUAUAAGGCAUGUGAAAGUUAAAAUAAAAAAAAAACUAUAUAAAAAAAUGUGCGAGAGAAAUAUAUGUAUGUAUGUAAAAAAAAACUCAAAUUAUAUAUAUAUAUUAAAUAUGCAUAUGUGUAAAAUACGUGAAUGUGAAUGUAUAGAAAAUAUAUAAUGAUAACUAUAAUGCAUAAUAUAACAAUAAUGUUUUUUUUAAGAAAAAAAAUUAAAUAAAAUAAUAGUUUUUCCUUAAAAAAUUGGAUUAAAUUGAGCUUAAAGACAAAAAAGUGGGGCAGAUUUGAAAUAAAUUGGAAGGUAGGACCAACUUAAAUGCGAGCAGAAUAAUGGGGGAUCAAAAGGGAAAUUAUUCCCGUCUUCCCAAAAGCUGCGCAGCGAUGGGCACAUAUGGAACAAAAAUAAAACAUGCGGGAAAACUUAAAAGAAAUUAGAAAUUUAAUUUAAACGCACUGCUAGAAUAGGGGGACCGAAUGCGCAAAUAGACCAUUUAAGGUCUGACGCGCGGACCCCCCUUUCCCCCAAACGGCACCAUUUCAUCUUUGCUUUUAAAAUUUAAAAGAAACAAAAUUAAAACUAAAAGAAAGUUUCCAAUUAUUUCUUUUUCUGUAAGAACUUUUUAGGGUUUUUUGAACCCAUUUUUUUUUUUGCACUGCCACCACUAGGUCGUCCCUUAGCCUCCGACGGCGCCUCGGCCUCCGAUUGCGACGGAGAGGGGACACCACGACGGCACCAGGUAAGAUCCUUUCUCCUUCUUUCCCUUUUUAUUAUAAAUAAACAAAUAAAAUAGAAAGAAUAGAAAAAAAUAAAAAAAAAAUCCCGAUUCACCUUCGAAAAAAAGAAAAUCUUUGUAAUCUCAGUUCUUCCCUCUAUUUUCGUAUCUCUUUUACACUGAAUCAUCCCCCUUUUUACAGAAGAAAUAUGGCGUUAUAUAGCCUAAAAUGGAAAAGAAAAAUAAUAAAAAAAAUCAAAAUAAAAUCUAUUCUGUUAUUGCUGCGCUUGUAUGCCUCUUUUUCGCAGGUUUGGUGGCGAAAAGGGCGUAUGUACGUGAAGGCACAAAUCGCGCGGAGGCUGGCUCUGAAUCUUGCGGCGGCUGGAGAGGGGAUUGCGGCGCUAGGAGUUGUGUACUGAUACUAGGGUUUCUUUGGGCUAGGGUUAAUUUGGGUUUUGAGAUGUUAAGUGGGUCUGUUUAUUGGUUUGGGCCCGGGCAUUAUUGGGCUUGAGCCCGGGCAUUAUUGGGCUUGUACAUCGUCGAUUUCAUCGCUAUGUUGGGUGAAUGUUACCGGUUUAUGUUAAAUACGAUACGCCCUUUUAAAAAUUGUAAAUAUUCAAAAAAAUUGUAUUUUCAAAAAAAAAUCCUCGGGUUUUGAAAUUUCGUGUCUUCAAAAAAAUUUCUCGUGUUUUCAAAAAUAAGGUAAUGAGUCGAUUGUCACUAAUUCGUUGAUUUCAUUGCUAUGUUGAGUGAAUAUCACCGAUUAGUGUUAAAUACGAUACAUGCUUAAUAUAAAAUCAGAAAAUUUUUCGUGUUUUCAAAAUUCCCGUGUUUCAAAAAGUUUCAUGUUUUCAAAAAUUAUCGUGUUUUAAUCGGAUCACGAUUAAAUAUUAAAUUGAACUCGUAUUUUUGAAAAUUAAGACAACAUGCGUUUAAAGAGAUACCAAUUUUGGGCGUCGCGAGGGUGCUAAUACCUUCCUCGCGUGUAACCGACUCCCGAACCCUAAUUUUCUCUGGAUUUUUACGUGGACCUAAAAUUACCUCUUUUUUAGAAAAGUUUAAAAAUAAAUUUUUCUUCUAAAAAAAGAAUUUUGUAGGUGUCCGAUCACACCUAGAAAAAAGAUCGGUGGCGACUCCUUUUUCAAAUAAAAUCGAGAUUCGGUUUUCAAAUUUACAAAAUUACAUCGACUAGCGCCCGUGCUAAAAAUUUUAGGUCGCUACACUUUUAUCUUGAAUAAAAUGAAUUGGAUGAUAAGGUUCACUUAUUUCAAAGAAAUAAAUUGUUACACUCAGUAAGUUAGAGUACAACAUUUCAAAUCCUCAAAAUUAAGUUUCUCCUUUGAUUUUUAUGCAUUUUGAGAAGGAUAUCUGAUUAUUUGGGUCAAAUGAGAAAAUCAAAACCCAGUAAGUUUGGGUUCGAUUUUACAAAUUCCUAAAUAUCGAAUAUUGCUUUUAUUUCCAUUUAUUAGAAAGAUCCUUGUCUCGAGAAAACAACAUGUCUUAUCCAAUGCGUUAGGAUACAACGUGUCGAAUUCCCGAGAAUGAGUUUUUUAUUUAUAUUUUUGAUUAAAGCAUAUCCUCGAGUAUUUAGAUUCAACGAGGAAAAAUUGGAACUCAAUACGUUAGGGCUCAAUCUUUUCGAAGAUCCCAAAUGCCGAGUAUUUUGAAGAUUUUUGAAUAAAUUGGUUUUGAUACUUAAAUGAUAUGAAACAUAACCUUUUAAGCGAAUAAAAUGCAAUAGAAUAAUAAUGUACAAUGCGAAUUGAUUAUUCGUAAAUUUAAAUAUACACCCAUGAAUACAAACAAUCAAUAGGUAAAUACAAACAAACAUAGUAACAAUAACCUCAAUUAUGCCAAUAUCAACAUCAGCAUUCAAAAUGAAUACUAUAAAAAAGAUAAAUCAAAAUGCAUUAAAUCAUAUACAUAUAUUAAUUUAAAAAAAAUAGUACAUGUGGAAGGAAAAUUUUAAUAAUAAUAUAAAUAAUAAUAUAUACAUAAUAAUAUACAAAAGUUGAAAUAAGCAAAAUAUAUUAAAGUAGGUUUUUUGUUUUUUUGUUUUCAAAAAUGUAUGUAUAAAUAAAUAAAAAGAUAUAAUAUAAAAUCAAUAAUAUGUUAUAUAUACACCUAAAAUAAUAUUAUAUAAUAAUGUAUAUACAUAAAAAAAUAUGUAGAUAAAUAUAUAAACUAAUAUAAAUAAUAAUACUAAUAAUAAUGAUGAUAACCAGGAUAAUAAAAAUAAUUUAAUAAUAAUAAGGCAAAAAGGGGACUAAAUUGAAACUAAAACCAAAUUUAAAGGAUGAAAAAUGCAAUUCGAAAUGUCCAAAGGUUGCGUUGAAACGCGCGCGUAAUAUUAGGGAUCAAAAAGGGAAAUAAUCCCUUGCCCAAAACGCAGCGCUUUAAUGCGGAUUAAAAUGAAACAAAAAUAAACUGAGAGAUUAAAUCUAAAAAGAAAUAAAGGGAUUGGAUUGAAGUGCGCUUGAAAAGUGGAGGGGCUGUGCGAGCAAAUAGACCGUCAAACAAAAUACGCGAAUCCUUCCCUCGGAUCGGGUCACCGCGCGGAUGCUAGCAUCAUACGACGCCGUUUUGAGACCAUCAAAUUGGCAUAAAACGACGUCGUUUAUUACUACACUUAUAGACCAAAAAUAACCCUAAAAUUAGCAGCCAUUUCAUUUUAACAAAACAAAAUAGAAAAACCUAAACUAAAACACUCUUCUCUGUGCCGCUCCGCCGUUUGCAGCCCAGAGACGACCCCCUUUCGAACUCCGAUUUCAACAGAGCAGAACGGGGGUUAACGGCACCAUCAAGGUAACCUUCUCCUUCUUAUUUGCUUUAUAUAUACGCUUAUAUGUGAUUAAUAACGAAACAGAAAAAAAAGAAAAGCAAUCGAAAAAAAAGAAUGGAAAAAAGAAAACCUUUUUCUUUGUAUUGAUUUUGUUUUUUGAUACAAUCUCUGUGUAUUCUCUCUGUGUAUGAGGAUAACCCCCUUUUACAAUGCAUAUUUGGCUUUUUAUAUAGCCAGAAAAAUGAAAAGAAAAGAAAAACCAGAAAAUUCCAAAAGAAAAAAAUGUUUUUCCCUCUUUGUUGUUGCUACUGUUUUCUGUUUGUCUUCUCUUGCAGGUACGGCGUACGGAGACCGACGUGGCGGUACGGAGGUAGCCGUACGAAGGCGCGCUUGGCUGGGGGAAAACGGCGCUGGAGGUUGCUGUUGCGGCGCUUGUGUUAGGGCUGAAUGCCUAGGGUUUCCUUUAGUUGUUAGGCCACAUAGCAAUUGGGCUGGGUGUAUAAGCUUGGGCUAGGUUAAUUGAUUUGGGCCACAUUGGGCCCAUGUAUUUGGAUUGUGGACUGUUAUUAAUUUUUGUUUGGUUUAUAUUUUUUUAUUUUGAUUUGAUUUUUAUAUUACGGGCCGGCCAAAUUGGGCCUACUACACACAUAUAUAACAAAGUUUGGAAUUAAAAAAAUAAAAUAAAAUAAAAAGGACAUAAAUAAACAAACAACAAUAUUAAUAUAAUAAGACAAAUAUCUUUAUGCACACCAUCAUCCCACACUAUUGGACUCCUCGCUUUAUGCACACCAUCAUCCCACACUAAAGAACCAGAAACCAUAGAUGCAUCCAUUGUUCCUUCAAUUAUUACUUGAAAAGACAGCUUUUGUCCCACAGAUGUAAACGACAAAACAUUAGGGUUAACUCAGACUCUAGCUGUUCUUGUCGGAAAACUCACUCUUGCUCUAUACGUCGCCAUCGGAGAUCCCACAUUCGUAACAGUUCUAUUGAAAACACGACGAACAGUUGUUGAAGAAGAAGUGAAAACAGCAAAUGAAGGAUAGUUUAGAUCCGAAAGUACUGUUCCAUUUGUUGCUGCAGAACAUGUUGCAUUAUCCCUAGUAACUUGUCGAAGAAACCGAGUGUCAUAUCCUUGUCCGCAUAAAAAAUUUAUGUAAUCAACUUCAUUGGAAUUGUAGAUUAAGCCUGGAUUUAUAGCUUUGAUUGGGUUCAAAUGGCCUGAUCCGUAUGCAAACUCAGCGUCCGAGUUCAUGCCUGAACUCAUAGGGGAAGCUGUAGUGAUAAGGGAAGAUUUGAUAGCAGAAGGAGACCAAGUGGGAUGAAAAGAUUUAAUGUACGCAGCUGCGGCAGAAACAUGGGGACAAGCCAUUGAUGUGCCUGUGAUUAUGUUAAAUGGAACCCAUCUAUUAUCGCCUCUAUUUUGGGAAACUGGUGAAGCUAAAGACCAUGCAGCUACAAUAUCAACCCCUGGUGCUGACAAAUCUGGCUGUAAUUAUUACCCACAAAAAUUUAGAAAACUUGGGAUUAGGUUACGCCUAAGUUUACUAUUACCAUAUUUUAUAAGCUCUCCCCGAGCUUAAAAUUUUGUUUAAAUUAACUCAUAUUUAUAAAUAAUUAAUUUAAAUCUAUUUUAGAUUUGCCUAUAUUAUUUAAAAAAAAUAAAAUAUAUAUUUAUAUUAUUUUUAAUUUAAUAUUUAAUAAUUUUAUAUAUUUUUUAUUUAUUAAAAUUUUAUAUAUAAUUACCUAACAUUUUUUAAUUUUUAGAUUAUAAUAGUAUUAUAUAGUACUAUAGAUUUAAUUUUUAUAAAUGGUAUAAUAUAUAAAAAUAACAUAAUAUAAAAUAUUAGAAACAUAAAAAUUAAGUUGGACUUGGGUUUUAAAUGUUCAAUCAUAGAGAUUGUACAACCCAAAUUUUUACCCGGCCCAAUACUCAAAUUAAAACCAAGCCCAUUACAAAACAACCCAAACCCGGAGCCCAACUAGCCUAACUCGAGGCCCAAACCUGACCGGCCCAAUAGCUAAGGCCCAACUCCCCCCCAAAAAAAUCUGCCUAGGGUUUCAGAGACUGAAACCCUAGGCGCCGCCUCUAGGGUCUUUGACCCCUGGCCUUCUGACACCGCCACUGUCCCAUCGACGCCGCCCGCAGCCAAGUCGACCCUCCACUUGCGCCGUCACCUGCAAAGAAGAAACAAAACAAAGAAACAGAGAGCAGAGAACGCAAGCAAUAGUGGAAAUCGGCUAUAAAAAGCCAACAAAAUGUAAUUUUUUGUUUUUCGGGCAAUCUUUGUAACAAAAAAAAUAGAUAGUAGCAAAAUAAAUAAAAAAAACAUUCAAGGUGAUUUAGACUUCUGGAUUCCUCUGUUUUCUUUCACUUUAAGUUUUUAUUUUAUAUUUUUUUUCUUUUUCAUUUGGAUUUGUUUCUCUAAAAAAGGUCAAGAAAAGGGUGAAAGGCGAUACCUUUCACUUGCGGCACGCCACCGUCGGUGAUCCCUUCUGCGCCGGAGCCGUAGAAAUCCUCUGGGGUUUUGUUUAGGCCGCGCCAGAGGAGAGACGGGCAAAAAGGAGCAACCCCUCCCCUUUUCUUUUCAUUUUCCGGCAACGCGAAGCCGCGAUGAGGCCACGGCGAGGCCUUUGCGCGAGCUCACCGAUGGUGUGGCCGGAUUCAAAGGGGAGAGGAAGCGUUUUUAACAGAGAGGGGAAGAGAGUGAUUUGAGUUUUUUUUUAUUUUAGCUGUAAAAAAUGUAUUUUUUGUAAAAAUUUUCUGUUUAAAUAACCCCCCACGAAAUGGCGCCGUUUUAGGCUUCCCUGACCCGCGCGGUGACCCAACCCAGGGGAGGAUCUGCGCGUUUUCUAUAAAUAGGGUAUUUGCGCAAUAAGUCCCUCCGAGUUUGUGACACUUUCGAGGCAGUUCUCUGUAUUUUUGCAAUUCAGCCCCGCAGUUUGUUUCUGUUUCAUUUUAGUCCCCAGAAACGCCACGUUUUGAGAUUUUGGUUUAUUUUCAGUUUUGGUCCCCCCUCUUUCAGCGUGCGUCGCGAUUUAGUCCCUUUUACCUUUUCUUAUUUCGAUUUCGCCCAAUACUCUCGUUUUUAUUUCGAUUUAGUCCAUAUUUUAGUAAUUCUAUUAUUUAGUUAUUAUUAUUAUUAUUAUAUUUAUUAAUAUUAUUGUUAUUUUUAUGUUUUUAUAUUUACUUAUGUAAAUUUUAGAUAUGUGUUCUAUUAUACUAUUAUUAUAUAAAUUUUUUUAUACAUAUAUGUAUAUAUAUAUUUCUAACUUAUUUAAUAUAUAUAAAUACUCAAUUUUAUAUACGUAUCUAUAUAUAUAUUUUUAUAUAUUAAAAUAUGUAUAUCAUAUAUUAUUUUAUGUUAUUUUUAUAAUCCACAUAUGUAUCUCUUUACAUUUAAUUGUAUUUACUACUUAUUUAUUUCAUUUUCUUUAUUUUUUUUGAAUAAAUGUUUUAAUUUAUUUGUUUAUAUAUUGUUACUUUAUAUGAUUGUAAGUAUGACUUUUAUUUAUUUUAUAUUGUUACUAUUGCUCGUAUCAUUUUUAUACUUUUGCGUACAUUAUGAUUUUAUCAUGCAUAACAACAAUGUAAUUGGCUUUCGUAUUUUUUUUACUACGAUUUUCGUAUUUCAUUUUAUUUGAUAUAACAAAGUUGUUUUGAAUAAAUAAUAUUUUGUGUUUAGAUUCGAGAAAAUCGUACCCUAACUUACUGGGUUUCAAUUUUCACGAUAAACCAAAAUGCACGAAUCUUUUUAAACUCGAAUUCUAAAUAAUCUCGGGUUUUAAAAACAAAAUCGCGUCCUAACUUACUGGUCGUGAUCUCAUUUUUAAAUUUGAGAUAGGUAAAAUAUCUUUUAAACAAGCAUUUUUAUGUAUUGGGAAUUCGAGAUAUUGUGUCCUAACUUACUGGAUAUGAUUCUCUUUCUCGAAUAACGUGAAAUAUGCCCAUUCUUUGAAAAUUUUCAACGUUUUAAUACAAGGAUCAUAUUUUUAAAUUUCUUUAAAGUUUUCGGUUUUUCGACACUAAGACAUUAAGUAAUCAACUAGGUGUCAAUUUUGGGCGUAUCGAGGGUACUAAUCCUUCCUCGUGCGUAACCGACUCCCGAACCCGUUUUUCUGAAUUUCGUGGACUAAACUCGUUGUUUUAAUAAAAUUAAACUUUUUAUUAAAAACAACCACUUUUACAAGGUGACCCAAUCACACCUCAUCAAAAAGGAUUGGUGGCGACUCCCGUUUUUUUCGUUUUAGUCGAAACCCAAGUCGACCCCGUUUUUUCAUCCAAAAAAUGGUGUCAACAGCUUGGCGACUCCGCUGGGAACUUUAAAUAAAAGAGUCAAGCCACGAGUUGUUUAUUUCUUAUCUUUUUGUCGAAAGUUGAAAAUCUGAUUUAAAUUUAUGAUCUUCUCAUUGCAUUUCAUUUGUUUUGAGUUAUGGUUUUCAUCAUGUUUUGUAUUCUAAAUUUUUAUAUCUCUGCACAUUGCAUUGCAUGACCUUUGGUUACACCUUUUAAGUGGGAGUGAGAAACUACGCUUUCGUGAGGUUUUCACCUCCACAUGGGAUAGUGAAUCGCUUCCGGGAUACAUCUGUACCUAUGUCUUCGUGAGAUUUUCAUCUCCGCAUGGCCAUAGGAAAAUGUAUUCCCCUGAACCGAACUCAGUUUGUAUGAGCCUAUAAUGGGUGAAGAUCGAGGAAUCUGCUGGUUCGGGUACCUUAUCUCUAGAGCCAAACCGCAUAUAGAAGACCUUAGGAACCCAUCCUAGGUAGGAGUCACUCCAAGCCCCUAGUAGUCACCCGACUAGGUACUUUUGUUUUCCUUGCUUACUUAUGUUUUGAACUAACCCCUCUUGUUGUGUUUUGAUUGCAUUGCAUUUGCAUAUUAGGAAAGAGAUAUUGAUUCAAGUCCGAUUACUAAAUUAGAAGGCUUGUCAUGGAAUACGAAUUCUUUGAUAAAGUGGAAAAUAAUACGGCUGCCUGAAUAUAUUCUGAGAAAUACAAGAAUGGCGAUGGAAGAGUUCGUGACCCUGCUUCAUGGCCUGAGGAUUCAAGGCGAUUGUCUAAGAGCCUUCGACGUCCCAACUCCUUUAAAGAAGCUGAUGACCUUAUGGACAGAUGAUGGAUCGCGACCAAGAUCAAGAAAAUGAGCUAGUAAUGGCAUACAUUGGAAAUUGGCGAGAUUAUCUUAAACAUGAGCAUGAAGAAGAAGAUAGAUGUCAUUUCUUGGAAUAUGAGGGUGAGGCCGUACAUGUAUCCCUUUUAUGUAAAGGAAUUUACUUUCUAGAAAAGUUUCCUAAAUGUAAUUGAAUCAGAAUCAACGUCUCUUUAGACAUGCAUUUUAUACAUUGCAUUACAUGCAUUAAAAUCUAUUGAAAGAGUCUAAACGAGUAAAAUUAUUUCAGCUAACCUGAAAAACCGACCAACCAAACAUCCUUACGAUAUCCAAGCAAAGAUUAGAGAAAUGGAACGAAGGUUGGAAAAUUUAGAGCGAAUGCAGAUUCAGAUGCAGGAGCAAUUGACUGAAUUUCAACAGGAGAUGAGAGAUCAGAUGCUAGAAUUACGGAGAACCAUGAUAAACCAGUUCGACCGACUACUAGCUGGAGAGUUAGAAAAGAGGAGAGACCCGGUGGUCCACUUUGGGGUUGAUAAUGAGGACCUUGCCUAUUCCCUAGAUUGUACUCCGACAAGUGUUCAGGUCCAGCCAGAUGGGCGCCCACAAGGGACAUUCUUUACUAUUAGAUUACAACAGUAUCAAACUGGUACAACAACACCAGUGAGUUGUUUGACAGACCCAAUGUCUAAUUUGAGGAACAAUUUUCCUGACAACCCAGCAAAAAUAAAACAAGCAAGGAUAAAAUACCCAGAUACUACAAAGGCCCUAGGGAAGAGGGGAAUAAAGGGGAUAAUGCAAACAGAUAUAACAAGGGACACUCAAAACCAAUCACUGUGGGCUGGCCAAAGACAGAAACCCCCAGACAUCAGAGUUCUUUAAAGAAAGAAUCGGGAGUGAAACCAGGCACUGAGAAGCUCCAGUUCACAACAAUUCCGAUGUCAUAUAAGGAGCUGUAUCAAAGCUUGUUUGAUGCACAUGUUGUUGCUCCUCAUUACUUAAAACCCAAGCAACCCCCGUAUCCCAAAUGGUAUGACAUGAACGCACAAUGUGACUACCAUGCGGGAAUUACAGGGCAUUCAAUAGAGAAUUGUAUUGCCUUCAAGAAGCUAGUUGAAAAAUUCAUCAACAUGGGUAUUGUCAAGUUGGGUGAUUCAUCUAGUGCAAAAAACCAUCUACCCAAUCAUGUUGACAACGGGAUGAAUGAGAUGUAUGAAGCAAUGUUGGCAAGUGUUCACACUAAUGGCAUAUAUGAGGACACAAUUGGGAAGGGACCUUGUUAAAUGUUCGCCCUUAUGAAUUUUGGAGUGUUCUAAACAAUUAGACUGUGAAAGAAAUUCCUAUAAUUUUUAGAGCUUUUCUAGAGUAAUGUUCAGAACAUUUUUGUUGUUUUAAGCCUAGAGGCAAUAAGAACUCUUUUGUGAAAUAGGCUAAUGUCUGAACAUCAUUAUUUUAAUGGAAUGUAUCUUUGCGAUCUUUUUGAACCAAUAUUCUUUCAUUUCUUAUCAAUGAUUGUUUUUAUUCUUUUAUUCUUUCUUCCAAAUCAUUAUUGCAUUCAUAGUCAUAUUGUACAUAACUUCAUAUAUUAUUUGUAUAUUCUUUUGUACUUACAGUAGGUCCCUGAAUAUCAACGACAUGAAUGACACUACUACAGACUCGGAUUCUCCUUUUGAGCGAGACAUGUGUUUAGAGGGAUCUCAUGACUUUGAAGAUGACAUAGAUUGUAGCCUGUCUCGAGACUUAUUGAGGAUGAUAGAACAAGAUGAAAAAUAGAUCCUACCUUACAAAAGUCAGUGGACAGUAAGCUUAGGAGAGGAGAAAGAGGUAAAGAUUCGAGUUUGCAUCAUCGCAGAGAUAAAGCGAGACAUUAUUGAGUUACUCUAAGAAUUCAAAAAUGACUUCGCAUGAUCAAGAUUCGCCUCAGCUACUUAGACGUGUGAACGCUAUUGAAGCAAAGUCUAUAAGGGUGUUUGAGGAAUACAUGCUAAUAGUUUUGCAAUGGCCAAGCAAAUCAUAAGAUUCGGGUACUACUGGUCCACCAUAGAAGAGGGCUGCAUUAGUUAUACCUAGUGCCAUUUAUAGGGUCAAGAUUUAUGUGCUUCUCUCAUCUCUUCAUGUUAUGACCUUCUCAUAGAUUUUCUCUAUGUGGGGUAUGGAGGUGAUGGGCCCAUCUCGUCAAAGCUUUUAGCCAAUAUCAAUUCAUCUUUGUGGUCUUCGAUUACUUCACUAAGAGGGUGGAAAUAGCUUCAUAUACGAAUGUCACAAGGUCGAAGUCAUUAAAUUCCUUUCAAAAAAAAUUAGGAGUCGAUAAAAAAAAGGACAAUGUUAGAAGUUUUUAGUCUGUUCAAAUAUUAGAUGCUGUAGGUAACCAAAAAAAAAAGAUCGUGAGAAAGACGACCGAGACUUGUAAAGAUUGGUAUAAGGAAGUUACCAUUCACCCUCUAUGCUCAUCAAACGACGACUAGGACCUUUACCGGGGUAACACCUGGCCCAUUGGUUUAUGGAAUGUUAAAAGCUUCUUGUCAUGGUCAAAUGAUAUGAGCUUAAGACAAAGAGAUUAAUCCUAGAAAAUGUGGAUGCCAAAUUAGGAAAGACCUUAUGUUGUAAAAAAAAAGCCUGUUCUGGAAGAGCACUGAUAUUAACCGAGAUGGAUGCCAAAGACUUGCCCAAUCUAGUGAAUUCAAAUUCAGUCAAGAAGUAUUUUACCUGCAAAUGAAGAAACCAAGGUGAAAAUCCACAAAGGGUAUCUUGGGUAAAAACAAACUCUACCGGGGCAAUGUCAUUCUCUUGUGCCUAUCACGGUUUUGCCUAUUGAAGACGAGAUUCUUUCUGAGUUUUUGGAUCCAAUCUCAAUCAAUGAGGAAUGUUCAAAGUUAUCUAUCAUGGUCAAAUGCGCCAAAAGUAAACGAUGCGAGCUCAAAAAAAAAUUUGCCCUAGAGAAUUUCAUGAGAAGGACAUGGUACUGAAGAAGAUCCUUCCCAUACAAAAAGAACCUCAUGACAAGCUGGGAAAAACCUAGUGGGGAAGGCCUUAUCUGGAAAAGUGUCAAUCUUGAUCGGAAGGGAUAACAAGGACGAUCCUAAUCCUAUGGGUUUAGAUUCAAUAAAAAAUACAAAAAAAAGAGAAAGAAAGAAAAAAAGAAGAAAGAGAAGAAGAAGAAGAAGAAGAAUAGAAAAGAAAAGGAAAAAAGGAGAGGCCAAGGUGAAAACCCACAAAGGGCGCCUUGAGACCAAAGGGGAUUUGAGUUGAAAACCCAAAAAGGGCGGCUAAAAUUUUGAAACAAAAUGGGGUACGAAGUGAUCAGAGCGGCUUAAAUUUUAGAUCAAAUUGGGGCAUGGUGGUGAUCAGAGUAGCUCAAAUUUUGAUCAGAUCGGGGCAUAUGAUGAUCUUGCCAUACUAAAACAACAAGAAAAGGUAGGCGACAUCUUGGAGCAUCGACAAAGUCCUGAAGAUCUCCUAAACACAUGUCAAACGCAGAAUGGUCUUUCAAAAAGUUUGUACAGAGAAGUUCAGGUUGCGAUAUCUAGGGCAUCUAGCCCUCAUACUAUUUAUAUUGAAUUUGUUAUUCUUGAAAUACUUCUUUCUUUUCCAAGAUACAUGUUCAAAUCAAUUUCUCUUUUUAUUCUUGCUAUCCUUGAUAAUUUAUUCAUUUCGAGCUAUGCUCUCAAAUCAAUUCUAUUUUAUCUAUCGUUAUGAUCUUUUGCAAGCAUGUUGCAUUAGAAUAAUGAUUAAUGGACUAAUAAUACUUUCACAAUGGAAGUUUUGCAUAUUACUCUAAAAGUUUCUAAAUAAUAUAGGAACCUGAAACCGGACUAUUGUUUAGAAAACACCAAGUUUAAAGGGUGAAAUAUCUAAGAAGGAAGGAUCUAAGUUAAAGACUAUCCUUUCAGAUUUUGUUGUCCAAACAUUAAUUGAACAAAAUGACAAGAUGCCGUGUUGGUGACAAAGCUUCAAUGAACAAACAAGUAAUGAUCACCGAGUGAUAAGAAAAGGUUUUCUCAAAGAAGAAAAUUUUGCAAUUGUGCAUGAGCAUUUGGUAUGACACCUUGGGAAUGGGGUAAAAGAACCAAAAAGCUUCACAUUCUAUAUCAUUAAAUUAUGAUAACAGAUGAUCGAGAAAAAGGCCAGGUCUUUCUAUCCUAGGGUUACAAAGGGAGAAAGAUGAUUCAAAUUUUGUAUCCAGUGGAUUGAACCUUGAAGAUUACAGUAGGGGAAAUCCGACCAAGUGAGAGAUGAGCAUUACCAAUAAGACAAAAUAGCAUUCGGACAUGUUGGCAAUAAAGCCUUAUUGAGCAAGGGGCAUUAACAACUCAAACAUUGAAAGAUCAUUUUCAAUUUGCAUUCAUGCAUACACAUUUAGUUAGGAUAUUUUGAUUCAUUUUGAUCAUAAUCACUAGGCAUAAAUAGGUUCAUAUAGGUCAUGUUCCCAAGAGAACAGACCAAUGAAGUUACAGAUCUUGCUUUCCUGCACUGAUAGCGAAGCAAAUCGAAGAAACCAUAGUUUGCAAUUCAAAGAUUGAAUCCACAACGGUGAAUCUUACUUCCCAGGCGAUGCAGCGGAGUAUUUUGAAGCUACAACGGUGAAUCUCACUUCCCUGACAUUGCAAUUCAAAGAUUGAAGCCACAACGAUAAAUCUUACUCCCAGGCGAUGCAGGGGAGCAGAUUGAAGCUAUAAUAGUGAAUCUCACUUCCCCGACAUUGCAAUUUAAAAGAUUGAAGCUACAACAGCGGAUCUUACUUUCCUAGCAUUGCAGUGGAACAGAUUGAAGCUACAGCAGCGGAUCUUGCUUCCCGGGCAAUUAAAAAGAUUGAAGCUACAACAGCGGAUCUUACUUUCCUAGUGUUGCAGUGGAACAGAUUGAAGCUACAACAGCGGAUCUUGCUUCCCUGGCAGUUAAAAAGAUUGAAACUACAACAGCGGAUCUUACUUUCCUAGCAUUGCAGUGGAACAGAUUGAAGUUACAGCAGCGGAUCUUACUUCCCUAGCAAUUAAAAAAUAUUGAAGCUACAACAACGGAUCUUAUUUUCCUAGUGUUACAGUGAAACGGAUUGAAGUUACAACAGCGGAUCUUGCUUCCCUUGCAAUUAAAAAUAUUGAAGCUACAACAGCGGAUCUUACUUUCCUUGCGUUGUAGUGAAACAGAUUGAAGCUACAGCAGUAGAUCUUGCUUCCCCGGUAAUUAAAAAUAUUGAAGCUACAACAGCGGAUCUUACUUUCCUAGUGUUGCAGUGGAACAGAUUGAAGCUACAACAGCGGAUCUUGCUUCCCCGGCAGUUAAAAAGAUUGAAGCUACAACAGCGGAUCUUAUUUUCCUAGCGUUGCAGUGAAACGGAUUGAAGCUACAGCAACAGAUCUUGCUUCCCUUGCAAUUAAAAAGAUUGAAGCUACAACAGCGGAUCUUACUUUCCUAGCGUUACAGUGAAAUAGAUUGAAGCUACAGCAGCGGAUCUUACUUUCCUAGCAUUGCAGUGGAACAGAUUGAAGCUACAGCAGCAGAUCUUGCUUCCCCGACAGUUAAAAAGAUUGAAGCUACAACAACGGAUCUUACUUUCCUAGUGUUGCAGUGGAACAAAUUGAAGCUACAACAGCGGAUCUUGCUUCCCUGGCAGUUAAAAAGAUUGAAGCUACAACAGCGAAUCUUACUUUCCUAGCAUUGCAGUAGAACAGAUUGAAGCUACAGCAGCGGAUCUUGCUUCCCUAGUAGUUAAAAAGAUUGAAGCUACAACAGCGGAUCUUACUUUCCUAGUGUUGCAGUGGAACAGAUUGAAGCUACAACAGCGAUUGAAGCUACAACAGCGAUUGAAGCUACAACAGCGGAUUUUGCUUCCCCGGCAGUUAAAAAGAUUGAAGCUACAGCAGCGGAUCUUACUUUCCUAGCGUUGCAGUGAAACAGAUUGAAGCUACAGCAACGGAUCUUUCUUCCCUUGCAAUUAAAAAGAUUGAAGCUACAACAGCGGAUCUUACUUUCCUAGCGUUGCAGUGAAACAGAUUGAAGCUACAGCAGCGGAUCUUACUUUCCUAGCAUUACAGUGGAACAGAUUGAAGGUACACAGCAGAUCUUGCUUCCCCGACAGUUAAAAAGAUUGAAGCUACAACAACGGAUCUUACUUUCCUAGCAUUGCAGUGGAACAGAUUGAAGCUACACAGCAGAUCUUGCUUCCCCGACAGUUAAAAAGAUUGAAGCUACAACAACGGAUCUUACUUUUCUAGUGUUGCAGUGAAACAGAUUGAAGCUACAACAGCGGAUCUUGCUUCCCUGGCAGUUAAAAAGAUUGAAGCUACAACAGCGAAUCUUACUUUCCUAGCAUUGCAGUAGAACAGAUUGAAGCUACAGCAGCGGAUCUUGCUUCCCCGGUAGUUAAAAAUAUUGAAGCUACAACAACGGAUCUUACUUUCCUAGUGUUGCAGUAGAACAGAUUGAAGCUACAACAGCGAUUGAAGCUACAACAGCGGAUCUUGCUUCCCCGGCAGUUAAAAAGAUUGAAGCUACAAUAGCGGAUCUUACUUUCCUAGCGUUGCAGUGAAACAGAUUGAAGCUACAGCAACGGAUCUUGCUUCCCUGGCAGUUAAAAAGAUUGAAGCUGCUACAGCGGAUCUUACUUUCCUAGCAUUGCAGUGGAAUAGAAUAAAACCAUGAAUCCCCUCUUGAAGUUGCUGCGAAGAAGAUUAAAGCUACUAAUUAGAGCUUUUUAAAGUGUAGUGGAGUGGAUCGACGUGACAAGACACAGUGGAUUGAAAUAAAGCUACUUGAAGAGAAGCACCAAAACAAAUCAAGAAUUGGCAAGACCGGGUAAAAAUUGGUCUUUCUUAGUCUUUGCUCUGUUAUCGUUACACGACAACAAGCAAAGAGGGGCAACUGUACAGCCCAAAUUUUUACCCUGCCCAAUACUCAAAUUAAAACCAAGCCCAUUACAAAUCAACCCAAACCCGGAGUCCAACUAGCCUAACCCGAGGCCCAAACCUGACCGGCCCAAUAGCUAAGGCCCAACUCCCCCCCAAAAAAAUCUGCCUAGGGUUUCAGAGACUGAAACCCUAGGCGCCGCCUCUAGGGUCUUUGACCCUUGGCCUUCUGACACCGCCACCGUCCCAUUGGCGCCGCCCGCAGUCAAGUUGACCCUCCACUUGUGCUGUCACCUGCAAAGAAGAAACAAAACAAAGAAAUAGAGAGCAAAGAACGCAAGCAAUAGUGGAAAUCGGCUAUAAAAAGCCAACAAAAUGUAAUUUUUUGUUUUUCGGGCAAUCUUUGUAACAAAAAAAACAGAUAGUAGCAAAAUAAAAAAAAACAUUCAAGGUGAUUUAGACUUCUGGAUUCCUCUAUUUUCUUUCACCUUAAGUUUUUAUUUUAUAUUUUUUUUCUUUUUCAUUUGGAUUUAUUUCUCUAAAAAAGGUCAAGAAAAGGGUGAAAGGCGAUACCUUUCACUUGCGGCACGCCAUCGUCGGAGAUCCCUUCUGCGCCGGAGCCGUAGAAAUCCUCCGGGGUUUCGUUUAGGCCGCGCCAGAGGAGAGACGGGCAAAAAGGAGCAGCCCCUCCCCUUUUCUUUUCAUUUUCCGGCAAGGCGAAGCCGCGAUGAGGCCACGGCGAGGCCUUCGCACAAGCUCACCGAUGGUGUGGCCGGAUUCAAAGGGGAGAGGAAGCGUUUUUAACAGAGAGGGGAAGAGAGUGAUUUGAGUUUUUUUUUAUUUUAACUGUAAAAAAUGUAUUUUUUGUAAAAAAUUUCUUUUCAAAUAACCCCCCACGAAGCGACGCCGUUUUAGGCUUUCCUGACCCGCGUGGUGACCCGACCCAGGGGAGGAUCCGCGCGUUUUCUGUAAAUGGGGUAUUUACGCAAUAAGUCCCUCUGAGUUUGUGGCACUUUCGAGGCAGUUCUCUGUAUUUUUGCAAUUUAGCCCCGCAUUUUUGUUUCUGUUUCAUUUUAGUCCCCUGAAACGCCACGUUUUGAGAUUUUGGCUUAUUUUCAGUUUUGGUCCCCCCUCUUUCAGUGUGCGUCGCGAUUUAGUCUCUUUUGCCUUUUCUUAUUUCGAUUUCGCCCAAUACUCUCGUUUUUAUUUCGAUUUAAUCCAUAUUUUAGUAAUUCUAUUAUUUAGUUAUUAUUAUUAUCUUUAUUAUUAUUAUUAUAUUUAUUAAUAUUAUUGUUAUUAUUAUGUUUUUAUAUUUACUUAUGCAAAUUUUAGAUAUGUGUUCUAUUAUACUAUUAUUAUAUAACUUUUUUUAUACAUAUAUGUAUAUAUAUAUUUUUCUAACUUAUUUAAUAUAUAUAAAUACUCAAUUUUAUAUACGUAUCUAUAUAUAUAUUUUAUAUAUUAAAAUAUGUAUAUCAUAUGUUAUUUUAUGUUAUUUUUAUAAUCCACAUAUGUAUCUCUUUACAUUUAAUUGUAUUUACUACUUAUUUAUUUCAUUUUCUUUAUUUUUUUGAAUAAAUGUUUUAAUUUAUUUGUUUAUAUAUUGUUAUUUUAUAUGAUUGUAAGUAUGACUUUUAUUUAUUUUAUAUUGUUGCUAUUGCUCGUAUCAUUUUUAUACUUUUGCGUACAUUAUGAUUUUAUCAUGCAUAACAACAAUGUAAUUGGCUUUCGUAUUUUUUUUACUACGAUUUUCGUAUUUCAUUUUAUUUGAUAUAACAAAGUUGUUUUGAAUAAAUAAUAUUUUGUGUUUAGAUUCGAGAAAAUCGUACCCUAACUUACUGGGUUUCGAUUUUCACGGUAAACCCAAAUGCACGAAUCUUUUUAAACUCGAAUUCUAAAUAAUCUCGGGUUUUAAAAACAAAAUCGCGUCCUAACUUAUUGGUCGUGAUCUCAUUUUUAAAUUCGAGAUAGCUAAAAUAUCUUUUAAACAAGCAUUUUUAUGUAUUGGGAAUUCGAGAUAUUAUGUCCUAACUUACUGGAUAUGAUUCUCUUUCUCGAAUAACGUGAAAUAUGCCCUUUCUUUGAAAAUUUUCAACGUUUUAAUACAAGGAUCGUAUUUUUAAAUUUCUUUAAAGUUUUCGGUUUUUCGACACUAAGACAUUAAGUAAUCAACUAAGUACCAAUUUUGGGCGUAUCGAGGAUGCUAAUCUUUCCUCGUGCGUAACCGACUCCCGAACCCGUUUUUCUGAAUUUCGUGGACUAAACUCAUUGUUUUAAUAAAAUUAAACCGUUUAUUAAAAACAACCACUUUUACGAGGUGACCCAAUCACACAUCAUCAAAAAGGAUUGGUGGCGACUCCCGUUUUUUUUGUUUUCGUCAAAACCCAAGUCGACCCCGUUUUUUCAUCCAAAAAAUGGUGUCAACAGAGAUAACUAGAUUAUCUCUGAAAAAUUAAAAUUCCAAUGUAGCAUAUAAUUUUAAGAGUUUUAUUACCAAAGAAAGCAAACAGAGACAUGAAGCAGCCAAUUACAUCGUACAAACAUGGAGUUAACAAAAUAGAAGGAUGUUCAUAUAAACACAACGAUGGGACUCCUCACUUUGUGCUCACCAUCGUCCCACACUAAAGCACCAGACACCAUAGCUUUAUCCAUUGUCGCUUCCACUAUUACUUCAAAAGACAGCUUUUGUCCCACCGAUGUGAACGACAGAACAUCGGGGUUAACCCUGAUUUUCAACGUACCUGUCGAAAAACUCAGGUUAGCUCUGUAAACCGCCGUCGGAGAUCCCACGUUUGUGACGGUCCUUUUGAAGGUACGGCUGAAUGGUUUCAAUGGCGAAGUGGAAAGACCAAAGGAAGGGUAGUUUAGUUCCGAAACUGUCCCAUUAGUGUCUUCAGGACAAGUGGAGUUGUCUUUGGAUAAUAAUUGUAUUAACCGAGUGGCGUAUCCUUGUCCGCAUAAGAAGUUUAUGUAAUCGGUUUCAUUGGCAUCGUAUACUAGACCUGGAUUUGCAGCUUUUAAAGGAUUCAAAUGGCCUGAACCGUAUGCAAAUUCAGCUUCCAUGUUGAUGCCAGAGCUCAUGGGGGCGGCUGCAAUUAACAUUGCAAUUGGAAAUUUAAGUGAAAGUUGUACCUAAUCGAACUAUAAAACAUAUUUGUUAUGAGGUUUAUAAUUAAUUACCUGUGGUCAUAAGGGCAGAUUGAAUAGCAGCAGGAGACCAUGUGGGAUGAAAUGAUUUAACGUAGGCAGCUGCACCAGAAACAUGAGGACAAGACAUUGAUGUUCCUGAGAUUAUGUUGAAUGUCACGAACCUGUUGUCGCCUGGAACUAAAGAAACAGGAGAAAUUGAAGACCACGCUGCUAGAAUGUGAACCCCUGGUGCUGAUAUAUCUGGCUGCAAACAACAAUUUAAUGAAAAAAAAAACCAUCAAUCCGUCACAAGUUUCUGCAAAAUCAUAUACUAUAAUAUAUUUGGAAAGAUUUGGAUAAAAAUAUUAAACCAAAGCUUUUUUAUCAUUCAAGAGCAAAAUCACGCUCGGCCUCACCCAACCAUUUUUUUUCUAAAUCUAUAAUAUAUUGUUUUUUUUCUUAUAUUAAAUUGUAAUUUAUAUCCCAUCAAAAAAAUAUUUUAAGUUAUCUAUUUUUAAAAUUUUAAUAAAAGAAAAAUAUUAAAAUACUAUAAUUUUAAAAAUUAUAUUGUUUGGAAUUGAGCAAAAAAAAAAUCAAAGAUUGACCCAAAUCGAGGUGUUUAGAUGAUGAAAUACAAGUUAAAAUAUUAUGGUUAUCCAAACUGAGCCGAAUGCUACUUUUUUGUUUAAUUUAUAAUUAAUUUUAAUUUUUAUAAUUUAAAAAAUAAAUAUUUUAUAUUUAAAAUAGUGAAAAUAACUUAAAAGUUCUAUAUAGAAAUAUUUUUUAAAAUUACCAUAUAAAAGUUAUUGGUUAUUUUUUAUUUACUUGAAAAAAUAAAUUUUCUAGAAAUAUUUAUAAAAAAAAAAGUUGAAAUUUUAUCAAAUGAUAUUCAAAAGAUAUAAAAUAAAACUCAUUUUAUCAAAAUAAAUCUAAAAAUCUAAAUAAGGAUAAAUCGAGAAUCGAAUUGAAUUAUGAUAAACGAUUUAAAAAAAACGACCAAACUAAACUAAACUCACCCCUAAUAUCGACAAACUUAAACAAAUUUGGAUUAAAUAUUUACUAAUACAAGUAGGCUUGAAUUAAAUCCGUCGACCCACGAAUACUUCUAUAUUUACCUUAAAAGAUGUUUAUGUUUUAUAUAUUGGACACAAUUAUUGAAAGAAAAAAAAGUCAAACCAUUAAAUUUUCCAUCAAUUUACCUUAAUAAUCUCGGGUGUAAUCGGAUUCGGACCUCUCGACGAGAAAGAGAUGAUAUAAGGAGCCAAUGAGUCAUUAACCUCACUACUCCUGAAUAUAGUUGCUGUUGGAGCACUACAAAAACAUAUAGGCAAAGUCUUACAUGAUAUUCAUUUGUGUAUUCAUAUUGUAUUCGUAUCGAGUAAUCGUACCUGCUGGAGUUUACGUACUGAAAAAUGUUGCGACCGUCAACAAAGUUAAAACAAGAUGCAGGCAAAGGAAAAAGGCUAGAAUAGUCAAUGCUGUCCUGGCCUCGAGCCACGGUCCCAGCUGCACCAGCCAAAAGGGCUCCUAUCCCAUUAGUGCGUAUCGUAUCACAAAGAACAAUCUUACCCUUCACCAAAUUUUUAUCCAAUGAAUUCGAAAAACAUAACCUGCACUUAAAUGAUUAGAUCACUAAAAUAUUAAUAGUAUAAAAAGAUAUUAAAAAAUGAAAUACUUUAAUUUUACACAUGUGUAACUGGAUCAAUUAAAAAAAGAGAAGCUAAGUUUAUUUACCUGGAUGAUCUACUAGAUGUUGUAGUAGUGUUUGGUGCAUCUCCACCAUAAAUCAUAGGGUAUGUUUUAUUCUUGAGAUCAAAUGUAUUUAUUGAUACUCCCUACAUACAACCAUACAUACAUAUAUAUGAUAACUAUCAUUAUAAAUCUAUGACUAUAAAUCAUGUAUGUAUUUAUAUUACCUCAUAAAUCUUGUUGUUGCCAAGUUGAACCUUGGUGGAAAACUUGCGAUCGAUGGUGCUAGCUGCCACGGAAAGCGACCACGGUGAGAAAUUAGAGAUCGUUGAACGUCCAGGGCCUUCGUUACCCGCAGAACUUACAGUCAGUAUACCGUUUUUCAUGGCAUGAAAAGAUGCGAUAUCGAUCGCAUCUUCGAAAUAGUCUCUGGUCCGUCCUCCACCGAGUGAAAUUGAUAUAAUAUCGACUCCAUCAGAGAUCGCAUCAUCGAAUCCCGCGAGAAUGUCGGCAUCCUGACAACCAUCGGACCAACAUACUUUGUACACCGCAAUGCGUGCCGAUGGAACCCCUCCUCGAGCUGUUCCUGAACCAAAGCCGUAGAGACUUGCACCGUCGACUAAAUUCCCGGCUGCCGUGGAAGCAGUAUGAGUCCCAUGACCGUCGAAGUCUCUCGGAGAUUCAAAGUCUUCCGGUAAAAACAGUCCAUCGCUGCGGUAAUAUUUUGCACCUAUGAUCUUGCUGCAUUUGAACAUAUAGCAAUAUUAGUUAGACAUUUGAAGCACUAAGAUUUCUCCCAUAUCGAACAUAUACUUGUAUCCGAAGCGCACCCCUAAACCCAGUAACAUAACCCAAAAAAAGAAACAAAAGUUACUUGUUGCAAGUGAAAUUGUCUUGUGGUUGAAAUUGGCAACUGCCUUUCCAUUUGGAAGGAGGUGGACCAAGUCCUUUGUCAUCAAAGCUUAGAGAUUCAGGCCAAAUUCCAGUGUCUAAAACACCAAUGAUAACAUCACUUUCCAUGGUUGCUCUUUCAACUUGUUGAGGGAAUCCCAUAAAAUCCCAUGACCUUGUUGUAUGUAGUUUUCUCUUUUCAUUUGGAAACACUGAUACUACACCCUUCAUUCCUGAACAUAUCCAAACAACCAAAUUCAAAUUAAGCUCGAAGAUCUGCGUCUUAAUCCACAGAGUAUUUCCGCUUUGACUUUUAAAGUAGACCUAUUAUUAUAACUCGAACUUGAAAUUUUGAUUUGUUUAACUCGAAUAUGAACUUGAUCUAACUUGAUUUGAUAUAAAAAGUAACAAUAUGAAACCAGAGGGGCAUGGUAAGGUCUUGACCCUCACCUUGGUUGAAUGAGAACUCUUUAAUCCUUCCCAAAAAAUUGUAUUUUUUUAGCAUUUUCAAAAGAUUAAUAAUAUAAUUUAAGCUUUUGAAUAUAAAAAUUUUAACCUUGAUCCCUUCAAAGUUUUAUAAUUUUAUUUUGGAUCUCUAAAAACUUCAUUGCUUCACCCUUGAAACUGGUUCAACUUGAACUAAAAAAUGAACCAAACUUAAGUGCCAAAUCCGAAUGAAAAAAACUCAAAAAGCUCAAUUGAAAAAUCUGAAUGAUUCAAUUUUGAAAUUGACCUGAACUCAAAAAUAAUUCAAACUCGAAGUAAUAUAAAAAUUUUAAAACUUGAAUUGACUCAAUCUAGAAUAAUCAAAUUUGGAAUCAAUUGAACAUGUCUGGUUACAAGUCUAGUUGAAAAUAUAGCGCUCUCUUUUUUACUUGAAAUUCUUAUAAUUUUGUCUAAAGUUUACCAAUCUAACCCUUGAUUGAAUCAUUCAAAUCAUCUGUUAAUUCAAAUUGGUUCGCUCAAUUUAAAUGUUGACCUAAUAAUAAUUAAAUAAUUAAUUCAAAAAUCAUAAAUAUUAUAAAAUCGAUUGAAGCGGCAAUUUUUUAUUUUGAUUUCUAGUUUUUUUAAUUGAACCCAAAUGAUUCACUCAAAAAUCAAUUCAACUCUUGUUUUCAUAUCGAUAUAUUGAUCGGUCUUGUUCCACCAAUCCGACCUAUCAAUCUAAUUCGAUACAAAUAACACUGCUUUUAUCUCAUAAAAAAUAAUUGAUAAAUACAAACUUAAAUGUUUGUGUAUAUAUCAUAAUGGAUUUGAAGAAAUUUUAAAUGUGAGGUUGGAGUGUUACACUUACCGGCCAUUUUUUGUGCUUCUUCCUCAGUCAAAUCCACCACGAACCCAUUAAAACUCUUUUUGUAGCUGUACAGCACUGUCUUCGACUCACUGCAUUCAUUCCAAUUGCAUGCUCAAUCUCAAUAACCAGUAGUAGGUCUUAUUUUGUUUUGGGAUAAAUAUAAUUAAAUAUUACAAUUAAUAAUUAAUUAAACACUUGUAAAAUAGAAUUUAAAAUUCCAUAUUUACUAUCUAAAAAAAUGUACUCGUCCCGCUCUUUAUUCACUUAAAAAAAACUGCUCCAUUCGGAACAAUUUAAUUUAAAAUCCGUUGUAUGAUUUGAAUUUUGUCAUCUCUACUUUGCUUUCAAGAUUCUUUUUUAAAGAAAUUAAAACGUUAGAAUAUAAGAACAUAUAUUUUCUUAUCUAUAUUUGAAUAUAAGGAUAAAGUCAGAAAAUUAUUUUAGAGAAGUUAGAGAUAAAUCAUAAAUUAUUGAUUAACGGUAUAAUUUUAUCAUUAUAUUAAUAUAUAAUUUUAUAAAAAUUUAAGAAAUUAAAUAAUAAAUCUAUUAUUAGGAGGGGCUAAGGCUAUUGACUGCCCUUUUACCUUGGUCCCUGUUUAUAUAUAUAUAUAUAUAUAAAAUAUAAAUAUCAGAUACGGAUAUUUAAAGAAAAAAUCAGAGGCAACAUAUGUUUACACACCUGCCAAAAACAUCUUGUACCAUGCUGCUAUGAAGCAAAGCUGUGGAAGCUCCAUCUUUAAGUCGGUCACCCAUAUACACAAUAUAGCUCUGAAUAUUCACCGAUUACAAUUUUUAUUUUUCUUAAAAUGAAGUUCAUCACCAAUGGAAAUUUUAGAAAAAAAAAAAAAGACAAGAAAUUAAAUCCAGUAUUAACCUUUCGAUUGGCAUUGGCGUUGGAUUGAAAAAGAUGAGAGGCUGCUUUGGUAGUAAGAAGAGCUAAAAGAAAGCAAUGAAGUAGAUAUUUUCCUCCCUCCAUUGAAACAAUGCUCACACAAAAAUAAAUAACAAACUUUUCCAAGUAGUAUAUUUAUGGAGAAAAAUAGAUGCUAAAGUCUUAGUCUUUGUGGAAAUAAAUUAUAUUAGAAAUUUAAACUUUUCAUACUUUUCUUUUGUUUUAAUUUAUAUUUGGGAUAAUAUUUAAAAUUGUAUAUAAAUUUGUUGGAUAAUUACUACAAAAUUUCCUUUACAGUAAUUUUAGUAAAAUGUCAAAGUUUUAGAGAAAAGAAAUAUGAGAAAAUCAAGAAGAAUGACUCAAGCUCUCAUUUUGUUGCUUAUAAAAAAUAAUGACCUCCUAUUUAUAGGAUUCGGGUAAAGUAGUUCAGGGAAUUCAAAGGCCAUAUUGCAAUGAUCAGAUUCUGACGAUCAUAUUAUUGCAUUACCUUCGUUAUAAAUUAUAUUUGGGAUAAUAUUUAAAACUGGACAUGAAUUUUAUGUUAUAAUUAUUUCUUUAAAUAUAAUUAUAUUUAAAAAGAAAUUGGAUAAACCAUUUGUUUUAUUUAUGUUUGGAUUAAAUUUUUAAUUUUUAAAAAUAAUCGUGUAUUAUGUCUAUUUCCUACCAUGGUAGCUCAUUAAAUAAGUGUUCCUAAAUUUUUAUAUUUUUGUGGGUAUGAACAUAUGACCUACAUUUUGAUUUUUCUUUAGUAUCAAUAAAUUUGGGGUCACCAAUUGCUACAACUAGUGAACUACUUUUCAAUAUUAUUAUUAUUUCAUUAAAGAUGGAGAAAAGUAUUUUUGAGAUUGAGAAAAUAUUAGGUAAAUUGUUCCUAUUAAAUAAAUUAUUAUUUUAUUUGAUAAUUUAUUGUAUAAUAAUGUUUUUUUUUCUUUAAGUAUUACUUAAGGGUGAAUUCAGUUUGAUUUGAUAAUAUUUUUUUAAAAAAAUUUAAAUUUAUUUAUGAUAAUUUUGAGUUUUAAGUUGUCGAAUUUUAUUUUAACAAAAAGAAAAGAUAUAUACAUAUAUUGAAAAAUAAGUUUCAUAUAGAAUUUUACGUAUUUCUAAAGGGAUUUGAAUAAGUAACAAACUUAACCACGAAGUUAGAAUAGGAGAAAAUAGGUCAAAUUCUGUUAUUAGACACUAUAUUUUGAAUAAGUUGUGAAUUUAGUACCUAUAUAUUAAUUUAGUCAUUUUCAAUCUCUAUACUUUAAAAGUUUUAAUCUUGACCAAAUGAAAGCUAUCACAUUAAUUAAGUUCUGUUAUUUUUAAAAUUUGACACGUCAAACAUAUUAUCGCAUAUGUAAUGUCAUGUCAACUUGCCAUCUCCAUAUAUUACUCACAGAAAACCAAUUAAUAGAUUUAACAGUUGUCGUUUACAUUAAGAUUAAGAUUUCGAAAAUUAGAAAAUAUAAGACUAAGAACGAUCCAAUUCGAGAACAUGAACUAAAUCCCUAACUUUACACAUAAUGCAGGACUAAUAAUAAAAUUUAACCAAAUAGAUUUAAUUGCUAUUGUUUGGUCAGGAUUAAUUUUUUUAAAAUUAAAAAAAUAAAUAGACUAAUAUUAAUCAAAUUAAAAUACGUGUAUUAAAUCUACAAUUUAUGUAAAAUACAUGUUCUAAUGGCAGAAUUUGACCGGAGAAAAUAUGAUAAAUCAGUUUGACUUUAGCUUGUAUGUGGUAGAAUGACAUUAUAUGGUUUUAUUGGGCAUUCUUUGGUGGCGUGUAUGGGAAGCAACCAAAAAAAGGGUAAACCUCAUUAAUCGCUAAUUUACGUAUUUGACAAUCGAAUCGAUAAAAUUUGUAUAUGUAGAGAUUGAAUCGAUUGAUUUAAUUUAGAAUUAAAAUUAAAAUAAUAAAAUAUAUAAAUUUAAAAGCUACAUAUAUUAUUAUACCAAUUAGAUAAAAGUCAUCUUUUCUAUUAACAAUUUAAUAAUAAUGUUAGUGAUAAAUUUGUAAAUUUUUAUACCUUGGGUGUCUACUUGCUAUAUAAAAUUUUUUAGUUUUCAUAAUCAUUUUUCGAAAAAUUAUUUUUCAAAUAAAAAAAUGAUUUUUAUAUAACAUUUUAGCUAAAAUUCUAGAGGGUGUGGAAAUAAAUAACGAACUAAUUUGUCUCCUAACAUGUCCAGAGAGAGACAUAGUGUUAGAAUAGGAGAAAAUAUUGCAAAUCAGUUUGAUUUUAGUUUAAAGAGGUGAAAAUGACCUCUUGGCAUUAUUCGUCGGUCUGUAUGGGGACGCAAGAAAAAUAUUACAAAAAGGCAUAAUGUCAAUUUUAGAUUUUCAUCUUCUUAACUUUUAUCAAUUUGGUUAAAGUUGACAUUAAAACGCCUUUUGAGUACUAAUUCUUAAUUAAUAAGCAACAAAUAAAAUUAGAAUCUACAUUUUCAAAGGUUAAUAUGUUAAGGGUAGACUACAUUAGUCACUAAAUUAUAGAUAAGUUUUCGUUUUGGUCACUUAACUAAAAAAGUUACAAUUUAGUCAUUGAACUAUUCGAAAGUUUUCAUUAAAGUCACUGGACUCUUAAAAUCGGUGCUAUAUGGUUUUCUCUAUCCGUACUGCCUGCACCAAUCAAAAGUUCUUUUUCCCAUUCUCUUUUGCAGUUUGUUUUUUUUUUCAUAAAACAAUUUUGGACAUCAUGAAUCUACGGACCAAAAUUCAAAUAGCUUUUUUUUUUUCUGAUCUUCGAUACUGACCGUCAGAUCGACUUGGACUUCAGGUAUAUUCUUCUACUCAUAGAUGGGUACUAAUCCAUCAUAUCGAUCAUCAUUUAGAGCUUGUUGGUGGAACUUUAAAAAAAAAAAAAGACCUAAUAGCUUAGUAACUUAAAUAAAAAAUUUUAAACAGUUCAGUGACUUAAAUGAAAACUUUUGAAUAAUUUAAUAAUCAAAUUGUAUCUUUUUUAAGUUAGUGGCCAAAACUAAGAUUACCCUUUAUUUAGUGACUAAUAGUAUAGUUUACCCAUAUAUUAAAUAAGACCUUGAAUUUUGUCAUCACUUUAUUUAGAUAAAGCGCUUAUACUUUUACUAUACUUAAAUAAACCAUUAAAAUUUUAUGGGUAAACUAAAUUAGUAGUCAUCCAACUAUUAGUAAAUUUUUUAGUCACAAAAUUAUGAAAAAUUACAAAUUGGUCACCCAACUAUUCAAUUUUGUCUUUUUUGGUCACUAACUAGCUAACGGUGAUAGCUUUUAAAAUUGACAUAAUAGCAACUUUAACACUAAAUAUUUAUAAAUUAUGUCAAUUUAGAAUUGAUUCUAAAAAAUUAACUCUCAACAUUUACACAAUGUGUAAUUUGGUUUUUUUUUUUUUUGCAAUUUUACUUUUCUUUGUUGCAUGAAGGUUAAUUUUAAAAGAAUGAGAAAAGAUUAAAAUUAUUAUCUUAGAAUUUUUUGGUAUUUCCAUUUUUUGUAUAUCAAUCAAAUUCAACUAAUAAAAUUGUUUUUUUUAGCUUUUUAGGUGAAAGUGUCACAAAAUAAAACUUCAAAAAAGACCAAAUUUCUCAAUAUGUAAACGUUGAGGGUUAGAUUUUUUUGAAUCAAGACUAAAUUUAUACAAUGUAUAAAUGUCAAGGGUUAAAGUUACUAUUAUGCCAAUUUUAAAAGCUGUCACCAUUAGCCUAGACCAAAAAAAGACAAAAUUGAAUAGUUUGGUGAACAUUUUGUAACUUUCCAUAGUUGAGUGACCAAAAUAAAAAAUCAAAUAAUUAAGUGACCAUGUUGUAACUUUUGAUUGUUAGGUGAUCAAAAAAGAAAUUUACUAAUAGUUGAGUGACCACAAUUGUAGUUUAUGCAACUUUUAUUGAUACCAUAUAAGACUUAAUCUCUAACCUGUAUACAAAUAAACCCUUAAAAUUUAAGUUAUAUCUAAAUAAAACUCUUAAUAUAAAUCAUUAUUUCAUUUACAAUAAGAGCUAAUUCAAAUACAAAUAAAAGUAUAAUAACUUAUUUGGGUACAACAAAAAAUAUAGGGACUUAUUUAAUGAAUGUAAUCUAGUUCAAGGGCACUUUUGGUAGUUUAGCCUUUUCAAAUUUCAGGUUUUCACAGCUAUGAUAUUGAAGCAAAUACAACUAUUGGACUCCUCGCUUUACGCACACCAUCAUCCCACACUAAAGAACCAGAAACCAUAGAUAUGCAUCCAUUGUUCCUUCAAUUAUUACUUGAAAAGACAGCUUUUGUCCCACAGAUGUAAACGACAAAACAUUAGGGUUAACUCAGACUCUAGCUGUUCUUGUCGGAAAACUCACUCUUGCUCUAUACGUUGCCAUCGGAGAUCCCACAUUCGUAACAGUUCUAUUGAAAACACGACGAACAGUUGUUGAAGAAGAAGUGAAAACAGCAAAUGAAGGAUAGUUUAGAUCCGAAAGUACUGUUCCAUUUGUUGCUGCAGAACAUGUUGCAUUAUCCCUAUUAACUUGUCGAAGAAACCAAGUGUCAUAUCCUUGUCCGCAUAAAAAAAUUUAUGUAAUCAACUUCAUUGGAAUCGUAGAUUAAGCCUGGAUUUAUAGCUUUGAUUGGGUUCAAAUGGCCUGAUCCGUAUGCAAACUCAGCGUCCGAGUUCAUGCAUGAACUCAUAGGGGAAGCUGUAGUGAUAAGGGAAGAUUUGAUAGCAGAAGGAGACCAAGUGGGAUGAAACGACUGCGGCAGAAACAUGGGGACAAGCCAUUGAUGUGCCUGAGAUUAUGUUAAAUGGAACCCAUCUAUUAUCGCGCCUCUAUUUUGGGAAACUGGUGAAGCUAAAGACCAUGCAGCUACAAUAUCAACCCCUGGUGCUGACAAAUCUGGCUGUAAUUAUUACCCACAAAAAUUUAGAAAACUUAGGAUUAAGUUACGCCUAAGCUUGCUAUUAACAUAUUUUAUAAGUUCGGCUUAAAAUUUUGUUUAAAUUAACACAUAUUUAUAAAUAACUAAUUUAAAUCUAUUUUAGAUCUGCCUAUAUUAUUUUUAAAAAAUAAAAUAUAUAUUUAUAUUAUUUUUAAUUUAAUAUUUAAUAACUUUAUAUAUUUUUUAUUUAUUAAAAUUUUAUAUAUAGUUACCUAACAUUUUUUAAUUUUUAGAUUAUAGUAGUAUUAUAUAGUACUAUAGAUUUAAUUUUUAUAAAUGAUAUAAUAUAUAAAAAUAACGUAAUAUAAAAUAUUAGAAACAUACAAAUUGAGUCGGACUUGGGUUUUAAAUUUUCAAUCAUAGAGAUAACUAGAUUAUAUCUGAAAAAUCAAAAUUUUAAUAUAGCAUAUAAUUUUAAGAGUUUUAUUACCACAGAAAGCAAACAGAGACAUGAAGCAGCCAAUUACAUCGUACAAACAUGGAGUUAACAAAAUAGAAGGAUGUUCAUAUAAACGCAACGAUGGGACUCCUCACUUUGUGCUCACCAUCGUCCCACACUAAAGCACCAGACACCAUAGCUUUAUCCAUUGUCGCUUCCACUAUUACUUCAAAAGACAGCUUUUGUCCCACCGACGUGAACGACAGAACAUCGGGGUUAACCCUGAUUUUCAACGUACCUGUCGGAAAACUCAGGUUAGCUCUGUAAACCGCCGUCGGAGAUCCCACGUUUGUGACGGUCCUUUUGAAGAUACGGCUGAAUGGUUUCAAUGGCGAAGUGGAAAGACCAAAGGAAGGGUAGUUUAGUUCCGAAACUGUCCCAUUAGUGUCUUUAGGACAAGUGGAGUUGUCUUUGGAUAAUAAUUGUAUUAGCCGAGUGGCGUAUCCUUGUCCGCAUAAGAAGUUUAUGUAAUCGGUUUCAUUAGCAUCGUAUACUAGACCUGGAUUUGCAGCUUUUAAAGGAUUCAAAUGGCCUGAACCGUAUGCAAAUUCAGCUUCCAUGUUGAUGCCAGAGCUCAUGGGGGCGGCUGCAAUUAACAUUGCAAUUGGAAAUUUAAGUGAAAGUUGUACCUAAUCGAACUAUAAAACAUAUUUGUUAUGAGGUUUACAAUUAAUUACCUGUGGUCAUAAGGGCAGAUUGAAUAGCAGCAGGAGACCAUGUGGGAUGAAAUGAUUUAACGUAGGCAGCUGCACCAGAAACAUGAGGACAAGACAUUGAUGUUCCUGAGAUUAUGUUGAAUGUCACGAACCUGUUGUCGCCUGGAACUGAAGAAACAGGAGAAAUUGAAGACCACGCUGCUAGAAUGUGAACCCCUGGUGCUGAUAUAUCUGGCUGCAAACAACAAUUUAAUGAAAAAAAAAACCCAUCAAUCCAUCACAAGUUUCUGCAAAAUCAUAUGCAAUAAUAUAUUUGGAAAGAUUUAGAUAAAAAUAUUAAACCAAAGCUUUAGCAAAAUCACGCUCAGCCUCACCUAACCCUUUUUUUUCUAAAUCUAUAAUAUAUUGUUUUAUUUUCUUAUAUUAAAUUGUAAUUUAUAUCGCAUCAAAAAAAUAUUUUAAGUUAUCUAUUUUUAAAAUUUUAAUAAAAUAAAAAUAUUAGAAUACUAUAAUUUUAAAAAUUAUAUUGUUUAGAAUUGAGUAAGAAAAUAAAAAAAAUCAAAGAUUGAUCCAAAUCGAGGUGUUUAGAUGAUGGAAUACAAGUUAAAAUAUUAUGGUUAUCCGAACUGAGCCAAAUGCUACUUUUUUGUUUAAUUUAUAAUUAAUUUUAAUUUUUAUGAUUUAAAAAAUAAACAUUUUAUAUUUAAAAUAGUGAAAAUAACUUAAAAGUUCUAUAUAGAAAUAUUUUUUAAAAUUACCAUAUAAAAGAUAUAGUUUAUUUUUUAUUUACUUGAAAAAAUAAUUUUUCUAGAAAUAUUUAUAAACAAAAAAAAGUUGAAAUUUUAUCAAAUGAUAUUCAAAAGAUAUAAAAUAAAACUCAUUUUUUCAAAAUAAAUCUAAAAAUCUAAAAAAGGAUAAAUCGAGAAUCGAAUUGAAUUAUGAUAAACGAUUUUAAAAAAAACGACCAAACUAAACUAAACUCACCCCUAAUAUCGACAAACUUAAACAAAUUUCGAUUAAAUAUUUACUAAUACAAGUAGGCUUGAAUUAAAUCCGUCGACCCACGAAUACUUCUAUAUUUACCUUAAAAGAUGUUUAUGUUUUAUAUAUUGGACACAAUUAUUGAAAGGAAAAAAGUCAAACCAUUUAAUUUUCCAUCAAUUUACCUUAAUAAUCUCGGGUGUAAUCGGAUUCGGACCUCUCGACGAGAAAGAGAUGAUAUAAGGAGCCAAUGAGUCAUUAACCUCACUACUCCUGAAUAUAGUUGCUGUUGGAGCACUACAAAAACAUAUAGGCAAAGUCUUACAUGAUAUUCAUUUGUGUAUUCAUAUUAUAUUCGUAUUGAGUAAUCGUACCUGGUGGAGUUUACGUACUGAAAAAUGUUGCGACCGUCAACCAAGUUAAAACAAGAUGCAGGCAAAGGAAAAAGGUUAGAAUGGUCAAUCCCGUCCUGGUCUCGAGCCACGGUCCCAGCUGCACCAGCCAAAAGGGCUCCUAUCCCCUUACUGCGUUUCGUAUCACAGAGAACAAUCUUACCCUUCACCAAAUUUUUAUCCAAUGAAUUCGGAAAACAGAAUCUGCACUUCAACGAUUGGAUCAUUAAAAUAUUAAUAGUAUAAAGAGAUACGAAAAGAUAAAAUACUUUAGUUUUACACAUGUGGAACUAGAUCAAUUAAAAAAGAAAAAAAAAGGCUAAGUUUAUGUUACCUCGAUGAUGUAGUAGAUGUUGAAGUAGUGUUUGCUGCGUCUCCGCCAUAAAUCAUAGGGUACGUUUUAUUCUUGAGAUCAAAUGUAUUUAUUGAUACUCCCUACAUUACAACCAUACAUAUAUAUAUAAUAACUAUCAUUAUAAAUCAUAAAAUUGAUAUAUGAUUAUAAAUCAUGCAUGUAUUUAUAUUACCUCAUAAAUCUUGUUGUUGCCAAGUUGAACCUUGGUGGAAAACUUGCGAUCGAUGGUGCUAGCUGCCACAGAAAGCGACCACGGUGAGAAAUUAGAGAUCGUUGAACGUCCAGGGCCUUCGUUACCUGCCGAACUUACAGUCAGUAUACCGUUUUUCAUGGCGUGAAAAGAUGCGAUACUGAUCGCAUCUUCGAAAUAGUCUCUGGUCUGUCCUCCGCCGACUGAAAUUGAUAUAAUAUCGACUCCAUCAGAGAUCGCAUCAUCGAAUCCCGCGAGAAUGUCGGCAUCCUCACAACCAUCGGACCAACAUAUUUUGUACACCGCGAUGCGUGCUGAUGGAACCCCUCCUCGAGCUGUUCCUGAACCAAAGCCGUAGAGACUUGCACCGUCGACUAAACUCCCUGCUGCCGUGGAAGCAGUAUGAGUCCCAUGACCGUCGGCGUCUCUUGGAGAUUCAAAGUCAUCCGGUAAAAACAGUCCAUCGCUGCGGUAAUAUUUUGCACCUAUGAUCUUGCUGCAUUUGAACAUAUAGCAAUAUUAGUUAGACAUUUGAAGCACUAAGAUUUCUCCCAUAUCGAACAUAUACUUGUAUCCGAAACGCACCCCUAAACCCAGUAACAUAACCCAAAAAAAGAAACAAAAUUUACUUGUUGCAAGUGAAAUUGUCUUGUGGUUGAAAUUGGCAACUGCCUUUCCAUUUGGAAGGAGGUGGACCAAGUCCUUUGUCAUCAAAGCUUAGAGAUUCAGGCCAAAUUCCAGUGUCUAAAACUCCAAUGAUAACAUCACUUUCCAUGGUUGCUCUUUCAACUUGUUGAGGGAAUCCCAUAAAAUCCCAUGACCUUGUUGUAUGUAGUUUUCUCUUUUCAUUUGGAAACACUGAUACUACGCCCUUCAUUCCUGAACAUAUCCAAACAACCAAAAUUCAAAUUAAGCUCGAAGAUCUACGUCUUAAUCCACAGAGUAUUUCCGCUUUGACUUUUAAAGUAGACCUAUUAUUAUAACUCGAACUUGAAAUUUUAAUUUGUUUAACUCGAAUAUGAACUUGAUCUAACUUGAUUUGAUAUAAAAAGUAACAAUAUGAAACCAGAGGGGCAUGGUAAGGUCUUGACCCUCACCUUGGUUCAAUGAGAACUCUUUAAUCCUUCCCAAAAAAUUGUAUUUUUUUAGCAUCUUCAAAAGAUUAAUAAUAUAACUUAAGCUUUUUAAUAUAAAAAUUUUAACCUUGAUCCCUUCAAAAUUUUGUAAUUUUAUUUUGGAUCACUAAAAAAUUCAUGAUUUCACCCUUGGAACUGGCUCAAAUUUGAACUAAAAAAUGAACCAAACUUAAGUGUCAAAUCCGAAUGAAAAAAACCCAAAAAGCUCAAUUGAAAAACCUAAAUGAUUCAAUUUUGAAAUUGACCUGAACUCAAAAAUGAUUCAAACUCCCAAGUAAUAUAAAAAUUUUAAAGCCUGAAUUGACUCAAUCUAAAAUAAUCAAAUUUGGAAUCAAUUGAAUAUGUCCGGUUACAAGUCUACUUGAAAAUAUAACGCUCUCUUUUUUAGUUGAAAUUCUUAUAAUUUUGUCAAAAAUUUAACAAUCUAACCCUUGAUCGAAUCAUUCAAAUCAUCUGUUAAGUCAAAUUGGUUUGCUCAAUUUAAAUGUUGACCUAAUAAUAAUUAAAUAAUUAAUUCAAAAUUCAUAAAUAUUAUAAAAUCGAUAAUUCAAACGUCAAUUUUUUAUUUUGAUUUCUAAUUUUUUUUAAUUGAACCCAAGUGAUUCACUCAAAAAUCAAUUCUAACUCUUGUUUUCAGAUCAAUAUAUUGAUCGCUUUUAUUCAACCAAUCUGACCUAUCAAUCUGAUUCAAUACAAAUAACACUGCUUUUAUCUCAUAAAAAAUAAUUGAUAAAUACAAACUUAAAUGUUUGUGUAUAUAUCAUAAUGGAUUUGAAGAAAUUUUAAAUGUGAGGUUGGAGUGUUACACUUACCGGCCAUUUUUUGUGCUUCUUCCUCAGUCAAAUCCACCACGAACCCAUUAAAACUCUUUUUGUAGCUGUACAGCACUGUCUUCGACUCACUGCAUUCAUUCCAAUUGCAUGCUCAAUCUCAAUCACCAGUAGUAGGUUUUAUUUUGUUUUGGGAAUAAUUAUAAUUAAUUAUUACAAUUAUUAGGAGGAGCUAAGGUUAUUGACUGCCCUUUUACCUUGGUCCCUGUUUAUAUAUAUAUACGAUAUAAAUAUCAGAUACGGAUAUUUAAGAAAAAAAAUCAGAGGCAGCAUAUGUUUACACACCUGCCAAAAACAUCUUGUACCAUGCUGCCAUGAAGCAAAGCUGUGGAAGCUCCAUCUUUAAGUCGGUCACCCAUAUACACAAUAUAGCUCUGAAUAUUCACCGAUUACAAUUUUUAUUUUUCUUAAAAUGAAGCUCAUCACCAAUGGAAAUUUUAGAAAAAGAAAAUGACAAGAAAUUAAAUCCAAUAUUAACCUUUCGAUUUGCAUUGGCAUUGGAUUGAAAAAGAUGAGAUGCUGCUUUGGUAGUAAGAAGAGCUAAAAGAAAGCAAUGAAGUAGAUAUCUUCCUCCCUCCAUUGAAACAAUGCUCACACAACUUUUCCAAGUAGUAUAUUUAUGGAGAAAAAUAUAUGCUAAAAGUCUUACAGUCUUUGUGGAAAUAAAUUAUAUUAGAAAUUCAAACUUUUCAUACUUUUUUUUUGUUUUAAUUUAUAUUUGGGAUAAUAUUUAAAAUAAUUACUACAAAUUUUCUUUACUGUAAUUUUAAUAAAAUGUGAAAAUUUUAGAAAAAAGAAAUAUGAGAAAAUCAAGAAGAAUGAAUGAAGCUCUCAUUUUGUUGCUCAUAAAAAAUAAUGACCUCCUAUUUAUAGGAUUAGGGUAAAAUGAUUAGAUUCUAGCGGUCAUAUUUUUACAUUACUUUCGUUAUAAAUUAUAUUUGGGAUAUUAAUAUUUAAAACUGGACAUGAAUUUUGGUCAAAUAUAUAAUGUUAUAAUUAUUUCUUUAAAUGUAAUUAUAUUUAAAAAGAAAUUGGAUAAACCAUUUAUUUUAUUUAUGUUUGGAUUAAAUUUUUAAUUUUUAAAAAUAAUCGUGUAUUAUGUCUAUUUCCUACCAUGGUAGCUUAUUAAGUAAGUGUUCCUAGAUUUUUAUAUUUGUGUGGGUAUCAACAUAUGAAAUCUCACAAAAAGAUAGGGAAAUGGAGUAAGGAAUGGGAAAAACCAGCUGUCAAUGAAUGUAUUGACCCACACAUUUUGAUUUUUCUUUAGUACCAAUAAAUUGGGUGUCACCAAUUGCUACAACUAGUACUGAACUAUUUUUCAAUAUUAUUAUUAUUUUCAUUAAAGAUGGAGAAAAGUAUUUUGAGACUGAGAAAUUAUUAGGUAAAUUGUUACUAUUAAAUAAAUUAUUAUUAUUUUAUUCGAUAAUUUAUUUUAUAAUAAUGUUCUAAUUUUUUUUCUUAGGUAUUAUUUAAGGGUGACCUCAGUUUGAUUUGAUAGUAUUUUUUAAAAUUUUUAGAAUUAUUUAUGAUAAUUUUAAGUUUUAAAUUUUCAGAUUUUAUUUUAACAAAAAGAAUAUAUACAUAUAUUGAGAAAUAAGUUUGAUAUAGAAUUUUAGGUAUUUCUAAAGGGAUUUGAAUAAGUAACAAACUUAAGCACGAAGUUAGAAUAGGAGAAAAUAGGUUAAAUUCUGUUAUUAGAUACUAUAUUUUGAAUAAGUUGGGGAUUUAGUACCUAAAUAUUAAUUUAGUCAUUUUCAAUCUCUAUACUUUUAAAGUUUUAAUCUUGACCAAAUGAAAACUAUCACAUUAAUUAAGUUCUGUUAUUUUUAAAAUUUAACAUGUUAAAUAUAUUAUCGCAUAUGUAAUGUCAUGUCAACUUGCCAUCUCCAUAUAUUACUCAGAGAAAAUCAAUUAAUAGAUUUAACAGUUGCCGUUUACAUUAAGAUUAAAAUUUCGAAAUUCAGAAAAUAUAAGACUAAGAACGAUCCAAUUCGAGAACAUGAACUAAAUCUCUAACUUUACACAUAAUAUGCAGGACGAAUAAUAGAAUUUAACCAAAUAGAUUUAAUUACUAUUGUUUGGUCAGGAUUAAUUUUUUUAAAAAUUUAAAAAAUAAAUAGACUAAAAUUAAUCAAAUACAAAUACAUGUAUUAAAUAUACAAUUGAUGUAAAAUACAUGUUCUAAUGGCAGAAUUUGAGCGGAGAAAAUAUGAUAAAUCAGUUGGAUUUUAGCUUGUAUGUGGUAGGAUGACAUUAUUUGGUUUUAUUUGGUGGCGUGUAUGGGAAGCAACCAAAAAAAGGGGUAAACCUCAUUCCAUUAUUAACAUAUUUUUACUUGUCGGUCUGUAUGGGGACGCAAGAAAAAUAUUACAAAAAGGCAUAAUGUCAAUUUUAGAUUUUCAUCUUCUUAACUUUUAUCAAUUUGGUUAAAGUUGACAUUAAAACGCCUUUUGAGUACUAAUUCUUAAUUAAUAAGCAACAAAUAAAAUUAAAAUCUACGUUUUCAAAGGUUAAUAUGUUAAGGGUAGACUACAUUAGUCACUAAAUUAUAGAUAAGUUUUCGUUUUGGCCACUUAACUAAAAAAGUUACAAUUUGGUCACUGAACUAUUCGAAAGUUUUCAUUUAAGUUGUUCGACUCUUAAAAUCGGUGUUAUAUGGUUUUCUCUAUUCGUACUGCCUGCACCAAUCAAAAGUUCUCUUUCCCAUUCUCUUUUGCAGUUUAUUUUUUUUUCAUAAAACAAUUUUGGACGUCAUGGAUCUGCAAACCAAAAUUCAAAUAGCUUUUUUUUUAUCUUCGAUACUGACCGUCAGAUUGACUUGGACUUCAGGUAUAUCCUUCUACUCAUAGAUGGAUACUAAUCCAUCAUAUCGAUCAUCAUUUGGAGCUUGUUGGUGGAACUUUUAAAAAAAAAGACCUAAUAGCUUAGUAACUUAAAUAAAAACUUUUGAACAGUUCAGUGACUUAAAUGAAAACUUUUGAAUAAUUUAAUAACCAAAUUGUAUCUUUUUUAAAUUAGUGGCCAAAACUAACAUUACCCAUUAUUUAGUGAUUAAUAGUAUAGUUUACCCAUAUAUUAAAUAAGACCUUGAAUUUUGUCAUCACUUUAUUUAGAUAAAGCGCUUAUACUUUUACUAUACUUAAAUAAAUCAUUAAACUUUUAUGGGUAAACUAAAUUAGUAGUCAUCCAACUAUUAGUAAAAAAUUUUUAGUCACUCAAUUAUGAAAAAUUACAAACUGGUCACUCAACUAUUCAAUUUUCCAUUCAAUUUUGUCUUUUUUGGUCACUAACUAGCUAAUGGUGAUAGCUUUUAAAAUUGACAUAAUAGCAACUUUAACACUAAAUAUUUAUAAAUCAUGUCAAUUUAGUAUUGAUUCUAAAAAAAUUAACUCUCAACAUUUACACAAUGUGUAAUUUGGUUUUUUUUUUUUUUUGCAAUUUUACUUUUCUUUGUUACACUGAAGGUUAAUUUUAAAAGAAUGAGAAAAGAUUAAAAUUAUUAUCUUAGAAUUUUUUGGUAUUUCCAUUUUUUGUAUAUCAAUCAAAUUCAACCAAUAAAAUUAUUUUUCUUUUUAGCUUUUUAGGUGAAAGGGUCACAAAAAAAAAACUUCAAAUUACUCAAUAUGUAAACAUUGAGGGUUAGAUUUUUUGGAAUCAAGACUAAAUUGAUACAAUGUAUAAAUGUCAAGGGUUAAAGUUACUAUUAUGCCAAUUUUAAAAGAUGUCACCGUUAACCUAGACAAAAAAAAGACAAAAUUGAAUAGUUUGAUGAACAUUUUGUAACUUUCCAUAGUUGAGUGACCAAAAAAAAUUAAAUAAUUAAGUGACCAUGUUGUAACUUUUGAUAGUUAGGUGAUCAAAAAAGAAAUUUACUAUUAGUUGAGUGACUACAAUUGUAGUUUAUGCAACUUUUAUUGAUACCAUAUAAGACUUAACCUCUAACCUGUAUACAAAUAAACCCAUAAAAUUUAAUUAUAUCUAAAUAAAACUCUUAAUAUAAAUCAUUAUUUCAUUUACAAUAAGAGCUAAUUCAAAUACAAAUAAAAGAAUAACAACUUAUUUGGGUACAACAAAAAAUAUAGGGACUUAUUUAAUGAAUGUAAUCUAGUUCAAGGGCACUUUUGGUAGUUUAGCCUUUUCAAAUUUCAGGUUUUCACAGCUAUGAUAUUGAAGCAAACACAACUAUUGGACUCCUCGCUUUAUGCACACCAUCAUCCCACACAAAAGAACCAGAAACCAUAGAUGCAUCCAUUGUUCCUUCAAUUAUUACUUGAAAAGACAGCUUUUGUCCCACAGAUGUAAACGACAAAACAUUAGGGUUAACUCGGACUCUAGCUGUUCUUGUCGGAAAACUCACUCUUGCUCUAUACGUCGCCAUCGGAGAUCCCACAUUCGUAACAGUUCUAUUGAAAACACGACGAACAAUUGUUGAAGAAGAAGUGAAAACAGAAAAUGAAGGAUAGUUUAGAUCCGAAAGUACUGUUCCAUUUGUUGCUGCAGAACAUGUUGCGUUAUCCCCAGUAACUUGUCGAAGAAACCGAGUGUCAUAUCCUUGUCCGCAUAAAAAAUUUAUGUAAUCAACUUCAUUGGAAUCGUAGAUUAAGCCUGGAUUUAUAGCUUUGAUUGGGUUCAAAUGGCCUGAUCCGUAUGCAAACUCAGCGUCCGAGUUCAUGCCUGAACUCAUAGGGGAAGCUGUAGUGAUAAGGGAAGAUUUGAUAGCAGAAGGAGACCAAGUGGGAUGAAAAGAUUUAAUGUACGCAGCUGCGGCAGAAACAUGGGGACAAGACAUUGAUGUGCCUGAGAUUAUGUUAAAUGGAACCCAUCUAUUAUCGCCUCUAUUUUGGGAAACUGGUGAAGCUAAAGACCAUGCAGCUACAAUAUCAACCCCUGGUGCUGACAAAUCUGGCUGUAAUUAUUACCCACAAAAAUUUAGAAGACUUAGGAUUAGAUUACGCUUAAGCUUACUAUGAACAUAUUUUAUAAGUUGUUCCGAAAUAUAGACUUAAAAUUUUAUUUAAAUUAGUUCAUAUUUGUAAAUAAUUAAUUUAAAUUUCUUUUGGAUAUAUUUAUAUUAUUUUUUAAAAAUAAAAUAUAUAUUUAUCUUAUUUUAAUUUAAUAUUUAAUAAUUUUAUAUAUUUUUUAUUUAUUAAAAUUUUAUAUAUAGUUACCUAAUAUUUUUUAAUAUUUAGAUUAUAGUAGUAUUAUAUAGUACUAUAGAUUUAAUUUUUAUAAAUGGCAUAAUAUAUAGAAAUAACAUAAUAUAAAAUAUUAAAAAGUCAGAUUUGGGUCUUAAAUGUUCAAGCAGAACAAGCCUAAUUUCCUUACCCAAUUCAUUUUCCAGGCUUAACAAUUUUGUCUAAGUCCUUUCAAAUUUCAAGUAGGCCUCCGAGCUUUGGACAAAUAGUUCAGUUCAUGAACAGAUUUAGUUUAAAUUAAGUCAAAUCAUGUAAUAUUUAACUCGAUUUUUGAAAAAAAAUCAAAAUACAAAAUGAAUUAAAUUGAAUUAUUAUGAAAAGGUUAUAUGAAUAGAGAUUAUUAAGUCAUAAAAUUUACCUUGAGUAUUUCGGGUGUAAUCGGAUUCGGACCCCUCGAGGAAAAAGAGGCUACAUAAGGAGCCCUAGUGUCAUUAACCUCAUUACUCUUAAAUAUAGUUGCAGUUGCAUUGCUGUAAUGGAUAUGUGCAGAUGAUUUUCAGUUCGUUUACGAUAUUAAAAGAAAAGGUACGAAAUAGAAAGACGAAACCCGAACUACAAAUUACCUCGUUGAGUUUAUAUAUACGAAAAUCUUGCUGCCGUCGACCAGAUCGAGAAGAGAAGCAGGCAAAACAAAAGAGAAUGCAACAUCUUUUGGUGAAUUGUCUCGCAACAACGCACCAACUGCACCAGCUAUUAAUGGUCCUUCCCCGGAGACUAACCUAUCACAAAGUACAAUUUUGCCUUUCACCAAAUUAGGGUCCAAUGAGUUCUCCAAGCAAAUCCUGUAAAAAAAAAUCGAUUAGUUUCAGUAUCCGACUGUUAUUGAUAUUCUAUUUUAGUCGGGCUCAAAGAUAAUGGUCAAACAUGGGUAUGUCACAUUGACUUUUUUCAUAUAUGAGGGAUUAUAUCUUUGUACCUAUGUUUGAAUGUGUCAAAUAUAUUUCAAAGAUCGUGUCUCAUAAUAUGUGAUAAAUAUGAAUUAUUUGGGAAAAAUAGGGAGUAAAAAUACAUGGUUGAUAUUACCUUGAUGAAGAUGAUGUAUAAUUCCCUAUAGGGUUUGGUGCAUCGCCACCAUAAAUCAUAGGGUAUGUUUCAUUCUUGAGAUCAAAUGUAUUUAUUGAUACACCCUGAACACAUUUAAGAGAAAAAUGAAAAACAUUAUAAGAUUUCACAAUAAUAUAAGUAUUGGGUGUAGUGAUAAGAUGAAUUUAAAUUCAAAUUUUGAAGACACAUUGUUAGGAGGGAUAAUCAUGAACUUCGAAAUAUUAAAUCUUUAUAAAUUAUAAAAUAGAACAUAAUUUAUAACCGAUAGUCAUAAUUUGUAUAAAAAAAUCUAUCAUUUAAAUUCAAAAUCUCUUAUUGAUUCAAUCAUUAAGAGGUCACAUUCUUGAGAUAUUUUAAGAUUAUCUCUAAACAUAUUAUAAGACAAAUUUCAAAACCCUUAAAAGAUUUUUACUUUCCAUUGUAUACAGUAGGGACAAUCAUUGGCAUUACCUCAUAAACCACAUCGUUUCCAAGCUUAACUCCGGUGAAAAACUUCCGAUCAAUUGUGCUAGCAGCCACUGAAAGGGUCCAUGGCGAAAAAUUCGUGAUGGUUGCUCGUCGGGGACCUUGAUUACCGGCAGAGGUCACUGUCAAAAUGCCAUUUCUCAUUGCAUGGAAAGCUCCAAUCGCAAUCGAAUCACGGAAAUAAUCUGUAGGAGUUGUUGAUCCGACUGAUAGAGAUAUAAUGUCGACCCCAUCGGCAAUCGCAUCGUCAAACGCCGCAAGAAUAUCGGCAUCAGAACAACCGUCGGACCAACAAAUUUUGUACACCGCAAUGCGUGCUGACGGAACUCCUCCGCGAGCUGUUCCGGCACCAAGGCCAAACAAGUUUGCCUGGUUAACUAACCUUCCAGCAGCCGUAGAUGCGGUGUGAGUUCCAUGGCCUUCUGAGUCUCUUGGAGAAAUGAUAUCGUUUGAGCCAAAUAAUCCAUCGCUUUUGUAAUAUCGUGCUCCUAUGAUUUUACUGUAUUCAAAGAGUAAUAUUGGUUAAAAUCUAAGUCGGGAUGGCAAUAGAGCGGAGCAGAAGCGAGACUAUUUUAUUUACAUUCGUCUAGCUUACAUAGAGCAAACAAUUACGAAAUCUAUAUUUAAAAUUAUAAACACAUAUAUUUACGUUGUUUUAAGGUGCAUACUUGUUGCAAGUGAUAUUAUUUGCAUCUUGGCAAAUGCCUUUCCAUUUGUCCGGAGGUGGAGAAAGUCCUUCGUCAUUAAAACUUUGGGAUUCGGGCCAAAUUCCGGUGUCUAAAACUCCGAUGAUGACAUCACUUUCCGAAGUUGCUCUUCGUACUUGUUGUGAGAAGCCCAUGAAGUCCCAUGAUCUUGUUGUAUGUAAGAUUUUCUUUUCAUUUGGAAACACUGAUACUACACCAUUCAUUCCUAAAUGUUCACAGAUAAGUACAUUAACAAUUACUUGAAAGUUUCACGCUUUUGUCUCGUAAAAGAUAUGGAGUUGAAGGUGUUAUAGAAAUCAUGUUCACUCACCGGCCAUUUUCCGUGCUUCUUCCUCCGUUAGCUCUGCCACAAACCCGUUAAAACUCCUCUUGUAACUACAAAGCACCGACUUCGUGGCGGAUUCGCUGUCGAUGUAAUUUAUGAAGUUAUAUUUAAAUGAUAACAGUAAUCUUAUAUUAUCGGAAACUCCAAGAUAUGAGUUAUAGAUAGGAGUGUUCAAAUUUCGAUUAAAAUUAAAUUAAUCGAUCGAAUUAAUCUAAUUUGGUUAAUAGAUUAGUGGCUGAACUUAAUUCGGUCGGAGUUCGGUUAAUGAUUUUUUAAAAUUUCGGUUCAAAAUCAGAUAAUUAACCGAAUUAACUAAAUUAACCGAACUCAAUAAUUAAUAUAAUGUGUUAAUUUCAAGACAUUAUUUUUUGGUUAAUUCAGUUAACUUUCAAGAAAAAAACAUAUAUUUCUGUUAAUUUCAAUGUAAUUUUUUUAUAUAUAUUUUAUACUUGUUUUAACCAAAAGAUAAAAACAUAUAAAUUUUGAUUAAUUAGGUUAACUGACUGAAUUAACCGAAAGAUUUUGAUUCGAUUAACAAUUAAAAGAUUAUACAGUUCGAUUAAUUCAUUUAAUGUUAAUUUGGUUCAGAUAAUAACCGAACCGACCGUUUGAACACUCCUAAUUAAUUAUAAAGAUAUAUAUAGUUGAUAUAAAUAUAUUUAAUUUUAAAAAAAAAUUCAAAUGAUCAUGCUCAUACUCAUAUUUAAUAUAUAUCGAAAACGAAUAUUUAAGAAAAUAAUAAUAAAUUAUAUAUAAAUCGAAUCAAUAACAAUUACAUCCAAGUAAUUAGUAUUGAUUUAUAUACCUGCCUAAGACAUCUUGUAGCGUACUGUUAUGAAGUGAGGCUGUUGCAGUUCCAACUUUAGGUGGAUUUCCCAUGUAUAUAACAUAGCUCUGCAAAUUCCAUGGUUUUAAUAUAUAUAUAUAUAUAAGUUUCUUAGCAAUGAUCAAUUUGUCCAAAAACUAGAAAUAAAUUAAAUUAUGUUCAUAUCACGCUGAGAUUAAAUAAUAAAACAAUUAAAGUUACCAUCUUACAAAAAUUCUUUACAUGCAUGAAAAAAAAAUGAAUAUGUACAUAUCACGUGCGUAUCUAUAUCUGAUACUAACCCUUGAAUUAUUAAAAAUAAGAUUAAAAAAGUUACCCUUUUAUCUGAUUGAGACACUCCGAUGGUAAGGAGAAGGGCCGAGAGAAAUCCAUGAAUGAGAAGACAAUGAAGAAGAGAAAAUCUUUGGCCAUCCAUUUGACACAAAAGAAAAUUUGCCAACAAAUGUAUUAGCUAUGGAUUUUUAUAGAUUAACUCAACAGACUCGUUCCUUAAAGAGCAACAUAAAUUAAUUUGUUUCAGCAUUGAAUUAUUCAAGAAAUUUAUAUCUUAUUUUAUUAUUCUAAUAUGUUAAGUUAGAUGUAUAACGUGCAUGUAGAAGCCAAGUAAAAUUUAGGGUAAAGUAUACCAACAAUGAUUCAAUUUUAAUUAAAAUAAUAUUUCAGUCACUAAACUUUAAAAUGUUACAACUCAAUUACUAAACUUUACGAAAAUAAUAAAAUAGCCACUAAUUAGGACAUUUUCCAUUACAGACAUAAUGGAGAGUUGAGCUGGCCCAUUAACUAGCAAGUUGUAUGUUAACUAGCUAUGGUGGAAACUCAAUUUAAGAACCCUAGUUGUUGGAAGUAAAAGCAAAAGAGAAGAAAUGAAGAUACCUACUUUGAUUCCGGUUUGUUAUUGUGGAAAUUCAACUCAUACAGAGACGAAACUCAACUCAAAGAUUGUAAUUAGAGCAAGAAGCUUCCUCAAAGAUUUGUUGACUAGUUUUUUGAUGUUUUCGGUUGAUGUUGUUGAAAUCCAACGUCGUUAAAGUUGAGGUUUUAGUGAUUAAAAUGUUAUUUUAAUCAAAAUUGAGUGAUUGUCGAUGUAUUUUUCUCUAAAAUUAUGUAGAAACAGACAUUAAUGAGAACAAUCGUUUGGUUGCAGAUAUCAUAACUAUUUUUUAUUUUUUUAUAUUUAAAUAAUAAUCAUAUUUUUAUAUUUAUAUUAAAGUGCCAAAGGUAUCUUUCGAGCAUAUAUUUAAGAAAAUGAAAAAAAUAUAUUUGUAUAUAAACACAUUCAAGUAUUAAAUAUAAAUAUAUUAUUAUAAAUUUAAAAGUACAUGGGGAUAUAUAUAAAUGUAGAAAAGCUAAUUCAUACAAGAAAUCAAAAGAUUAGGUAAAAUAUAUAUAAUUUUUAAGAGAAAAAAAAUAUAAAGAACAAUUCAAAAAUUAUCCAUGGUUGGUCAUGUUCUAUAAAGAUGGAAAGUGAUAUUUUCUGAGUUUGGGAAUAAAAAAAUUAUUUAGAAUUAACAAGUCAAAUCAUAAAUCAAGAAGCCAAUUCAAAUAAUUAAGAAUAACAAUGACAUCUUAACUGGCAAAAAUAAUAGUCAAAUUGUGGUGGCAGUCUUAACUUUUGCACCCAUACCCCUACCUUUUUUAUAGUCUAAUAUUUUGAAUUAGAGGUGAAUAUUUAUAUGAUUUUUAAUUUAUUUACAGUAUAAUUUUAAGGUUAUAUUUUUAUGUGUUUUAACAUGGUUGGUUAUAUUUUUUUUUUUUAACAUACAUUAAUAGUUAUCCAACUAUUAGUAAAUUUAUUUUUUGAUUAUCUAACUAUAAAAAGUUACAAAAUCUGCUCGACUGGUCUAAAAAACCCGUUUUACUAUUAAAAAUUAGUCAAAUAUAUUAAAAUAUAUUUUUACUUGCUAUUUUAUAAUUAAAUUUUAAUUUAAAAGCACUUUUUUGUUAUUUAAAUUGAAUUAAGGUCAGGUCGGCCCAAAGUGCAAAAAAUCAUUGUCUAAGCUCAACCCUAGUCGGGUCGGGCCAAAUGGGCCACCCGAUCCUUGGACAGACCUACAAAAUGGCCAUGUGACUAUUAGUACAUUUUUUUAAUCACCCAACUAUAAAAAGUUGUAAAGAUGAUCACCCAAUUAUUCAAUUUUGUUUUUUUUUAUCAUUAGCUAGGUGAAGGUAGUAGCUUUUAAAUUAGCAUAAUAGCAACUUUAAUUCUCAACCUUUAUAAAUUAUGUCAAUUUAGUCUUGAUUUUAAAAUAAAAAAAUUAACCCUCAACAUUUACACAUUGUGCAUUGUGGACUCUCUUUUUUUCAAUUUUUCUUUUCUUUGUGACAUAGAGGGUUAAUUUUAAAAGAAUGAGAAAAGAUGAAAAUUAUUAUCUUGGAUUUAUAAAUUUAUUUUUUUAUUAUCUUUUUAGGUGAAAGGGUCACAAUGAAAAGAAAAGCUACGAAAAAUACUAAAUUACACGAUGUGCAAAUGUUGAUGGUUAGAUUUUUUUAGAAUUAAGACUAAAUUGUCACAAUAUGUAAAUGUUGAGGGUUAAAGUUUCUAUUACGCCAAUUUUAAAAGUUAUUACUGACCAAAAAAGACAAAAUUGAAUAGUCAAGUGACCAUUUUGUAACUUUUCAUAGUUGGGAGAACAAUUUUUUUUUUUUUACUAAUAGUUAGGUAAAUAUUUUAUAACUCUUCAUAGCUAAAUGACCAAAAAAGAAAUUUACUAAUAGUAGGGUGACUAAUAAUGAGUUUACCCAAAACGAUGGCCAAACAGAGAAACAGGUUUAUUAUAACAGUACAUGGAACGAGCAACAGAAGCUUCCCCAACAAUCUCCCACUUGACAUUUUGACAAAACUAAGUGGUAAAAACUUCCUCUGCACAUAUGCAUCGUAUCCAAAAGAAUGUAGCGUGGUAUGAAUAAAGCAAUAACAAAGCUUUUUCAUAUCUCCCUCUACGAAAUAUGCACAAUAGAGUUUCAACACAACAAUUCCGAGUAUUAAAACAAAUUCAAAAGUAGCAAAAUCCAACAAUUGCCAUACGCUAUAAAGUUCAAAUAAAAAACAUCCAAUCUUUAUCCACAGCAGCAGCAUUCAAACACACCAGCAACCAAUAGCCAUCAUAAAGAACCAGACUCUCUUCCCCUUUCACCAUGUCGAAUGCUCCAAGUCUUGAAGUAGGUUAGUGAGGUGAGCUUUUCAUGUGUUGAGUUGAUGAUCCUCCAAGUUAAUGCUGUCAAUUUUGGUUCUGAGCAUGACCAUUACCUUGCCUUUUGAGUCGCGAUAACACUUUGAGUUCCACUAGCUGCUCCUAUUACAGCAGAGGGUGGAAUAAGCUCUCUUAGUACCAAGUCAUUCAGUCGACUUAGUUUAAAUAGUUUGCUGGAGAUUUUGCGCUCCAAAACCAUGUCUAAUAGAACACCAUUUUCACUUUUAUAUUCUUUUGAAGAAUAAACAGAAGAGGGAAACGGAAGGAACUCAUGGUUCAACACGGACUCAACAUGUUUUACCAUUUGCUCAAAGAUAAAGUCUCCAAGGUUGAAACGCACCCCUUGGCCCACUAUAUAGAGAAGUCGAGCUAGUGGCUUAUUAACAGAGGAUUUAUAGAUUGUUGGCAGCCAAUUGUGGAUGGCUAUCUUGUGCAACAUGCAAAACUUGAUUGUUAACCUCGUGGUCGAUAAAGGUAAACUCUUGAGCCAAACUCACACAACUCCUCUAGUGAUAACAUCAAUAAUGUGAUUGAAAUCUUGAGUGAUGAGUUGGUCGUGCCCGACGUGCAUGCACUGGGGCUAAGAAUCAACACACAAUUUAAGAAUUUAAAAGUGGCUUUGUAACACCCCUAUACCAGAUCCGACCUUCAGGACCUGAUAUAAAACUAUUACAUUUGGUGCCAAAACGCUCUUGGCUAAACACUAGCACUUGAACAUUUUAUGACUAAAUUUUAGCCUUUACAACUUAUUAAUAUCACUAUGGAUGUUUGGAAACUUUGUCGGUUAACCAAUUUCGCUUGGAAGUAAAUAGAAUAAAUUUUUUAUUCAAAACAAGGGGCAAGUAUCGGUACCAAAAUCUAAGGGAUUGAUACUAGAGGUGCUCAUGGGCCGAGACGGGCCCAAAAAAAUUUUCGGCCCGUGUCCUAGGCCCGGGCCCGGCCUGGCCCAAAAUAUUGGCCUGAAAUUUUGUCCAGGCGCGGCCCGGGAAAAAUUCCUAAGCCCAAGCCCAACCCGGCCCAUAUUUUAAUAAACACCAAAAUUUUAUUAAUACCUAUGGCCAAUGUAUUGAUUUCUUGGCUUGGGUACCGAUACCAAAUUGGCAUUCUGUUUUCGAAAAACUCAAUUCCAAACACCAAGUAUCAAUACCUGAUCCUUGGUAUUGAUACCUUAGGUCAAUUUGCUUAAAAACAUUUGGAAAAUUUGUUUAAAACCCCCUGCAAAGAGUUUGUACCAUUUCAACACUUAAAAACCAAUUCCAAAGAAGUUUAAAUCGAUUUAAAACAAUUCUAAUUCAACCACAUAUGCAUGCAUACAUUUAAACUCUUAACAAUUCAUUUCAACUAAUACAAAAGUAGUUCAUUAAAAUACCAAAAUAAGUUAAGUUCCUAAAAGUUUGCAAUUUAGUCCCACCACUUGGAACACAUUCAGUUUACCUAUGUACAUAUAAUUCUAACUCAAAAUAUAAUACAUACUCUCUUAGAACUAAAGGAUGUGAUGAGAUAAGAAGCCCACGACCUCAACUAUGACUCAUCGGAUGCCACUAUACCUACGUGUUGAAAAUAAAUUCGUUAUGUCUGUGAAAACUUAGUACUAUAAGAAAUCUUUAAACGAUAAAAUUUCCAAAUUUGAACAACAGACCUGUAUUCAACUUCUAUACAAUAAUUUAUACUUAUAAUUAACAAUAAUCACCCAUUUUUAAUUUCAAUACUUACCUUAUUACGCAAAGCUACUCUUGUAGACCACAUUUCUUAUCCUUGCCCAAUGUAAGGUUAACAGAACAAAUUAGGACAUACAAAAUAAAUAUAAAAUUGCACUGAAGAACAUAAUUAGGUCAGUGGUGCACUGAAGUGCGAUAACAGAACAGUGGGUACCAUAAUGCUAAUUUGAAAAGUGGGCACUGUAGUGUGUAUUAGAACAUUGGGUGCACUAAUUAUCCUUAAUGGUAUGUCAUUUAUAUCCUAAUGGUUCUUAUUUCGUCUACAUGGGCUGACCUUUUAAAUAUUCGAAACUAACAUUUAAUUGAUGGAUAUAACAUCGCUUUCCAUAUUCACAAUUCAGUCCUUAUUAUCGCAAACAUUAUACAAUCUUGUAAAUUCAAUUACACAUUUAAUACUAGUAAUUUUAGUAUAUAAAUUAGUACUUGAACUCUUCUCAUAAACUCUACAUUGGUUUUUACUACACAUAAUAUUAAUAUUUUUAAAUUCAAUCUAACUAUUAACAUAAUUUAUAAUUAAACCCUAACUAAACAUAAAUAAAUUCUUGAAGUACUUACAACAAAAGCCUGGAUGGUGGAUUUUACUUUUCCUUAACCUUCUCAUUUCCUUUUCCUUCAAUUUGAUCUUCUCCUUUCUUUUCUUUUUCUUCAAUUUCAAAACAAACAUAUAACAUUUAUAUGUUAAACAACAUAAUCAAGUAAUUUUUCUAUGUUAUUUAAUAGAAAUAAACACGUAUGGCAUGAAAGUUUCAUUAUCUCUUACAUUAACCCCUUGAAAUUGAAAACCCAAUUCUUACUUUUUCUCUCAUUUAUCACUUCUAUGGAGACUCCUUUCUUAAAACUAAGGUACCCACUAGUCUUCUCUAUUGUUUUUACUAAAGAAACACCAAAGGAAAGGAAGGUUUUGAGCUUAGAUUUGAUCAACAAUGGUGGAAGGACUUAAAUAGAAUAAAAAAGAAAGUUUGGUAACCAUGAAAUGGAGGUGACAUUUGAAUUCUAAAAAGAUGAAGAGUCUUUCAUCUUUUCUUCACUUUUCUACACAGUUCUACAAAAAUAUCACAUGAUUUUUACUUAAAUUUGUCGAAUUGAUAAUAAGUCCUCUAGUCAUCCAUCUUUACACUUUAACCCCUUAUCAUUAUGCCUAUAAAUAUCUACUUAACCAAUUACCAUUUUACCCUUAAUCAUCUUUAAAAUUCCAUGUAUGAAUCAUAUUUUUGCUUGGUAAAAUUUCCUAUUAGUCCUUCCUUGUUUUUCCACAUUUUCCAUGUUUUCUCAUAACUUUCUAAUUUCAUACUUUCACUACAAUAAUUUCUAUACUCUUUCAAUUUAUUCAAUGCUUCUAUUCAAAAUUUUCCUAUCUAAGGAGUAUUACCUAAUUUCCUAUCGGGUCUAAAUACUUUCUAAUUUCACACUCAAGUUUCCUAUUUGUUCUAUUUAAAAAAAUUCUCCACUAAUUCUUGACUCAAUCCAUCAUUGUACCUAGCUUCGAGCCAAAACAUGACCUUUACAAGCUUACUGCAAGUGUGACAGACUAGUUGUAAUAUUUAUAAGUGUUACAAUGGAACACUUUGAGUAUUCCAAAGAUCGAACCCAAGGGAUUGUCAAAUUGAUAAAUGUGUUUAUCAAGUUAAUUGCAAGUUAAGCAAUUACUAAUCUAAUCAAGUCAAAAUUGUUUGUGCGAAUUCCAAAAAAAAAUGUUUAUAAACUAAAUUUAAAUUAUCAAUUAAAAAAACUAAUCUAAUUUUCUUCCUUAAUGCUUUAGAUAAUGAAAAUGAUAAAAUGAUGGUCAAUUGAUCCAUUACUCACUAACUUGUAAUGAUGACAAGUUUCAACAAAUUUGUGGAUUCAAACACCACCAUAAGAGAAUACUUCUCAAAAUGUGAAAACAUAAUGUUUCGUUCUUUGAUGACUUUGUUACUGGUUACAUUCUCCCAUCUUUUUUGAGCAAGAAUAUUGAAAAAUUCUAGCGGCUUUACCUUAUUGAACUCUUCAUCGUUCUUGGAAUGAACCUCUCAAAAUCGCUUGGAGUGAAUGUACGUGUAACGACCUGAUUUUCAGUGGUACCAAAAAAUGUGAUUUUGAAACACCACUUUCAUAAAUCGAGCCUGUAAAUAUAAAAUAGGAAUAUUUACGAAGUUAAUAUGUGAAUAUAAUAAAGAAUGAUCAGGUCAGGUAAAGGGUGCUACAGUAUAGGCCUAUUACUGUUUCAUCAUUCUUUUACUUUUCUUUUGCCUUUACCCAUGCAUGUAAUUGGGCAAGUGUCUCACUUGCUUCUUCAAUUUUAAAAAUUGAUUCUCGGUCUGAAGAGUCAUAAUCUUCUUCUUCGAAUUUUUUAGUUGGUUCUUUCGACAAUUAUUGUUCUUCCUCUUCUUGUGAUAAGUCAGAAUCUUAGUCGAAGGUGGAGGAGUUGUUUUCGAUUUCAACAGUAGUUUCCAUAUAUUUUGCUACAUUAUAGGUUUGCUCAAUUUGGGCAAGAAUAGCAUCAAUUUCUUUAAUGGCAGUAGUAGACGAGAGAAGUAUAUAAAGAGUCUCAGCCCCUAUUUUGGCAACGAAACAUUUCGACGACGAGGGGUGGGCUAAGCUUUGACCUCCUGUGGUAUAUCGUCAACAACUUUGAUGGGUGAUCUUAGGGACUUUCUGGGUUUCCUUUGUGCUGAACAUUUCACCCUUGCCAUGUUUUCACCAAGAAAACAAAGCAAAAAUAGAGAAGCAGUAGAGAUGAAGAACAAUAAUGGUGAGGAUUAAAGACCAAAAAGGAGUCUUUUCUUUUUCUUUUUAGAAGGAUGACAAGAAUUUUGAGGAGUCUUGAAAAGUUUAAUGCCUAACAUACUUUCUUCCAAAACAGAGACAUGAGAUGGGACAAAUUAACAAUGAAGGAAAAAAUUACAAAAAUACCUCAAAUAUGGCACAGCCCAAAAGACCCUCUUAUGCUUUCUAAUUGACUUGCAUUCAAGCUUUUUGUAAAGAUAUCCUCCAAUUGUGAGAUAUAUUUUAACUAUAUCAUCUUGUUUUCAAUGAGUUCCAAAAUUGAAGUGAUGUUGAAUCUCAAUAUUCUUUGUGAUGCCCCUAACUCAAUUCGAUUCGCCGGAUCCGAAUCUCAGGUGUUACUGUACAAAACUUUUAUCUUUAACGAAACACUUGACAAACUUUCUUACUUAACAUAUUUUUCUCAUUAAUUUUAAAACUAAUAGUCUUAUUAUUUAAGAACACAUAAUAUAUUAUUACAAAUUAUUACUUCAGAUUUAAUACAAUACUUAAUAAUAUUGAUGUUAUUGAAAGAUAGACUAAAAGGGCGCAAUCCUAACUACUACACGCUCCUAUUGUAUGCAUAAUAGCCCACUUCGCCACUUUCUUGGCACAGUCUUUUAGCAUUCAAACCUGAAACAUAAUUACACACAAAUAAGUUCUUAGGAACUUAAUGAGGGUAAACUCAUAUUUACCUUAUAAAAGGAUAAUAUACAGAAUCUGAUAGCCCAUUUUUGCCAUCUACUCUUUCUUUAUCACAAGUUUACACUUUGAAGAGUACCAUACCCUUCUCAUACUUAUCCAUAAACCCAACUACUACACUCUUAAUCAUACACAUUUUUUUUAUCUACCGGCCUCAAACUUUCUAGGACAUUCUCUAAUCUCUUCUUGAUCAUGAUUCCAUACAAAUACAUUUGAAGAGCAAUAUGUAUAAGCUCUCUCUUCAAACUCAACUAUUGGUUAUUAGCGAAUACAUACAAUCAGCGAAUUUCCAUUUAAACUCAACUAUCAACAGAUUACCGAAGCAAUCCCUAUCCAGUUUAUUCUCAAUACCAAAUCAUAUUGCCAGAACUUUACCUAGGAUAGUUUGAUGGUAUUCUUUUGUAUUCAAUAAUUCAGAGUCAUUCACAUUCCAUAAUAUUUCAGAGUAAAUCAGAACACAACAAAAUGGUGCAUAACCUUUCAUGCACACAAAUUCAUACAUUUUAUUCAAUAGCAUCUCUUUUAGUCUCAUUCAACUACAGAUCAAUUCUAUUUCACUCAUUUUCAUUUUCACUAUAUAUAUGUUAAACUUAUCAUUUCCUAAUCACAACUUAUAUUGUACUUACUACACGGCGGACGAUCACUUUGCGCCAUGUUGUUUUAGUUGAGCACGCUAGAAAGCCAAUCAGAAUACGCCACAAGACUUCUUAUAGAAUACGUUAGAAAAUAUCGUACUGAAUGUGCCAUAAUGGUUUCAUACAAAUUAUGCCAUAAUGAUAUCAUACAGAAUCCUGUGUUUACGAUCCAUUUAUAAAACCAUUUCAUAUCUUGCCAAGGGUCAUAACCUUAUGGUUUACGUAUACAUUCAUGUAUUGCAAUCUACCAUUUCGAUUCAAAUAUAUCGAAGGGUACACCAUGAACAUACAUGUCAUUUCAUAGCCUUGUAUCUCACGGACUCAGCCACAUAGACUUACACACAUUAUGUAUCACGACCUACCAGUUCGGUCAUUAAUAUACUUAAGACAACACCAUGAGUGUUUUCAUACCUUAAGGUGUCAUAGGUCAUAACCACAUGGUCUUUCAUUUCACUCAUACCGUGACUUGCCAAUUUGGUUAGCAGUAACUGCCCUACUAGAGGCAUCACAAAGAGACUUAGGCAUAACAAUCACUUACCAAAACUCAUACAUAUAUCAGAUAAUUCCUUAUCUUCCAAUCUCGAGCUGUACUUAAACUAAUAAAUAUAUACAUCAAUAUCAAUCUAUUUUGACAUAAUUGCAUUCAUAUAGUCGUGUACAUAUUACAUUCUUACCAUAAUUUUCAUGAAUACCGAUUUGUAAUUUGGUCACUUUCAUUUAGGUAGGGGUGUGCAAAAUUCGGGUAAAACCGAAAAAAUUCGGUUAACCGACCGAAUUCAGUUAAUCGGUCGGUUAACUGAAUUUUUUCGGUCGGGGGUCGGUUAAUUAUUUUUUAAUUUUUCGGUUAACGUUUAAUUCGGUUCGAAACCGGUCGGUUAACCGAAUUUUUUUGGUUAACCGAAAAAAUUAAUAAAUAAAAUUAAUAUAUAAAUAGGCCCACUAUUCAUCUAAACCCAAUCUAAACCCAAGUAUUUAAUCCAACCCAAUUACCCAACCCAACCCAAUCAUAAAAUUAAAUUACAAAUAAUUUAAUAAAUAAAAAUAAAAUUUUAAAACUAAGACUAAAACUAAAGUCUAAAAGUCUAAAAAUAAUUUAAUUAUGUAGUGAUUCAAUUUGGUUAAUUCGGUUAAUUCGGGUAAUUCGGUUAAUUUGGUUAAUUUUUAACCAAAAAUAAAAAAACAUAUAAUUUUCGGUUAAUUCGGUUAACCGACAGAAUUAACCGAAAAAAUUUCAAUUCGAUUAAUUUUUUUGAAAAAAUUUCGGUUCGGUUAACGGUUAAAGAUUUUGAAAGGUUGGUUAAUUCGGUUAAUGUUAUUUUGGGUCGGUUAACCGGUCGGUUAACCGAAUGAACACCCCUACAUUUAGGUAUACUUCUUAUUUGAACAUGUUGUUAUAAAGAGUCAGUAUAGAGACUCACCUGACACUCACAUACAACAACUUGAACUCCUGACUCACACAUUCAUCAAGAAACAACAACAACCACUGCUAACAGAACAUAUGAACACUAUUAGAACUCAUUUGUAUACAAUUUACCAUCAUCUCAAGCACAGACAACGCCCAUGCAAAGCCUUAUUUCUUCAUCUUAUUGUUCAUGUGCCCAUACAAACUUAAUCUUUCAGAACUUAACAUGCAGAGUUGUAAUACUUACCAGAAGAUAAAAUAAUCACCGAUUACACCAAGAAUAUUAUUCUUUAGCUUAAUGAGAGAACUACAGAGUUCCAAAAAGAAUCAGAUAACAGCAUUUUAGAAAAAGAAAGAAGAAAACUCUCUUUCUCUAAUCUCAUUCACAUAUAUAUAACCCAAUUUCACUUACAAGAGUUCAACAUGUGUCACUUAAAUUCAGAGUUUGUCUUUUAUAAUGACUUACAGAAUCUGAGAAUGUUAUAAAUGAAAAUCUAAUAUUUUAAAUACCUUGUUAGUCUAUCCAGUUAGUUCCUAACUAGAUUACAUUGCAACUUAACUUGUACAGUGCUUCAGACAAGCUGGGCACAGUAUACCUUUGGCGUGAACUCAUAUAUUAAAUACAUUUUUACUUGGUCAUUAUUAUACUCUAACUAACAUAGAAAUCUAGCAUAGGGCCAUCACUAAAUUACAUAUUGAUUGGAAUAUGCCAAAAGAAAUAAUUAGGUGGGUAGCACUUCGCCAAAAGAGUUUAUUCCACUAAAACCCACCCAAAUCUCAGGCCUGCUAGAUUCAGGGUGUGACAUGCUUUGUGUGAGAGUGUAGCAUCGGGUUCAAAAAAUAUUGAUUGUGCUUAUAUUGUCACAAUACACCAUUAGAACGUGGGUUGGAACGUGAUAGUCCUGAAGAAUUUGUUUCACCCAAAUGAGUUGGGUGCAGCAACUUCUGGCUGCUAUAUAUUCGGCUGCAGCUGUUGAGAGGGAGAUGAAAUUUUAUUUCUUGCUAUGCCACGACACUAGGUUAUUUCCCAAAAAGAAACAUCCUUCGAAGGUACUCUUUCGGUCAUCAACACUACCGAACCAAUCCACAUCGUUAUACCUAACGAGAGCCAUGUUUGUAUCCUUAGUGAACCAAAGCCCAUAAUCGAUAGUGCCCUUCACAUAUUCAAUAAUUCAUUUCACUACUUUAAGAUGUAAUUCUUUCAAGUUAACUUGGAAGUGAGCACAUACACCAACACUGACAAAUAUCUAGCCUGCUAGCCGUCAAAUAGAGUAAGCUUCCAAUUGUACUAUCAAUUGAGACACCCUCCUUGUUUAUACCAAGCUUUUCACUUGAUCCAUUGGGAGCCCGAGCAUUCUUGGCUUACUUUAAUUUAAUUUUUUUCACCAUGUUAGCUGCAUAUUUUUCUUAAUUUCAAAAUAUAACCCAAUUUAGCUAUUUAACUUGUAGACCAAGAAAGUAUGUGAGUUCUCCAACCAAGCUCAUCUUGAACUCAAAUUUCAUGAGUUGAACAAACUCAUUCCUUGCCUUUUCUGAAUUUGAAUCGAAAAUAAUGUUGUCAACAUAAAUCUGAACAAAAAUCAUAUCCUUCACGCUUUUCUUUAUGAAUAGAGUUUUAUCCAUGCUUCCUCGAACAUAACCUUGUUGUAACAAGUAUUGGCAUUUAUACCAAGUUCUUGGAGCUUGUUUUAGCCCGUAUAAUGCCUUUGACAGUUUGUACACAUAGUCCAGAUAAUGUAGGUCAAUAAACCCUUUAGGCUCAUUGAGCCAUCCAUUCAGAAAUGCACUUUUAACAUCCAUCUGAAACAAUUUUAUGUUAAGGUAGCAAGCAAUAGAUAAAAAAAGACAGAUUGAUUCUAACCUUGCUACUGGAGCAAAUAUUUCAUCAAAAUCCACUCCUUCAACUUACAUGUACCCUCGAUCUACAAGAUAAGAUUUAUUCCUUGUGAUCACUCCAUUCUCAUCAAUCUUGUUCUUGAAGAUCCAUUUGGUACAUAUUAUAUUGUACUCUGUUAGUCGUGGUUCAAGUGUCCACACUUCAUUUCUAACAAACUGUUGUAACUCUUCCUGCAUGGCAGCUAUCCUGUGCUCAUCUUGUAAAACCUCCUCUACUCUUUUAGGUUCCAAUGUUAACACAUAGCACCCCAUGUUGAUCAUCUCUCGAAAUUUAUUUUCUUUCCUCGAGUUCUUCUACUGUCAGCAAUAUCACCAAUAAUAUAUUCGGGAGGAUGAUUCUUUAAUAUAUUGGUUGGAGGGUUCAACUUGUGCCCCCCAUUUACUUCAACCUUAAGACACUUUGUUUCUGUUCCAUCUUCUGUUACAACAGACUUUGUUUUAGCAGUUGUUGCUUCAUCUUCAGGCAAUUCUACUAGAGACUUUGAGGAGUCAUCAAUAAUUACAUUUAUAGACUCUAUCACAAUCCUAGUUCGUUUAUUAUAGACCUAGUAUGCUUGACUGUUUGGUGAGUAUCCUACAAAUACACCAUUAUCGCUUCGAGGGUCAAACUUUCAUUUGGCUUCUCGAUCUCUUAGAAUAUAACAUGGACUACAAAAAUUUUGAAAAUAAGCACCAUCAGCUUCCUUUGUUUCCUGAUCUUAUAGGGACUCAUUCUUUUUAGUGGUCUUAAGAGUACCCAAUUACUAACAUAACAUGCAGUAUUAACGACCUUGGCCCAUAACUUAUGUAAAAUAUUUUUUACAUUAAGCGUCACCCUUGUCAUCUCUUAUAAUGUUCAGCUCGACAAUCCUAUUUUUCUGAGGCGUCUUAGGGGCUGAAAAUUCAUGCAAGAUCCCUUCUUGAUCACAGAAGUCUCAAACUCAUAAUUCUCGAACUAUUUUUCCUGGUCACUUCAAAUUCGAAUGAUCUUCCCAAUAUUCUCACCUUUUUUCAUUUAUGAGCUUUAUACACGGACUCUUAAACACCUUGAAAGUUUUAUACUUUUCUUUUAGAAAGUUAGCCUAAGUGAAACAAGAAAUGUAAUCAACACAAACAAAAACAUACAUCUUUCCUCCUAGGAUCUCUAGUUGCAUAGAACCAAUAAGAUCUAUUUGGAGCAACUCUAAUAAUCUUGUGGUAGUGAUCCAUCGUAAUGAAGGAUAGGACGAGCAAUGAUUUUUUUUCCAUUUAAGCAAUUCCACAAGGUUUCGUAAUAACUCCUACAAGUUUUGGUAAUCCUUGGAUAGCUCCAUGUUGCACAACCCUUUGAAGACUUUUGUAGCUUGCAUGCCCUAGCCGUUGAUGCCAUAGAUCAAGCUCAUUCAUUGAUUUCACAAAAUAUUUUUCUUCCUUUAUGAGAAGAUAAAAAUUAUCAAAUGACCAAGCUCCUUUUAUUAUGCAUUGACCGCUUGUGUCUAGGCCUCGCAACAAUUCUUGUUAAAACCUACUAGAAUUCUCUCAUCACACAGUUGACUUAUGCUGAUUAGAUUUGCAAAAAGUCCUUCCACAAGAUGAACAUUAUUGGGCUUUGGUAAUCCUUCAACAUCUAAGACCCAUUUUCUAGUUACUCUCCCCUUUUGACCAUCUCCAAAGGUUACUCUCCCUAUAUCACAUUUUUUAACUUCUUUCAAGAAUUUUUAGUUUCCUUACAUGUGUCUCGAGUACCCUCUGUCAAAGUACCAAAUCUCCUCAAUUGUGGAUUUUAAAGAAGUAUGAGCAAUCAAAAGGCUUCUUUCCUUGAAAACCCAGACUUACUUCACUUGUUGUACCUUCCUGUUUCUUGGACAAACAUUGCUGCCACCAUGUUUGUACUUCUUGAAGUCCUCUAGCAACUUGUAACAGAAAGGUAUUAUAUGAUCCUCCUUACCGCGACAAUGGUAAAAAAAAAAAAUUCUCUUCUUUUUAUGUUCUUCCUUUGUUCCUGAGGCAUCGCAUUCAUUAACUUUUAACAAAUAUAUAAGAUGGUUUAGUGUUCAUACCCUUGUUUGGAUAACCAAGGCCACAUCUCCCUAUUUCAAACCUGUGUAGAUAAAAUUUUGUCAAGCUUUGUGCUUUAGAAUCUCUUCAAGGUCAGUUUUGUAUCUUCAAGUUCUUUAUUGGCCUUUUCAAUAACUUGAUUCCUGAUGAGAACUUCCUUUACAAGGGCUUUCUUUUGACUUCUUAAGAUGCACACUUCUUGAAUAUCUUUAUUUAUUUCACAUAGCAUUUCCAUCCUUUUUUAACAAGUGAAAAUAAGCAUUUUCAAUAGAACCCUUUUUACUUUGUUCCUCUGUCUCUUCUUCCAGUUCGGUAGUGAAUGUCGCUUCUUUAUCGGACUCAGACAUAUCAUCUUCUGAUUCUUCAUCACUCCAAGUAGUGAUAAGCAACUUUAGCUUCUUCUUUUUUUUUCUUUUUUUCUUUUUUGUAUUUGCACAUUCAAUCUGAAUAUGUCUGUAUCCUUCGCAUUCAUAGCAUUGCAUAGUCUUCUUCUUCAUGAAUUACCCUCUAUUCUAACUCUUUUUGGGCAUUUCUUCUCCUUGUUUAUCUAUUACCAAUUUUUCUUGGCAAAAUGUUUUAGAGUCUUGAUGAAAUUUUUUUUUAAAUACUUUGUUUUGAAUAGGAGGAUCAUAUUAUACUAAUAAGUAAAAUGAAAUUAUUUUGUACGUAAUUUUUUUUAUGAUUAACAUUUUAACUAUACAUAUUAAUAUCAUAACUGAAGUCAUUUGGUCAUACAGAUAUAAUUGGUUUUUGCUUCAUAAGAAGCACGGAUGAAGAUUGAAAUAAAGAAUUAAAUGGUUUAAUUUGGAAACAAUUAGGGUUUCAUGAGAAUUUAUCAAUUAUUUCUUGCUUUUCAAUAUAAACAUGUCCAAAUAUUAAGUUACUCAGAUCCGAAAGUCCAUCUAUUAUUUCAAAAUGUACAGACAAAAUUAGAGCCUAAAAAUGAGCUUCACGUAAAAAUUCAGCCCUUUAAACAUGAUGUUGGACUUGAAUUCUAAAGGCUUGAAUCUAGCUUAGUUGGACACAUUUUUAGAUUUAUAAUAUAUUAAUUUUUUAUUUUUAUAUAUUACGUAAUUUAUAUCAAUUAAAAAUUAAAUAUAUAAUUUUACAAUGCAAAUAUUAAAAAAAUUAUUAAAUUAUCGAUGUUUAAAAUUUUAAUAAAAGAAAAAAUUACUAAAUACAAAAUAAAAAUAAAAAAUGAGAAAAAGAAAAUUUAUAUGUACGAAUUUAGAUAAAAUUGAAUUAAUUAUUUAUAGAAACGAAUAACUUUAACAAAAUUUAAGACUCAUGUCUUUGAUCAGGCCAAGGUUAAGCAAAUAUAUGAGACAUUGAUAUCAACCCUUUCUUAAUUCUAUAAUAUAUUAGGGUUUUUUUAAUAUGUUACAAAAUUUAUAUCAUUUGAAAAUAAAAUAUACAAGUCAUAAUGAUAAAUUUAACUCUUAAUGUAUUUUUUUUAGUUAAUUUAUCUAUUAUAAACAAUCAAAUCAGAUUUUAACAUGUAACAACACUCAUGGUAAUUCACGUAGAACACAUACAACACUAUUUGUAGAACACAUACAACACUAUUUGUCUUAUACGUACAUCAACAAAUAAUUUAAAAAUUAUAAAAGUAUUAAAAUAAAAAUAAAUUCAAAUUAAAAAAAACAUAAAAUACAUUUGGAGUCUACCAUGUUUAUUUAGUCAAUAUUUCCAUCAAAAAAACAAUUCAAUUUUUUUUGAAAGGUUAAAAGUCAAAUUGAACUUUUUUUUAAAAGCCUGAUACCCAAAUUUAAUUUUAAAAAAUUAAAAGUCAAAUUAACAAAAAAUGUAAACAUGAAUACCUGAUUUAAUUACUAGUAUAAUAAUACAAGGAAAAACUUAUUUAUCACAUAGGUAUACAAUAGUUAGACCUAAAAUAAAAAAUAUUUAGCACAAAUUUAAGCUUGAAAUUGAAAAAAAUGACUAAAAAAUCUUGUAAAAUAUAAAAUGACUAAAUAUUACUAAUUGAAUUAAUUUAUUGUUAAUCCAUAAACUAAAACGUGUAAACCAAACUAAUAUAAAAGCUUAAUUUAUCAUUAUGUCAAUAUAUAACACUACAACGCAAAUAUUAAAAAAUGUAUGAAGUAUAACAUGUGCAUUUUGAAAGAAGAAAAAAAAAAUCAUAUGUACCAACCUAACCUAAAUGAAAUUGGAUUAACUAUUUAUAAAUAUUAACGGGUAUAAAAAAAAUUAAAACUCAAUCAUCCUACAAACAUCUCUAGACAGGCAGAAGGGUUGUAAGGCCUAAAAGUAGUGAACAUAAAAUUGUCAGUUGUCAUCCAAAAUGAAUUGCAAUGUUUUGUUGGAUUUAUCUCAACAUGUUUCAAAAACAAUAAUUCAAUUGUUGCUCAUGUAAGCUAUGCCAACCCCAAAAUUCAUAAAAGGUGUUUUUACCUAAACCAGCAACCCCCCGAAAAUCCGACAGCUCGGAAGCCAUUAGCAGGCUGUUGGGAGACAGUGGAGACGUUGCCUCACUUGUAAAGAAAAUGAACCGAUGUCUGUUAGACCAACGAUGUAGGAAGAACUACGAGCGCAUAUGGAGAUUUGGCCUCAUUUCUUGAUUAAUCUCAAGACAUCACCAACGAGAUGCAAGGAACCAGUUACAAGGACCUAAUCAAUCAAGAUAAGGGAAUUAUAAAACCCAAGAGAAACACAAACGAAGUGAGAGUUGUAAGCAUUAAAGAAAAGAAAAAGCUACAACUGAACCACAACCUCGAUGCUUUUUCACUAAGACCAAGGAGUAUAGGGAUAUGCCUAUAGGCUAUGGUUAAGUUUUUGCCGAGUUCUCCCUACUUAGGUUGACACUCAUAUUCAACACAUAUUCGGACAUGGGUGUUGGAUAUAAUGCUCUAAAUAUAUGAAGAACUUUUGAAAAUUGAGUAUAUCUGACAUUCCCCGAUCAGGUACUUUUCUGACAAAUUAUUCACUAAGCCUAACCAAUUAUUCCCAAGACAGUAGGCUACAUGUAUUAUAUUAAAGACCCAGCAAUUUAAUCGACACAAAUAUCAACCACCAUAAAAGACAGCUCACAGGAGAUCAUCCAUACUUUACUCUCAAUUCAAUAAUAAAAUAAUGUUUCAGAGGAACAGAACAAGAGCCACUCAAUGGCUCGAUUCAUGCAUAAUCCUACAUGUUCCAAUAUCCUCCAAGGUUUUACAAGCUACACUUUCAACAACCACCACAUCAAAACAAAGUUAGAAUGCUAAGUUCUGAGACUAUAUCCAGGAACUCGAUGUAAAGUACUCUAACCUUGUUAUAUAUAGGAGGCAGGCAAAUAUUUGCAACAGCAAGCUUAUAAUCUCAAGCAAAUAUAAUCCACAAAACACAAUCAUUACCUGAAAAUGAACAAAUCGAUCCUUCUGGGCAGUAUCCCUGAGCCAUUUGAUAGCCGAUGGUAGAGAAGAAAAGACAAAACUGUUUUUACAAAUCGUAACGCUCAUUCCUGUAUCAUCUUUCACUUCUUCACAAGCUUGGUCCGUGUUACUGGGCUCCCCUCCUAGUAUAUGAAAGAUCCAAUCAUUAUAAACUAAACCGAACUAAAGCACCCUUAGUUAUGCUCCAUGUCCACAAUAAAUUUGCACAUUUUGUGAUGAUCAUAAUUAAAAUCAGUUCACUUAUAUCAUCAAGCAGAAAAAGGGAUUUGAAUCCCAAGGAAGUAAAUCCCAUUGGAAAUCAAAAUAUGGGGGGGGGGGGAACUUGAAACAUUAUGCGAUGAAAAGGCUGCAGACUUAAUUAUUUUAAAAUUACAAAUUCAACAUAACUCACAAACUAUGAAUUUUAGAAAAUAAGAAGAAUGUGAUGCCAUGCAUUAGACUGGUACCUUUAUCACUCUGCAUAAGGGUUUCCCAUGCGCUUUGAAGAGCAAAUUGCCAUGACAAAUCAACUUGAGGAUCAACUGUGGGUAAAGCCCGGGAUCCAACCUUGUGAUACACGGAUAUGUUUGGCACAAACAGAGCCUUCAGGAAGCAGACACCUGAAGUAUCAAUUACAAGAUUUUAGACUAAAACAGUGCAAUAAAGAAUUAAAGCACCUGAACGUAACCAUUCCCCUAAAACACCAGAUCUUUCAUGAACUUCAAAAGCAUUUACAAUGCUUUCCAUCAUAUGGAUGUAAAAUUCUAUCCAUGAGAACAUAUCUAAACAUGCCUCUAACUCAAGUAAUCACCAUGGCUGGCACAUGUCCUCAUCAAGCGAGGCAGAAGCAACUGAGGAUCUCGCACUGACAUACAAUUGAAUAGCAGAACCUGCAAGUAAUUCUCAAAAGCUUAAGUCCAGUAUCAUCAAGAUGCAGCCCAAAUCUAUUGUACAGCUUAAAGUUUAGAAAAGCACGGAAAUAUAAAUAAGGUGUGCAUGAAUGUAUAUUUGAAAAAAGUAGCAACAGUUUUCAGCCAGAUGCUCAAGGAAUUAUCAAAAUAUACAUUUACUUUUGCCUCAAGUUAUGUUUGAGCUUUAUAAACUCAAUCAUCAAAUUUCUGAAGCUUUCUGAAAAACCAAAUAGCCUCCUAGGUUUAGAUUAUCCUUCAUACUAUUACUCAUAAGCAAAAUACAAGUCAGCACCAAACUCCACGUGUUUGAUUGCUUCUUUUGACUUGCUAAAAUAGAAAAGAUUGAACAGUGGAUAUAAUAAGAUCAAAACAAAACUGAUGUUUGUAAGGACAGAGUACUCUCAAUCACGUCUAAGUUUUUAAAACUGUGGAAAAGAGCAGGGCACUCUACCUGGGCAGUAUCCUUCUUAGAUCCUUCAUCCAUAUGCUGCUGUGGCUGAUAAUUCAGGUUAGAUAGGUGAUUAUCAUCCCUCGUGCAAAGAGAAAACCACCUUGCACAAGCUUCCAUGCUUUCAGGACUGUGGGCUCCAUCCAAAUAAAAAACCAGAUUUCCAGGGCUUUCAAUGUCAGGGACAAUCUGAGCCCGCCCUUGCAAACUUGCUGUGGUUAGGCCCAUAAUAAAUGGUUCAGGUAAUGGACCCUAUUCCCAGGAAAUAAACAACUUUUAAGCAAAUGGAAAUUGGAAUGCAGAGAAAGUCUUCAAUAAAUAGAACCUACUGUUUGAUUGAAAUUGAUGAUAGGAUGACCAGUCCUCCGAAGCCAAGUAGAACACAGUGCAACAGCAAGACCAGCAUUCAAAUAUUGAUGUUCAACUUCAAGUGCAAGUUUUAGACCAUUCAGCAAAUUCGCAUCUAGUGGAUGUGCUACUUGAAGGUUUACCUGUUAAGGACAUAAUUAUAUUCAUGUCCUUUAGAACAAGGCAAUAUCCAGAAUUUGAAUACAAGUUGAGUCAUGCAUUCAAGUUCUUUGCAUCAGGAAACUCAGAAAUGGAAGUGUUAUGCAUACAUUCAACUUUGAAGCUUUCUCUUCAAGCACAUGCAUAGCCUCAUCAGCCUGAGGUACAGUAAAGGCCGGGAUUUCGUGCUGCAUCAGAAAAAGUACUAACAUAAAGGUUUUGCUCGAUAAGAUGGAAAGAAAAUUAGAAAGAUGAAAAAUUGGAGAAAAGCAGAAAAAUAGAAAAAACAUUAUUGCUUUCCAUUGGUAUGCUUGGUAGGAAAGACAGAAAAAUGAAAUGAAAAAUAAUUUUAUCUUCAUCCAUGGCUUGGUAGCGUUGGAAAAUGAAAAUUUAAAAAAAAAAAAAAAGUACUUAAUCUUGUAAAUAUGCACACUUAACUCGCAUCUCCUUGCUCUCUCUCCUCUUAUCAUUAUAAUUUGGAAUGAUAAGCUUUUAUGUAUUAGAAUAGAAAAUAAUCAUCUUUCCUAUUUUCUUUUCUUUCACUUUUAUUUCCUACCAAGCAAACACAAUUUACUUUCUUUUCACUUUCCCACUCUUCAUCCUCUACUUUUCCAUUCAACCAAGCACACCCAAGAAAAAGGAAAUAGAUUUAAAUUAUGUUGCAAAACUGGAACAGAGUCUUAUCAUAUGCUUUAAUCGACGUGGUUCUAAAAGUAAAAGCACCUUAAAAAUACCAGCCUUCGCCCCAGCAAUUUCUCCCAGAGUAUUUCCUGUUUAUGGCGUCCAAAAGAGGAAAGAAAGUAAUCUUUAGCAUUAGCUUUAAUUAUUCUGAAAGAAGCAAGUUAUUUUGAAAUACAUGGAUACACCAAAUGACAAAAUUCACAAGUAAUUACUCACGUAGCUCAGAAAGUUGGUAUAUAGGGGUAUUUUUUCAUUUAGUUCCGCAUAAUUUAGUUGUUCUCCGGUUAAUGAAAUCUCACAGAUAUGCUGGAAAUAUAGCUUUCAACAUGAUGCUCAAAAAACCUUUGAUGUCACAAAUUUACUGCACAAUGUUAAAAAUAAUGGAACACAAAAUGAAAUCUUUGUUACUCAGAGAUCUUGAUCAAUAACUUUACAAAGAUAUUCAGAGAUCUUUCACUUAUAUUAAUUAUGAACGUUCAUGAGAAGUUAACUAAAGUUAUAUAAUACUAACCAAGAAUCUCCAUGUGAUCAUACCCAAGGGAAGAUAUACCACAUACAAUAGGGUUUUUAACCUGAAAAAAAGACACAUUGAAAAAAAAUUAGAACAAGAUAGGCAUUAGCUUUAUAUUCUAGCACCACAAUGGCCAGAAAUGAUAAGCUUAGCUUGGCAGAUAUGUAGAGUAUUUGUGAACAAAAUUAGAAAAAUACCACAUUGGUUGCAUCAAACCUUCCACCCAAACCAACCUCCAGAAUUGCAACAUCAACCUGCAUGGACAAUUUAAAGACAAUCAAUAUUUUCACUUCAUGGCAGAGGAUGAUCAUGAAAUGGUAGAAGCGACAUGGGAACAGCUUCAUAUAGAAGGAUCAUAACACACAUCAAACCUGCUCUGCUGCAAAUAUCUUAAAGGCAAGCAAGGCCAGGAAGCGAAAGUAUGUAGGCAUUGGUACAUCAUCAUUGGUUUUUUCCUAUGAAUCAACGAAAAAAGUUAAGUAGGAUUAAACUCAUUGUUCGAAGGAAAAGCCCAAAAUAAAAGACAAUACUGUUUAUUCGAUGAUAAAUAUGGAACUGGACUCUGAGAGAAAUGAUACUGCAGAUGAUGCUGUUUCAAGCUGUCAAAAAGGCAGAGAGUCCAGGCAAGUCCAUGCGGACUAUUCAGGUUUGUUUGAAAUGCUAUACAACUCAAUUCUUAUUCCUUCUACUAGACUGAUUGGCUAGAGAAGCCCUAACUUCCUAUUGACAAUGCCAAAUUCUAAAAAAAGUAUCCCCGACCCCCCCCCCCCAAAAAAAAAAAUAAAAAAUAAAAAAGGGUCAUCAUAUGCACCAUGCAUGACUAUUAGCUUUUAGUCUGAUGAUGCUUUGUUGAAGACAAAUACUAGGAGAAAUAAGUUAGCAAAUUCUAAUAAACAAUUUACAACUAAUUCUUGUACAAUACUAGUUGACGACAUAGGAAGUCCUUAUUGUAGAGCCAAAUACUUACUACUUAGGACAGACAAUAAUUGAUGUUAAAAAAAUUAAAAAACCAACUUAAUAACAUAGAGAAAGGCAAAUAAAAUUGUAGAAGACCCCAGCAGGACGGAACCCUAGUGUGGAUGUACCUUCAGCCUAUCAUAGCACCACCAGAAAUAUUCCAAGAAUUUCUCCUCACUUAUUUCCAAACUGAAACAGCCAAGAAAGACAAGAAAUUAACAAUACUAUCAACACCUAAAAUUUUAAAUACUCAUAGAUAGCAGUAGUUAGCCAACAUUAACUAUAGAAAGCUUUAAAAAAUUAGACAAUAACUUAACUUACUAGAUAAGACCAAUUAAAUAGACAAACCACCCAUUUGAAACGCUUACCCAUCCAGUCGAAACCUUUCACGAACAUCAAUAAGAUGAGGAGAUGUGAAAAGUCCAGUUCGAAACCCACAAUUACGUAAUAUAGAUUCAGCAAACGUGCAUGUUGAUCCCUUUUCAAAUUUCCAAAUGAAGAGAGAAUCAGUAUAUCAAUUCAUAUGCUAUAUACAAACAGGAUAGAAGAUUUAAGUUACAUUGAAGCCAACUAGACCAAAAUAGCACCAAUGCCUAUAAGGCCGAGUGCUAAGGAGCUCGGUACCGGCAUCCGUUCAAGUCUUGCGGAAGGAGAAAAUAUGUAUUGGGGGAGUUUUCCGACCUCAGGGUUAACCCGACUUAACUCAGAAUAGUCGGGGCCAAUGUGACUACUGAUACCAGGUCUUAGACAAAAAAAAAAAAAAACCAGUAGAAAAUAGUGGCAAAUGCGAGGACGAAGCUACAGAUAAAUGCAGCAUACAAAAGCAAAAAAAAAAGAAACGGGAAAAGAUUCUUAAAGUUAAUUAGCUAAAAUUAAUGAGUUUCAGAGAAAGAAAAUUUUCAAUACCUUUCCUUUAGUGCCAGCAACAUGGAUGAUUUUCAACUGUGGAAUUGCCUCAUCCAGUUCCAAAAUCUAUAAUCCAUUCAACAAUCGGCUUAACUUUAAACUCUAAAAAAAUCAAUUUCUGAAAAUAACUCAAUCAAAGCAAAACCAAAUUACUUUCAAAUAAUCAAAGAGCAAGUCGUAGCCGCCCCCUUUAUUACUCUUGUCAGCACGGCUCUUUUUCGUUAUCAACGACGACAAGGCAUCCAACGUCGAUUGGUAUCGAUCCGCCGCAGACUCCAUCGAUCCUCCUACAAUAAAACAAAACAGAAAAUCAUAAAAACUGGGAAAAAAAACAGUUUUUCAAUCCUUUUUUUUUUUUUACCUUCGGCCAUUGGGAUAUUUUUUAUUUGGAUGGAUGAAAGGAUUGGGGAAAUGAGAGGAGGCGUUGAGAAGUGAAGACCAAGAGAUGAUGAGAUUGGGAUUGGGAUUGGCAUUGGGAUUGGAUUGGAGGGUUGAGCAAUUUUAAGCCAAGGAGCCACAUUCACCAAUAGCGACAUCGUUUUGUUUUUGUUUGUGGGUUGGUCGCAGACAAAGAUUCCCCACUUAUAAGCAAUCAACCUCUUUGUGCUAGAUAACGAUUAUAUAGGAUUUUUCCUCCUAAAUUUUGCUUAUAGUAUUAGUAUGUUCCAUGAGUCAAGCCACUUAAGCAUAUCUAAUGAAUCUCAUUUGAUUAGUUGACUUCUAUUGGACGUUUUGUGCACAAUGAUAAUUUAAUCCAUGACCCGUGACAUUAGAUCAUAUUUAUAAGUAAGAUGAUCUUAGAUAGAAAAUUUAAGUGCAAAUACUACAAAGGAGAAGUUGUAGGAACCUCAACUCUAGAUAUCAUCCCUAUACUCUAAACCUUGGAUCAUCUGAACCACCGCAUCUGAUCGAUUACUAGCCUAACAAGCGAAUAGGUCUAAACAAAAUUUUGUUGAUUGUGUUGAUAUUGUUGUGAGAUUGACGAUACCCCAAUGGCCUCAUCAUAAACUUUCCUAUGUUUGAUAUUCAAUGAUAGCUUUAAAAGAAUAAGUUAAACGACAACAUUCAAAAUUUAAAAGAACAAGUUGAUUAUCCAGACAAUAACCACAAGCCACUGCUAAGCAAUUUCAACUUGUCUUUUUCAUAUUUAAAACACAGAUUAAUAAACAAAUAAAUAAAAAGUUCAUUUCCAUAUUUAAAUUGAGCUAUUUCGAGAAGUUAAAUUGAGAGGUUUUUCAUAAUGAGCAGUGUAAUUCAUUAAUUAGAUAAUAUUUUUUAAUUUUUUUUGAAAGGGAAAUUUAUUAAUUCAUUCAAUGAAUGAGACCAUAUAAUUCGGGAGAAUAACAAACACUCAUUGUAGGCGGUAAAGGACAAGCUCCAUCAACACAACAAAGGUUUUAGCCUCAAAAUUAAUAAAACAUUAUGGCACUUUGACAAUUGGCUCUGUCACAACAUAUUUGGAAUGAUUGCAAGCACUUUAAUAUAAUAAGAAAAUUAGUCAUGGAUGCUCCAAAUCGACAGGCAUAAAUCGGCAAAAGAACUAAGCACCCACCAAAUUAGAGAGGACGACGACAAAACUAACCUUAAAAUCACUCGCAAAAGCAAGAAUAAAAGGCGUACUCUAAGUGUAGACAAAAACUUCUAAAAGUGAAGACUUAUUAAAUAAUGGAAAAAUAAACAAAAAAAAUAUAAAACUUAAGACAUCACAGGUCUAAACCGACUCAUGAAAUCAUUUAUUAUUCUGAAAUACUCUCAAAACAAAAACAAAUUAAGAAGUCAACAAAGAGUCACCCACUUUCUAAAAGAAAUUGUCGGUGAUCGACAGUGUUUUAGCAAUAAUAGGCCUCAUCAUCUGUCCAUUAUAACUUGUGAAGACAACAAAGAUACCCACAAAAUAGAUCUGCAAACUGAAAAGAAAGAAGUCACAUAGAGUGGAUGAGAAGAAAAAAAGAAAAAAAAGGUUAAUGGUCAGGAGAAAAAUAAGCAUUCUUAUGUCAUUUUCAUUCAUUCUUGGUCACUUUCCAAGCUUAAAAUUUCACUAAAGGUCAAUCUAAUUUACACAAGUUCAUUUUAACUUCACUUACAUAUUAGCAAAUUCCAUCUCUUCCUAUAUAUAUAUAUAUAUACACAUACGUGUGUGUGUGGGGUAUUUUCUUCAAAUUCUCCCUUGUUCUGUUGCCAGGCAGAUUAGACCUACUUCCACUAAAAUACAUUUAUCUUUUAGUGCAAAAUUUAUAUAAGAUUUUAUUUGUUUCUCUUAAAAAUAGACUCAUUAAUUAUUUCAUACAUAUAAAAUUUGUCUAUUAAUUAUUUUUUUUAUAAUUCUUAAUGAAUUUUUAAAGUUAGAACAAGAGAGCUCAAAAUCAUUCUGACCUUAUCUCCCUAAAAUUAAUAUAUCUCAUAAUUUACAAUUCCAUUACUUACACAAUUUUUUUAUAUAAUACUAGACUCAAUAGGAUUUAAUUUCAUAUUUGUUUUAACCUCUAACUCAAUUUUUAAAUUUUUUUGUAAAAUUUCAAAUUUAAGCUACUGUUGCUAUCCCAGAAACUAUUUUAGUGAAAAUAUUUACUUUUAUAAUCAUUAUACUUUUGAUUACUAUUCAAUUUAAUCAUUUAGAUUUAUAUGUUGAUAACAUAUUCAUUUACUUACCUUAAUACUUCUCAUAAUACAAAUUAUAUUUCUCUCUCACUUGAAAGCUUAGUGUUUUUACAUAUCAUACUUCAUUAAUACUUUCAAUCUCUACUAUUUCAAUUAAAAUACACAUAUCAUACAUAUCAUUCAUAACAUUAUUUCAAUUAAAACUCAAUUCCAAACACCAAGUAUCAAUACCUGAUCCUUGGUAUUGGUACCUUGGGUCAAUUUUGCUCAAAAACAUUUGGAAAAUUUGUUUAAAACCCCCUGCAAAGAGUUUGUACCAUUUCAACACUUAAAAACCAAUUCCAAAGAAGUUUAAAUCGAUUUAAAACAAUUCUAAUUCAACCAUAUAUACAUGCAUACACUUAAACUCUUAACAAUUCAUUUCAACUAAUACAAAAGUAGUUCAUUAAAAUACCAAAAUAAGUUAAGUUCUUAAAAUUUUGCAAUUUAGUCCCACCACUUGGAACACAUUCAGUUUACCUAUGUACAUAUAAUUCUAACUCAAAAUAUAAUACAUACUCUCCUGGAACUAAAGGAUGUGAUGAGAUGAGAAGCCCACGACCUCAACUACGACUCAUCGGAUGCCACUAUACCUACGUGUUGAAAAUAAAUGUGUUAUGUCUGUGAAGACAUAGUACUAUAAGAAAUCUUUAAACAAUAAAAUUUCCAAAUUUGAAUAACAGACCUGUAUUCAACUUCUAUACAAUAAUUUAUGCUUAUAAUUAACAAUAAUCACCCUUUUUUAAUUUCAAUACUUAACUUAUUACGCAAAGCUACUGUUGUAGACCACAUUUCUUAUCAUUGCCCAAUGUAGGCUUAACAGAACAAUUUAGGACAUACAAAAUAAAUGUAAAAUUGCACUAAAGAACAUAAUUAGAUCAAUGGUGCACCAAAGUGUGAUAACAGAACAGUGGGCACCAUAAUGCUAAUUUGAAAAGUGAGCACUGUAGUGUGUAUUAGAACAUUGGGUGCACUAAUUAUCCUUAAUGGUAUGCCAUUUUUAUCCUAAUGGUUCUUAUUUUGUCUACAUGGGCUGGCCUCUUAAAUAUUCAAAACUGACGUUUAAUCGAUAGAUAUAACAUAGCUUUCCAUAUUCACAAUUCAGUCUUUAUGAUCGCAAACAUUAUACAAUCUUGUAAAUUCAAUUACACAUUUAAUACUAGUAAUUUUAGUAUAUAAAUUAGUACUUGAACUCUUCUCAUAAACUCUACAUUGGUUUUUACUACACAUAAUAUUAAUCUUUUUAAAUUCAAUCUAACUAUUAACAUACUUUAUAAUUAAACCCUAACUAAACAUAAAUAAAUUCUUGAAGUACUUACAACAAAAGCUUGGAUGGUGGAUUUUACUUUUCCUUAACCUUCUCAUUUCCUUUUCCUUUUCCUUCAAUUUGAUCUUUUCAUUUCUUUUUUUUUUCUUCAAUUUCAAAACAAACAUAUAACAUUUAUAUGUUAAACAACAUAAUCAAGUAAUUUUUCUAUGUUAUUUAAUAGAAAUAAACACGUAUGGCAUGAAAGUUUCAUCAUCUCUUACAUUAACCCCUUGAAAUUGAAAACCCAAUUCUUACUUUUUCUCUCAUUUAUCACUUCUAUGGAGACUCAUUUCCUAAAACUAAGGUACCCACUAGUCUUCUCUAUUGUUUUUACUAAAGAAACACCAAAGGAAAGGAAGGCUUUGAGCUUAGAUUUGAUCAACAACGGUGGAAGGACUUAAAUAGAAUAAAAAAUAAAGUUUGGUAACCAUGAAAUGGAGGUGACAUUUGAAUUCUAAAAAGAUGAAGAAUCUUUCAUCUUUUCUUCACUUUUCUACACAGUUCUACAAAAAUAUCACAUCAUUUUUACAUAAAAUUUUCGAAUUGCUAAUAAGUCCUCUAGUCAUCCAUCUUUACACUUUAACCCCUAAUCAUUAUGCCUAUAAAUAUCUACUUAACCAAUUACCAUUUUACCCUUAAUCAUCUUUACAAUUCCAUGUAUGAAUCAUAUUUUUUCUUGGUAAAAUUUCCUAUUAGUCCUUCCUUGUUUUUCCACAUUUUUCAUGUUUUCUCAUAACUUUCUAAUUUCAUACUUUCACUACAAUAAUUUCUAUACUAUUUCAAUUUAUUCAAUGCUUCUAUUCAAAAUUUUCCUAUCUAAGGAGUAUUACCUAAUUCCCUAUCGGGUCUAAAUACUUUCUAAUUUCACACUCAAAUUUCCUAUUUGUUCUAUUUAAAAAAUUCUCCACUAAUUCUUGACUCAAUACAUCAUUGUACCUAGCUUCGAGCUAAAACAUGACCUUUACAAGCUUACUACAAGUGUGACAGACCAGUUGUAAUAUUUAUAAGUGUUACAAUGGAGCACUUCGAGUAUUCUAAAGAUCGAACCUAAGGGAUUGCCAAAUUGAUAAAUGUGUUUAUCAAGUUAAUUGCAAGUUAAGAAAUUACUAAUCUAAUCAAGUCAAAAUUAUUUGUGCGAAUUCCAAAAUAAUUUGUUUAUAAACUAAAUUUAAAUUAUCAAUUAAAAAAAUUAAUCUAAUUUUCUUCCUUAAUGUUUUAGAUAAUGAAAAUGAUAAAACGAUGGUCAAUUGAUUCAUUACUCGCUAACUUUUAAUGAUGACAAGUUUCAACAAAUUUGUGGAUUCAGACACCACCAUAAGAUAAUACUUCUCAAAAUGUAAAAACAUAAUGUUUCGUUCUUUGAUGACUUUGUUACUUGUUACAUUCUCCCAUCUUUUUUGGGUAAGAAUAUUGAAAAAUUCUAGCGGCUUUACCUUACUGAACUCUUCAUCGUUCUUGGAAUGAACCUCUCAAAAUCGCUUGGAGUGAAUAUACGUGUAACGACCUGAUUUUCAGUGGUACCAAAAAAUGUGAUUUCGAAACACCAUUUUCAUAAACCGAGUCUGUAAAUAUAAAAUAGGAAUAUUUACAAAGUUAAUAUGUGAACAUAAUAAAGAAUGAUUAGGUUAGGUAAGGAGUGUUACAGUAUAGGCCUAUUGCUCUUUCAUCGAUCUUUUACUUUUCUUUUGCCUUUACCCAUGCAUGUAAUUGGGCAAGUGUCUCACUUGCUUCUUCAAUUUUAAAAAUUGAUUCUUGGUCCGAAGAGUCAUAAUCUUCUUCUUCAGAUUUAUUUGUUGGUUCCUUCGACAAUUAUUGUUCUUCUUCUACUUGUAAUGAGUCAGAAUCUUAGUCGAAGGUGGAGGAGUUGUUUUCGAUUUCAACAGUAGUUUCCAUAUCUUUUGCUACAUUACAGGUUUGCUUAAUUUGGGCAAGAAUAGCAUCAAUUUUUUUGAAGGGAGUAGUAGAUGAGAGAAGUAUAUGAAGAGUCUUAGCCUCUAUUUUGGCAACGAAACAUUUCGACGAAGAGGGGUGGGCAGAGCUUUGACCUCCUGUGGUAGAUCGUCAACAACUUUGAUGGGUGAUCUUAGGGACUUUCUGGGUUUCCUUUGUGCUGAAAAUUUCACCCUUGCCAUCUUUUCACCAAGAAAACAAAGCAAAAAUAGAGAAGAAAAAAAUAGAGAAGCAGUAGAGAUGAAGAACAAUAAUGGUGAAGAUUAAAGACCAAAAAAUGGGUCUUUUCUUAUGUUUUUUGCAAAGAUAUCAGCCAAUUGUGAGAUAUAUUUUAACUAUAUCAUCUUGUUCUCAAUGAGUUCCCAAAUUAAAGUGAUGUUGAAUCUAGAUAUGCUUUGUAAUGCCCUUAACUCAAUUCGAUUCGCAAGAUCUGGAUCUCAGGUGUUACUGUACAAAACUUUUAUCUUUAACGAAACACUUGAAAAACUUUCUUGUUGAACAUAUUUUUCUCAUUAAUUUAAAAACUAAUAGUCUUAUUAUUUAAGAACACAAAAUAUAUUAUUACAAAUUAUUACUUCAGAUUUAAUACAACACUUAACAAUAUUGAUGUUAUUGAAAGACAGACUAAAAGGGCGUGAUCCUAACUACUACACACUCUCGUUGUAUGCAUAAUAGCUCACUUCGCCACUUUCUUGGCACAGUCUUGGUCUUGUUUCUCCAAUCGUAGUCUUUUAGCAUUCAAACCUGAAACAUAGUUACACACAAAUAAGUUCUUAGGAACUUAAUGAGGGUAAACUCAGAUUUACCUUCUAAAAGGAUGAUAUACAGAAUCUGAUAGCCCAUUUUUGCCAUCUACUCUUUCUUUAUCACAAGUUUACACUUUCGAGAGUACUAUACCCUUCUCAUACUCAUCCAUAAAUUCCAACUAGUACACUCUUAAUCAUGCCAAUUUCUUUUUAUCUACUGGCCUCAAACUUUCUAGAACAUUCUCUAAUCUCUUCUUGAUCACGAUUCCAUACAAAUACCUUUGAAGAGCAGUAUGUAUAAGCUAUCUCUUCAAACUCAACUAUUGGUUAUUAGCGAAUACAUACAAUCGGCAAAUUCCCAUUCAAACUCAACUAUCAACAGAUUACCGAAACAAUCCCUAUCCAGUUUAUUCUCAAUACCAAAUCAGAUUGUCAGAACUUCACCUAGGGUAGUUUGAUAGUUUUCCUUUGUAUUCAAUAAUUCAGAGUCAUUCACAUUCCAUAAUAUUUCAAAGUAAAUCAGAACACAACAAAAUGGUGGAUAACCUUUCAUACACACAAAUUCAUAACUUUUAUUCAAUAGCAUCUCUUUUAGUCUCAUUCAACUACAAAUCAAUUCUAUUUCGCUCAUUUUCAUUUUGAUUAUAUAUAUGUUGAACUUAUCAUUUCAAAAUCACAACUUAUAUUGUACUUAGUACACGGCGGACGAUCGCUUUACGCCAUGUUGUUUUAGUUGAGCACGCUAGAAAGCCAAUCAGAAUACCCCACAAGACUUCUUAUAGAAUACGUUAGAAAAUAUCGUACUGAAUGUGCCAUAACGGUUUCAUACAAAUUAUGCCAUAAUGAUUUCAAAUAGAAUCAUGUGUUUACGAUCCAUUUAUACAAUCAUUUCAUAUACUGCCAAGGGUCAUAACUUAUGGUUUACGUUUACAUUCAUGUAUUACGAUCUACCAUUUCGAUUGAAAUAUAUCGAAGGCUACACCAUGAACAUACAUUUCAUAUCAUAUCAUAUCAUUUCAUAUCCUUGUAUCACACGGACUCAGCCACAUAGACUUACACACAUUAUGUAUCACGGCCUACCAGUUCAGUCAUUAAUAUACUAAAGACAACACCAUGAGUGUUAUCAUACCUUAAGGUGUCAUGGGUCAUAACCACAUGGUUUUUCAUUUCACUCAUACCGUGACUUACCAAUUUGGUUAGCAGGAAUUGCCAUACUAGAGGCAUCACAAAAAGACUUAGGCAUAAUAAUCACUUACCAAAACUCAUACACAUAUCAGAUAAUUCCUUACCUUCCAAUCUCGAGCUGUACUUAAACUAAUAAAUAUAUACAUCAAUAUCAAUCUAUUUUGACAUAAUUGCAUUCAUAUAGUCGUGUACAUAUUACAUUCUUACCAUACUUUUCAUGAAUACCGAAUUGUAAUUUGGUCACUUUCAUAUAGGUACACUUUUUAUUUAAACAUUUCGUUAUAAAGAGCCAGUAUAGAGACUCGCCUGACACUUACAUACAACAGCUUGAACUCCAGACUCACACAUUCAUCAAGAAACCACAACAACCACUGCUAACAGAACAUAUGAACACCAUUAAAACUCAUUUGUAUACAAUUUACCAUCAUCUCAAGCACAGACAACCCCCAUGUAAAGCCUUAUUUCUUCAUCUUACUGUUCAUGCGCCCAUACAAACUUAAUCUUUCAGGGUGUGACAUGUUUUGUGUGAGAGUGUAGCAUCAGGUUCAAAAAAUAUUGAUUGUGCUUAUAUUUUCACAAUACACCAUUAGAACGUGGGUUGGAACGUGAUAGUCCUGAAGAAUUUGUUUCACCCAAAUGAUUUGGGUGCAGCAACUUCUGGCUGCUAUAUAUUCGGCUGCAGCUGUUGAGAGGGAGAUGAAAUUUUAUUUCUUGCUAUGCCACGACACAAGGUUAUUUCCCAAAAGGAAACAUCCUUCGAAGGUACUCUUUCGGUCAUCAACACUACCGAACCAAUCCACAUCGUUAUACCUAACGAGAGCCAUGUUUGUAUCCUUAAUGAACCAAAACCCAUAAUCGAUAGUGCCCUUCACAUAUUCAAUAAUUCAUCUCACUACUUUAAGAUGUGAUUCUUUGACGUUAACUUGGAAGUGAUCACAUAUACCAACACUUCGACAAAUAUCUAGCCUACUAGCCGUCAAAUAGAGUAAGCUUCCGAUAAUGCUUCGAUACAUUGUACUGUCAAUUGAGACACCCUAAUUGUUUGUACCAAGCUUUUCACUUGAUCCAAUGGGAGCCCGAGCAUUCUUGGCUUACUUUAAUUUAAUUUUUUUCACCAUGUUAGCUGCAUAUUUUUCUUAAUUUAAAAAUAUACCCCAAUUUAGCUAUUUAACUUGUAGACCAAGAAAGUAUGUGAGUUCUCUAACCAUGCUCAUCUUGAAAUCAAAUUUCAUGAGCUGAACAAACUCAUUCCUUGCCUUUUCUGAAUUUGAAUCGAAAAUAAUGUUGUCAAUAUAAAUCUGAAAAAAAAUCAUAUCCUUCACGCCUUUCCUUAUGAAUAGAGUUUUAUCCAUGCUUCCUCGAACAUAACCUUGUUAUACUAAGUUCUUGGAGCUUGUUUUAGCCCGUAUAAUACCUUUGACAGUUUGUACACAUAGUCCAGAUAGUGUGGGUCAAUAAACCCUUUAGUCUACUCGACAUAAACCUCCUCAUUGAGCCAUGCAUUCAGAAAUGCACUUUCAACAUCCAUCUGAAAAGAUUUUAUGUCAAGGAAGCAAGCAAUAGAUAAUAAAAGACAGAUUGAUUCUAACCUUGCUACUGGAGCAAAUAUUUCAUCAAAACCCACUCCUUCAACUUACAAGUACCCUUGAUCUACAAGAUAAGAUUUAUUCCUUGUGAUCACUCCAUUCUCAUCAAUCUUGUUCUUGAAGAUCCAUUUGGUACAUAUUAUAUUGUACUCUGUUAGUCGUGGUUCAAGUGUCCACACUUCAUUUCUAACAAACCAUUGUAACUCUUCCUGCAUGGCAGCUAUCCUGUGUUCAUCUUGUAAAACCUUCUCUACUCUUUUAGGUUCCAAUGUUAACACAUAGCACCCCAUGCUGAUCAUCUCUCGAAAUUUAUUUUCUUUCCUCGAGUUUUUCUACUGUCAGCAAUAUCACCAAUAAUAUAUUCGGGAGGAUGAUUCUUUAAUACAUUGGUUGGAGGGUUCAACUUGUGCCCCCCAUUUACUUCAACCUUAAGACACUUUGUUUCUGUUCCAUCUGUUCAAAGGUGGCAACAACAGCUGUAGCGAUCUAAAAAUUUGGCGAUAGGCGCUAAUCGAAGUAAUUAUUGAAAAUUUUAAAACUGAAUCUCGAUUUUAUUUGAAAAAGGAGUCGCCACCGAUCUUUUUUUCCUAGGUGUGAUCGGACACCUAAUAAAUUCUCUUUUUAAGAGAAAAUUUAUUUUGAAUUUUUUCCAAAAAAGAGGUAAUUUUAGGUCUACGAGAAAAUCCAGAGAAAAUUAGGGUCCGGGAGUCGGUUACGCGCGAGGAAGGUAUUAGCACCCUCGCGACGCCCAAAAUUGGUAUCUCGUUAAACGCAUGUUGUCUUAAUUUUCAAAAAUACGAGUUCCAUUUAAUAUUUAGUCGUGAUCCGAUUGAAAUACGAGAACCUUUUUUUUUUUAAACACGAGAAUUUUGAAGCGCAAUAUUUCUUUUUUUUUUAAAACGAAUUUUUAUUUAACACGAGAAUUUUUGAAAACACGAGAAUUUUUAAACAGGAAAAUUUUAGAAACAUGAAAAUUUUUAGAAACACGAAAAUUUUUAAAACACGACAUUUUUUUUGAAACACGGGAAUUUUUAAAACAGGGAAAUUUUAGAAACACGAAAAUUUUUAAAACACGACAUUUUUUGAAACACGAUUUAAAAAAAAUUUUGAAAUGCGAGAAUCUUUUUGAAACACGAAAAAUUUUUUACAAACGCGAAAAGUGAAAUUUUUGAAAUACGAGAAAUUUUUGAAAACACGAAAAUUUGAAACACGAGGUUUUUUUUUGAAAACGCGAAAACACGAAAAUUUGUCAAACACGGGAAUUUUUGAAAACACGAAAUUUUUUUAAACACGAGAAUUUUUUGAAAACACGAAAACACGAAAUUUUUUAAAACACAGGAAUUUUUGAAAAUACGAAUUUUUUUAUUCACGAGAAUUUUUGAAACACGAAAUUUUUUUAAAAGAAAGAGACAUGACUAUAUUUUUUGAAACACGGAAAAUUUUAUUAUUAUUAUUUUGAAACACGAGAAAUUUUGAAGACAUGAAAAUUUUUGAAACACGAUUUUUCUUUAAAAAAUACCGUAUUUAACACAAAUCGAUGAUAUUCAUCCCGAUAUGGCGAUGAAACCAUCGAAUUAGUGUUAACUCAAUUCAAUUUAAUAUUUAAUCGGGGUUCUAUUAAAACACGAGAAAUUUUUUUAAAUACGGGGAUUUUUUAAUAUUUUUUUUAUUUUUUUUAAAAGGGCGUCCCGAAUUUAACACGAGCUAUCGAUAUCCACCCAACAUAGCGAUAAAUUCGGUGACUCGAUGCUAAACCGAUUCGUUGCCUUAUUUAUUAAAAUAAUUUUAUUUCAUUUUUUUAUUGCAAAUAAAGCCACACUAAUAUUACUAAAAAAACUAUUUAAAAUAUGCUAAUUAAAUUCAAAUGAAAUAAUAUUUAAAUAAAUAAAACUAAAUUAAAAAAUUUAAGGAAGUUACCAAAAAGCCCCAAAGUUGUGGGCCCCUUUUUUCUUUUUCUUUUUUUUUCCUUUUUUUUCUGCUGGAUGUCGGGCCUGGGCGUUGGGCCGAAGGGAGGCCUGCUCGGCCUGCUGCUGCUGAGCCUGGGGGCUGCUGCUGCUGGACCUGCGCUGGGGCUGCGCAAAAGGGGCCUGCUUCCUUUUUCUUUUCUUCUGCUGGGCUGUUACUGCUAUUGGGCCUGCUGCUUGUUAUUUUUUUUUCUGGUUCUUUUUUUGCUUGGGCCUGGGUGUUUUGCUGCUGGAUCUUGCUGUUUGGAAUGGGCUGUUGGAGCGCGGGUCGGGUCGGGUUGGUUCCGAGGGUCGGGUGGUUGGGUCGGGUUGACCCGACUGACUAUAAAUUUUCUGUUUCUUUUUCUUUUUCUUUUUCUUUUUUCUUUUUCUUCUCCCUUUUUCUUCUUUUUUCUUUCUUCUUUCUUCUUCUUCGGGCCGUACCUUAACCCCACGUGCGCCUUUGAGGGCGCUUCCUCCACCUGGUACGACGGCCGGCGGUGGCACGGUGGUGAUGAAGGGACGACUGGACUUUCCUUUUGGACCUUUCUUUUGCUUUUUUCUCAUUUUUUGCUGCUGCGUUUUUGUUUUGCUUCUCUUUUUGUUUCGAUUUCUCUUGGCUUCUAGGUGGUGGUACGGUGGCUGCGGUGGCCGGUAGUGGCACGACGGUGGCGAGGGCUUUUUGGGCUGCUAUUGUUUGGAUUUUUUUGAAUUUUCUCUGCACUUUUUCUCUCUUUUUUUUAUUGUUCCCCCCCUCAAAAAAAAUCCCUCCCUCUCCUUUUAAUCCCCUCAUGUUGUCCUCUUUCUAAUUGUUUGCAGGUGGCAGAGGAGCCAUGAUGGCCUAGGGGGGCUGCUGGAGUAGCUCGGCUGGGAGGGGUACUCUCGGCUGCUGCUGCGGCGAUUAGACAAGUCCAGAAGGACUAAAUUGCAUAGGAUGCAAAGCUUCUGGGGCAAAAGUGCAAUUUUAGCAAAAAUAUGGGCCAAAUUGUAAUUUCUUGAAAAUUUAGGGGUUAAAGUGAAAUUUUGAGAAAGUUUAAGGGUUGAAAUGUAAUUUUAGAAAAGUUUAGGGUCAAAAUAUAAAUUUUAAAAGGUUUGGGGUCAAAAUAUAAGUUUUAAAAAGUAUAGGGGUCAAAAUGCAAUUUUUUAUUUUUUUAUUAUUUUUUUAACACAAAAUUAUUGCCGGACAAAAUUCAGUGAUUACAACAGCAGCUACAUGCAAGAAACCAUGCAAAGUGCACGUUGCAUGAAGAGAACCAAAAAUCCAGCCAAUGCAUGCUAGUGUCCAUGGUGUAAUUCAACGGCAGCAUUUUUAUUUUGUUGACUUUUGAUAGUUAAUGCUGUAAUCAUUUUAUGCUUUAGUCAGCUAAGAUUAAUUGUGUGCUUAGCUGAUUUUGUAGCCAUUUUAGGUUAUCAUUAAGUUGAUGUAAACCUUUUGACACUUGCACAAGCAAGUUUUGUUUUCUUUCUAUGUAUUUUUGAUCUAUUUAUGUAUGCAACUAUGCUCUUAUUCGGGUAAUGAUAAAAUCACUUGGCUCAUUCAACUUUCUCUUGUUUUUUGCUUCUGUUUUAAUCUUAAAACACCUCAACAAUCGAUUUUAGUUAUUUUUAAACUUUGUUGCUCAGUUAAAAACCAACAAAUGGUAUCGAGAGCCGUUGUCUUUGAGGUCCUCUUGUUGUGUGUUGUGUUUGUUGAAGCUAAGUGCUUGAAAGAAAAGAAACAGGAGCUAUCCUUGUUGCUCGGUGUUUGGAAGCUGCAUGAAGAUGAGCUUUUCACCACCAAUUCCACCUGUGUUCGCUGGUGAAAGCUACAAUAUAUGGGCUGUAAAAAUGAAAACAUACCUACAAGCACAUGACAUGUGGAAUGUUGUUCAAAAUGAUACAGAGCCACCACCUUUGAGAGCUAAUCCAACAAUAGCUCAGAUAAAGCAGUAUAAUGAAGACUGUGCAAAGAAGUACAGGGCCAUGUCAUGCCUUCAAAGUGGAGUUUCAGAUGUUAUCUUCACAAGGAUAAUGGCCUGUGACACACCAAAGGGGGCCUAGGACAAACUCAAGGAGGAGUUUCAAGGUCCAGACAAAACCAGGCAGCAACAACUCAUCAACUUGAGAAGAGAUUUUGAGAAUCUGAGUAUGAAAGACUCAGAAACCAUCAAGCAGUAUGCUGACAGAAUUAUGGCUACUAUCAACAACACAAGACUGUUUGGGGAUGACUUCAGUGAUCAGAGGGUAGUGGAGAAAGUCAUGACAACCCUGCCAGAGAAGUAUGAAUCAAAGAUUUCUUCCUUGGAGGACUCGAGGGACUUAUCAGCCAUUUCCUUGACAGAGCUGAUAAAUGCUCUCUAUGCACAAGAGCAAAGAAGAACAAACAGAAUGGAGGAGUAUUCUGAAUGUGCUUUUCAAGCCAGGAGUAGAGAGAGCUCAAGCUCGAGCUCGAAUCACAAAGGCAAGAAGCCUUGGUCAGAAAAGAAAGAAAGAGGGAAGAAGGAAGCUGCCAAGAAGAAAUUUCCACCUUGUGUUCACUGCAAAAGAACAACUCACCUUGAGAAAUAUUGCUGGUACAAGCCUGAUAUUCAGUGUAGAGGCUACAAACAGCUAGGCCAUAUUGAAAAAGUAUGUAAAAACAAACCAAAAACUCAGUCACAGCAUCAGAACCAAGCUCAAGCUGCUAAAGACAUCGAGGCACAAGAAGAACAUGUCUUCACAGCUUCUUGCUUUGCAAGCUCGAGCAAAGUAAGUAAGAUUUGGCUGAUCGAUAGUGAAUGCACUCAUCAUAUAGCUUCAGAUGAAAGUAUGUUCAAGGAGCUUGACACCUCUUUUGAGUCCAAUGUCAGAAUUGGAAAUGGUGAGCUUCUCAAGGCCAAAGGCAAGGGCAAGGCAGUGAUUUGCACCAAAUCAGGUAUUAAAACUAUUUCCGAAGUUCUUUAUGUACCUGACAUUAACCAAAAUUUGUUGAGUGUUGGUCAGCUACUGGAGAAAGGUUAUUCUCUUCUGUUUGAAGGCAAAAUUUGUACAAUCAAAGAUGCUACUGACCAAGUGCUAGCAGCAGUAGCUAUGCAAGACAAAACUUUCAAUGUAGAUGUGAAUCAGUUGCAAGCAAGAGCAUAUGCAGCUCAAAAUGAUGAGGCAAGCUUGUGGCAUAAAAGAAUGGGGCAUGUGAACUACAACUCACUCGGGCAAUUGCAAAAACUGAAUCUGGUUGAAGAAAUGGCCAAGUUCGAGCCAAAGAAAGAAGCAUGUGAAGUAUGUCAGCUUGGCAAGCAGACCAGACUGUCUUUUCCAGUCAACAAGGCAUGGAGAGCCCAGGAGAAACUUCAGUUGGUUCAUACAGACAUCUGAGGACCAAUGAAGACUAGCUCUCUAAAUGGCUGUAGGUAUUUUACUCUGUUCAUUGAUGACUACACAAGGUUUUGCUGGGUAAGCUUUCUGAAACAAAAGUCAGAUGUUACUGACUUCUUUUGCAAGUUCAAAGCUUUGGCAGAAAAACAAGCCAACUGCAAGCUUAAAAGCCUAAGGUCAGACAAUGGAGCUGAGUAUGUGUCUCAGAGGUUCCAGAAGAUUUGUGAUGAUGCUAGCAUCCUACAUCAACUAACCACUGUCUACACACCACAGCAAAAUGGUGUUUGUGAGAGAAGAAACAGGACUGUUCUCAAUAUGGCUAGAUGCCUGCUGUUUAAGGCAAAAAUGCCAAACAACUUCUGGAUUGAAGCAGUAAACACAUCUAUUUACUUGCUGAAUAGACUGCCGACUAAAGCAGUUAAGGGUAAAACACCCUUUGAGGCCUGGUUUGGGCAGAAACCAAUUGUGUCACACUUGAAAGUGUUUGGAUGCUUGUGUUAUGCACUGGUGCCAGCAGAGAAAAGAACUAAGCUGGAAAAAAAGUAUGUGCCAGGUGUGUUUGUAGGUUACAGCAGUGUAAAGAAGGGUUAUAGGAUCUUCAAUCCAUCAACCAAAAAAGUAAUUGUGAGCAGGGAUGUCAAGUUUAAUGAAGCAAGCUGCUGGAAGUGGAAUGGGACAGAUGCAAGCUUAACUGAAAAAGAUUUGCAGGACCUUGAUCUCCAACAUGCUGAAGUUGAAAGUGAAGCUGUGGAUGACUUUGAUGAUAUGCCUGUCAGAGGCACUAGAACAUUGGCAGACAUCUAUGAAAGAUGUGCUGUGACUAUGGUUGAGCCAUCCUGCUAUGCUAAAGCCUCAAAAGAAAGAUGCUGGCAAGAGGCUAUGGAAGCUGAACUAAGGAUGAUCCAAAAGAAUAACACCUAGGAGCUGGUUGAUAGACCAGAAAAUAGAAAGAUCAUUGGAGUAAAGUGGGUGUUCAGGAUCAAGAACAAUGCAGAUGGAUCACUAAACAAACACAAGGCCGGAUUAGUUGUGAAAGGAUAUAGCCAACAGCAAGGAGUCGAUUUCUUUGAAACUUUUGCUCCUGUUACAAGGCUGGACAUUAUAAGGAUAUUGUUUGCCCUAGCAGCUCAGAAACAAUGGCAGGUGCAUCAACUGGGUGUUAAAUCAGCCUUUUUAAAUGGAUUUCUCAUGGAGGAAACCUUCAUAGAGCAACCUGAAGGCUUUGAAGUUCAAGGAGAGGAACAAAAGGUCUACAAGCUCAAGAAGGCUCUAUAUGGCCUCAAAUAAGCUCCAAGGGCCUGGUAUGAUCGAAUAGAUGCCUACUUGACAAGGCUCGGGUUCACAAAAAUCACUAGUGAGCCUACUCUCUUUGUUAAGAAGGAGGGUGAUGAGACUUUGCUGAUUGUGUCACUGUAUGUUGAUGAUCUGUUGGUCACUGGUUGCAAAAGGGAGAAAAUUGAGACCUUUAAGAAGCAAAUGCAAAGUGUGUUCGAGAUGACUGAUCUUGGCUUGAUGACAUACUUCCUUGGCAUGGAAGUGAACCAAAAUGAGCAAGGCAUCUUCAUAAGCCAGAAGGCUUUUGCAUCAAAGGUUUUGAGCAAGUUUUGCAUGUCAAACUGCAAACCUGCUAGCACUCCUAUGGCUUUAGGAGAAAAACUCACUAGCCUAAGUGAUGAAGAUCGAGUGGAUGAAAAGAAUUACAGAAGCCUGGUUGGUUGCCUACUCUACUUGACUGGAACCAAGCCAGACAUCAUGCAUGCUGUAAGUCUUCUAUUGAGAUUCAUGCAUUGCUGCACAGUUGCACACUUUAAAGCAGCAAAAAGGGUCCUAAGGUAUGUCAAGGGGACUUUAAAUUGUGGAGUGAAGUUUGAAGGAGCUGAGGAAUUGAAACUGGUAGGAUACUCAGACAGUGAUUGGGCUGGCUCAGGAUGACAUGAAGAGCACAUCAGGCUACUUUUUCACCCUUGGUUCAGGUGUUUUUUGCUGGAGCUCGAAGAAGCAACAGACAGUGGCUCAAUUCACUGCUGAGGCUGAGUAUAUUGCUGCUGCCUCUGCAAUAAAUCAAGCCAUUUGGCUUAGAAAAAUGUUGUGCAAUUUGAAUGCUGAUCAAAAGGAGGCCACAGUGAUCAAGGUUGACAAUCAAUCUGCUGUUGCCAUUGCUAAAAAUUUGGUUUUUCAUGGUAAGACCAAGCAUUUUAAAAUCAAAUAUCAUUUUGUGAGGGAUGCUGAAAUGUCUAAAGAGGUAAACUUGGUUCACUGCUGCUCGAGAGAUCAACUUGCUGAUUGUUAACCAAACCAUUACCUGCUUCAAGAUUUGAAUAUUUGAAGGAUAAGAUUAGGGUUUGCUACGUUGUAGCCAAGGAGGAGUGUUCAAAGGUGGCAACAACAGCAGCUACAUGCAAGAAACCAUGCAAAGUGCACGUUGCAUGAAGAGAACCAAAAAUCCAGCCAAUGCAUGCUAGUGUCCAUGGUGUAAUUCGACAGCAGCAUUUUUAUUUUGUUGACUUUUGAUAGUUAAUGCUGUAAUCAUUUUAUGCUUUAGUCAGCUAAGAUUAAUUGUGUGCUUAGCUGAUUUUGUAGCCAUUUUAGGUUAUCAUUAAGUUGAUGUAAACCUUUUGACACUUGCACAAGCAAGUUUUGUUUUCUUUCUAUGUAUUUUUGAUCUAUUUAUGUAUGCAACUAUGCUCUUAUUCGGGUAAUGAUAAAAUCACUUUGGCUCAUUCAACUUUCUCUUGUUUUUUGCUUCUGUUUUAAUAUUAAAACACCUCAACAAUCAAUUUUAGUUAUUUUUAAACUUUGUUGCUCAGUUAAAAACCAACACCAUCUUCUGUUACAACAGACUUUGUUUUAGCAGUUGCUUCAUCUUUAGGCAAUUCUUCUAGAGACUUUGAGGAGUCAUCAAUAAUUACAUUUAUAGACUCUACCAAAAUCCUAGUUCAUUUAUUAUAGACCUAGUAUGCUUGACUGUUUGGUGAGUAUCCUACAAAUACACCAUUAUUGCUUCGAGGGUCAAACUUUCAUUUGGCUUCUCGAUCUCUUAGAAUAUAACAUGGACUACAAAAAUUUUGAAAAUAAGCAACCAUCAACUUCCUUUGUUUCCAGAUCUUAUAGGGACUCAUUCUUGUUAGUGGUCUUAAGAAUACCCGAUUACUAACAUAACAUGCAAUAAUAAAGACCUUGGCCCAUAACUUAUGUAAAAUAUUUUUGACAUUAAGCGUCACGCUUGUCAUCUCUUAUAAUGUUUGGCUCGACAAUCUUAUUUUUCCGAGGCAUCUUAAGGGUUGAAAAUUCAUGCAAGAUCCCUUCUUGAUCACUGAAGUCUUUAAACUCAUAAUUCUUAAACUACUUUUCGUGCUCACUUCAAAUUCGAAUGAUCUUCCCAAUGUUCUCACAUUUUUUCAUUUAUGAGCUUUAUACACAGACUCUUAAACACCUUGAAAUUUUUAUACUUUUCUUUUAGAAAGUUAACCUAAGUGAAACAAGAAAUGUCAUCAACACAAACAAAAACAUACAUCUUUCCUCCUAGGAUCUCUAGUUGCAUAGAACCAAUAAGAUAUAUUUGGAGCAACUCUAAUAAUCUUGUGGUAGUGAUCCAUCAUAAUGAAGGAUGGGACGAGCAAUGCUUUUUUUCCGUUUAAGCAAUUUCACAAGGUUUCGUAAUAACUCCUACAAGUUUUUGUAAUCCUUAAUAGCUUUAUGUUGCACAACCCUUUGAAGACUUUUGUAGCUUGCAUGCCCUAGCCGUUGAUGCCAUAGAUAAAGCUCAUUCAUUGAUUUCACAAUACAUUUUUCUUCCUUUACGAGACGAUAACAAUUAUCAAAUGACCAAGUUCCUUUUAGUAUGCAUUCACCGCUUGUGUUUUAGGCCUUGCAACAAUUCUUGGUAAAACCUACUAGAAUUCCCUCAUCACACAGUUGAAUUAUGUUGAUUAGAUUUGCAAAAAGUCCUUCCACAAGAUGAACAUUAUUGGGCUUUGGUAAUCCUUCAACAUCUAAGACCCAUUUUCCAGUUACUCUCCCCUUUUGACCAUCUCCAAAGGUUACUCUCCCUAUAUCUCACCUUUUUGAACUUCUUUCAAGCAUUUUUAGUUUCCUAACGCGUGUCUUGAGCACCCUCUGUCAAAGUACCAAAUCUCCUCAGUUGUGGCUUUUAAAGAAGUAUGAGCAAUCAAAAGGCUUCUUUCCUUGAAAACCCAGACUUACUUCACUUGUUGUACCUUCCUGUUUCUUGGACGAACAUUGUUGCCACCAAGUUUGUACUUCUUGAAGUCCUUUAGCAACUUGUAACAGAAAGGUCUUAUAUGACCCUCCUUAUCGCGAUAAUGAUAGACAAAAAUCCUCUUCUUUUUAUGUUCUUCCUUUGUUCCUGAGGCAUCACAUUCAUUAACUUUAACAAAUAUAUAAGAUAGUUUAGUGUUCAUACCCUUGUUUAUCUAUGACCAAUUUUCCUUGGCAAAAUGUUUUAGAGUCUUGAUGAAAUUAUUUUUUAAAUACUUUUUUUUGAAUAGGAGGAUCAUAUUAUACUAAUUUAAGUAAAAUGAAAUUAUUUUAUACUAAUUUUUUAUAUGAUUAACAUUUUAACUACACAGAUUAAUAUCAUAGCUAAAGUUAUUUGGUCGGACAGAAAUAAUUAGUUUUUGCUUCACAAGAAGCACAGAUAAAGAUUGAAAUAAGGAAUUAAAUGGUUUAAUUUGAAAACAAUUAGGGUUUCAUGAGAAUUAAUCAAUUAUUUCUUGCUUUUCAAUAUAAACAUGUCCAUAUAUUAAGUUACUCAAAUCCGAAAUUCCAUCUAUUAUUUCAAAAUGUACAGACAAAAUUAGAGCCUAAAAAUAAGCUUUACAUAAA
RNAcentral lists this long non-coding RNA (99414 nucleotides) under Gossypium barbadense (sea-island cotton). Its description in RNAcentral is "long non-coding RNA (GBAR_LNC017390)". Lineage: Eukaryota; Viridiplantae; Streptophyta; Magnoliopsida; Malvales; Malvaceae. The record is from RNAcentral.